GGAAAGCAACGAAAGACAGAUUUCCCAUGUCUGGUGGUAUGGUUCCAGAGAGAUUCAUGCCAAAUAGAUCCAAAGCAAUGACUCUGUGGUGUCGAGAUCCGCAAGUGACACCAACCCAAUUGCAAAUAGAGGUAGCAGUUGACCAGUUCGUAGCCAGAAGAUCAUUGUUGACGCGGGUUUUUAGUGCAAGAAGAGCCAACUGGUCUGUGCUGAUGUUGGUUGUUGAUUUCAUAGCGAAUGAAACCCCAAAAUUAGGCAGCAACACCACCACCAUAAGAGCCAGAAUGAGCCAAGUGUUUCCCAUGAAGUUAAGUAGAAGUGGAACUUGUGAAUUAUAUGUGGGAAAGAUGAUGUUUCUUUUUCAAUAUAUAUAGAAAAUGUCAAAACUGUGAUUGGACUUAUAUCUUUUUUUUAAAAAGCAAUUUUAUUAGCCGCAUUAACCAUAUUGCCAUUCCAAGUCUCCUCCAAUUAGGAGACUUUCCAUGAUAUCAAGACAUGGUUAGGACAAACAAAUGUACAAUUACAAAAACUACCCCGCUCCUGCCGCUACCAGCUGUAAAAAACAUGAAGCUCAUCAAUCCUAUCAAGACCAAAAUCCAUCGACUCACUACCUCAAAAGCAAAAAGAGAGGCAUAAUCAGGUUCACUAAGCUAGAAAGUCCCUUUUGCACCCAAAAAAGAACAUAACACAGGAGGCCAUUCGACAAACCGUGGGAACCACCCCCAACAGAUCAUGCACACCGUCAAAGGCCAAAAAACAAAAACCAUAAUUCAACCAGCACGGUCGCGUCAAGCAAAUACGGGAGCAGGAAACCCCGUCUCAACAGCUCCAACCCACAGACCAGACAACAAGCACGGGCAGAAACAGAACCUUGUAACCAGGACACCUCAACUUCCAGCCUAAAGAAUAUCUAUUUCUUAUUCAUUUUCGUUGACAUAUCUAAAGGCCAAAAAAAGGUAUUUUUAUUUAUAAAAUUUAUUACAAUAUAAAUUUAAUUUUUUUAUGCAUACGGUACACUAUUACAUAAGCAAAAGUAACUCUCUUCUUCUUCAUAAAUCUCAUCUUACCCUCAAACCACAAUUGAAACUUGGGAUUUCAAGUUAAAAUUGUAUAUUUUAAUAACCGAGGUAUCGGUUCAAAUAGCAAGUAGGAAAUUCUUUCUUAGCUCUUUAACAGUAAUUCUGCCCUGCAUUUGUAGGAAAACAACAGAAUGAACUCUUUUACUAUCUUGUGAGUAUAAGAGCUUUCAGUAAGUAUUGGCCCCUUGGACUAAUAAGCACCAAAGACACCAGUUUAUUCGAUUAAAUGCCCAAAAAAAAAAGGUUAUCUUACAAGGCAAAGCCAAUCACAAGGUUUUUUUUUUAAUUUUUUUUCAAUCAGAGUAGGAAAUGACAGAAUCCUAAGUGAGUGUUUGACCUAGUUUAUAGAAGUGAUUUUCUACUGCAUAAGCUGAAACAAUAUGUUUGGUUGUCAAAAUUUUAGAAUUUCGAGUUAAUGUGUGAAGUUCAUUUGGUGUUUUAGAUGAAAUUAUUAAUCAAAAUUUUUUUAAUAGUUUUGAUCAAUCGAAUCAAAACUGCUUCAAAAAUAUUCACGUAUAGUAACAACUAUUUAAUGAAAUUUUUUAUAUUUUUACUUUAUUCUUGAAUAAUUCAUAAAAUUAAGAUAUUAGGAAACAAAUGCUCAAGUGUAAAUUUCCUCAAAAUUUCUAAAAGAAUAUACACGUAGAUAAUAAAUAAGUCAAAAUGGUACUUAUGAAAUAAAACAUAACAUAUUUUUAUUAUUAAUGAUUAUGUCUCUCAAAAGAAAGACACAAAAUUGAAAAAUUAUUCACACUUUGAGGAGCACUAAUGGUGUAGCUGAUCAGUUGGUUAAAGAUGGCUUAUAAAGGGAAAACGAUUUGUUAAACAUCAUUUUGUAAGCUUGAUGUUUAUUUGAGUUAUGAUUGUGGUUUUUUAAUGGUUUACUAUAACUGAGUUCCCACAUUUAUUUUCUCAUAUAAACAAAUAUCUAUUUUCUCUCAUGUCUCACAUCUUAUUAAUUCUUAACUAUUUAUAUUGUAUCUCAUUAAAAAUAUAUAAAAGUCAAGAUGAUUAAUAAAAUGACAUAUUUUCUUACUUCCCUAAUAUUAUGCACCUAAUAAAUCUCUAUUUUUUAUCACUUUCCAAUUUCCACAAUAUUAUUAAUUCUCAAUUAUUUCUCCUAUUUCCAAUCAACGUAAUAAAUAAUUCAUAAAAUGACAUAUUUUCUCACUUCCCUAAUAUUAUGUACCUAAUAAAUCUAUAUUUUUAUCACUUCUCAAUUCCCACAAUAUUAUUAAUUCUCAAUUAUUUCUUCUAUUUUCAAUCAACGUAAUAUGUAUUUAAUGAUCUCCAACUAAUGGUAAAAUUGUUUUCUUAAUUUCAAUGAAAUAAAAGACCUCAUUUGAAUAUUUAGACGCUUUAGGCUUUUUAGGUUUUUUUUCUUAAUUGAGGAAAGGGGGAUUCGAACCUUGCUUUCUAGGCAAGGGAUCAUGCACCAAGCAAUGAGCCAAAUACUCAGGUGCAUUUUUUAGGCUUUUAAGGUUAUUGAGCCACCCCUGGCAUUUCUAACAAUACUUUGCAACUAAUAUGUGACAAUCUUUCAGAUUGCAAAAUAUGUUUUAUGUUGUCCCCAUAUUAUGCUGUGGGUUCUAUUUUCAGUAUAUGCUUGACCACAGACAAUGACUUUUUAAGAAUUUAGUGGGUAGCUAGCUAAAGAGGAUGAUUGAUGAAUGGUGCAAAUAUGGUUGUUGACUUGGCUUCUAUGGUAGAGUAUUUUGCUUGGGUAUUAUUAUAAGUGAUGGUACAGUUGACUCCAUAUGUUUUUUAUGAUAACAAAAUAUUCUCAUUCAUUGAUGUCUAAUUACUUUAUUUAAGUGUGUGAACCCUUUAUAUAUUUGUUUUUUGGAAGCAAGUCAAGAAGCUUGCUUAAUUACAAGAUGAGUUAAUCAGUUAAAGAAGCAAAGAAGAAAAGGCUUAGUGAAGACAAAAUGUUGUUAACUGAUUAACGUGGAGCCUUAACCAAUUAAGGCAAAAGCUAGGAACUAUACAAAAGCAAGACAAUAAAACCUUAAUUAGUUACCACAAGGUUUAACUGAUUAAGAAGGUGCUAGAAGCUAAAAACAAAGGCAUGCUAAUCAGUUAAAGAAUUGGGAUAAUCAGUUAGAGCACAAGACUUAGUACCUUCAACGCCAAAAUUCAAAGUUGAAAGAAGAUUGACUAUAGAAGGGAGCCAAAAUGAAAAAGUUCAAAUUUCGAAGAUUUUCUAAUUGAUUAAAGCUGAUUUUAAUCUGUUAAGGUUGAAGGAAGUGAAGCCUCAACUAGUUAAGGGAAGAGCUAACCAAUUAAAGGAAGACUGUUGUGUAGAGGAAAAUGAAAACAGAAAGUUUGUAAUCAGUUAGAGUUUCCUCUAAUCGAUAAACACAAUGUACAUAACUACAAGACAGUGCAAGGCAGAGAAGCUAUAAUUUGUUAGAACUGCUUGUAACCAAUUAACGAAACACUGUCUGCCUAUUUGAAAAGAGCCGCUAGAAGAUAAAAUAACGGCUAUUAACGGCUAAAAAUUAUCUCUAACAGCCAGAAUCAAUCUUCUAAGUAUUUAAAGGCUCUCUAACAAUCAAAAAUUAUAUAGAGAAGCUACCAAGAGUGAUUUUGAACUUAAAACAUACAAAAACCUUCUUUUAACACUUGUAUUCCACUCAUAUCUUUGUGAAAGUGUUUGUGUUGAAGCUUUUACAACUUAAAUCAGUAAGGUGCUCAUUUGCACCUCCUUUUAUCUUCUAUUUCUUGUUUACUUAGAUUGUGAGAGAUACUCUAAGGGGUAGUCUAAGUUAGGAUAAGCUUAAGAUUUGUUGUAAAAGGGUUGAAGCUAGGGUUAGAAGCUAAUCUUGUAAAAGCUUGUUGGAAGCUAUUAAUUUCACUGGUUUUUUAAUGAAGUUUGGCUGAAAAUCUAUAAUUAGGAAUAUCAAGGUAGUGGAUGUAGGUCAGGUGGACCAAACCACUAUAAAUAUUGUGUUUUAUCCACUUCUCUUAUCUCUCUUUACUUAAUGUUUGCUAACUACAACAAGUUUUCAAACCAUUCAUCUUAAAUCUUCCAAAUGGAUUUUAAAUUUCAAAAAACUACCAUAAAAAAUAUUUUUAAAUACUAUUCACCCCUCUCUGACACUCCUUUUAGGACCAACAAGUACUGUUUGGGAAAAUGGAUGAUUAUUGAGGCUUUUGUGGUUUUUCAUCAUUGGUUUUUGGUGGUCGGUUACUUUGUUUCCAUUUCUUAUGACGAAAGUCUAAUGGUUAAUAUUCUGGUUCAUAGCAUGUUAAUUAAUGGCUUUGUUUUUGUAAUAGGAUUACCCCUGCUUCAUUUUAAUAAUAUUAAAUAAUUUUAAAAAAAUAAUUAUGUAUGAAUAAAUUAAAGCAACAAAUCCACUAUAAUUCCAAACCCAUAGAAUGGAAAACUGCCAACUAGUCAAGCAUAGCGAGAUCAAGUCUUUGAUAAAUGACUUGAUUUAGACUUUGUCGACCACUUCAUCCGAAAUUCCAGAAGUAAGUCUUCGUUAAUCACUUCAUCCAAAAUACUCAAAAACAAAGGCAAGUCUUCGUCCACCACUUCAUCCAAAAUUCUCAAAAAACCAAAAGCAAGUCUUCAGCAUCCACUUCAUUCAAAUUUCAGAAAACAAAAGAAAGUCUUUGUCAAUCAUAUCCCCAAAAAAAAAAUUUUAAAAAUGCCAAAUAGUAUAUUUCUAAUGCUUUGAUUCUGCAUCAGAUCAUAAAAUGGUCUUGACUUGGGUCUCCUUCCCACUAUAAUUCUUCUCACAAGUCUGUCAAAAUGAGUAAGUGCACCCGUCAAGCAUGACAUCAAAAGCCUCCUAUAAGGAUAUGUCUAAUUGGGGUCAAAUCUUUCUUAGUUAUUACUCUAAAAUGGAUAUAAGAUCUGCAUGUUUACAACAAGAAUUUCGAAUACUAAUUGGCAAGACGUGCCAGUUGACCCAGUUUGAUUCUAUUCUAGACUUGACUACUACUUGAUCCUAACAAACGUGUCGGAACUUGUGAAAGGAAAACUUUUGAAUUAUAUGUGGAAAUGACGAUGGUUUUCAAUAUAUAUAUAUUGAAAUUGUCAAAAUUGUGUUAGGAUCUAUUUCCACAUGCACCCUUCGACAGUGAAAGAAAAUUUACCACUUGGCAUAUUGGAGAGAAUUCUUAAAGAGCAAUUAAUGUUAUCAUUUCUUAUUCAUUUUUAUUGACAUAUCUAAAGGCCAAGAAAAAGUAUUUUUAUUUAUAAAAUUUAUUACAAUAUCAAUUUAAUUACAAAAUGAGUUAAUCAGUUAAAGAAGCGAAGAAGAAAAGGCUUAGUGAAAACAAAAUGUUGUUAACUGAUUAACGUGGAGCCUUAACCAAUUAAGACAAAGCUGGGAGCCAUACAAAAAGCAAGACAGCAAAACCUUAAUUAGUUAGCAUAAGGCUUAACUAGUUAAGAAGGUGCUGGAAGCUAAAAACAAAGGCAUGCUAAUUGGUUAAGGAAUUGGGAUAAUCAGUUAGAGCACAAGACCUUAGUACCUUCAAGCACCAAAAUCCAAAGUUGAAAAAAGGUUGACCAUUGAAGGGGGCCAAAAUGGAGAAGUUCAAAAUUCGAAGAUUUCUAAUUGAUUAAAGCUGAUUUUAAUCCGUUAAGGUUGAAGGAAGUGAAGACUUAACCAAUUAAGGGAAGGGCUAACCAAUUAAAGGAAGACUACUGUGUAGAGGAAAAUGAAAACAGAAAGUUUGUAGUUGGUUAGAGUUUCCUCUAAUCGAUUAACACAGUGUACAUAGCUACAAGACAAUGUAAGGUAAAAAAGUUGUCAUCAAUUAGAGUUGCCUGUAACCAGUUAACGGAACACUGUCUAUUUAUCUGAAAAGAGCCACUAGAAGACGGUUAGUAAUGGCUAGAAAUUAUCUCUAACAGCUAGAAUCAAUCUUCUAAGCAUUUAAAGGUUCUCUAACAGUCAAAAAUCAUAUAGAGAAGCUACCAAAAGUGAUUUUGAGCUUAAAACAUCUAAAAACCUUUUUUUAACACUUGUAUUCCGCUCCAAUUUUUAUGAAAGUGUUUCAGCUGAAGCUUGUACAACUUAAAUCAGUAAGGUGAUCAUUUGUACCUCCUUUAAUCUUCUAUUUCUUGUUUACUUUGGGUGUAUGAGAUACUCUAAGGGGUAGUCUAAGUUAGGGUAAGCUUAGGACUUAUUGUAAAAUGGUUGGAGCUUGGGUUAGAAGUUCACCUUGUAAAAGCUAGCUGGAAGUUGUUAAUUCUACUGGUUUUAGUGAAGUUGGAUUAAAAAUCCUUGAUUGGGAAGAUCAAGGCAGUGGAUGUAGAUCAGGUAGACCAAAUCACUAUAAAUAUUAUAUUUUGUCUACUUCUUUAAACCUCUCUUUACUUGGUGUUUGCUAAUUAUAACAAGUUUUCAAACCAUCCAUCUUAAAUCUUCCAAAUGGAUUUUAAAUUUCAAAAGCUACUCUCAAAAAUAUUUUUAAGUGUUAUUCACCCCUUUUCAACACUCCUUUUGGAACCAACAGGUACUAUUUGGGAAAAUGGAUAAUUAUUGAGGCAUUUGUGGCUUUUCAUCAUUGGUUUUUGGUGGUGGGUUAUUUCUUCCAUUUCUUAUGAUGAAAGUCUAAUGGUUAAUAUGCCGGUUCAUAGCAUAUUAAUUAUUGAUUUCAUUUAUGUAAUGUGUUUAACCCUGCUUCAUUUUAAUAAUAUUGAAUACUUUUAAAAAAAAAUCAUUAUGUAUGAAUAAAUUAAAGCAAGAAAUCCACUAUAAGUCCAAUUCCAUAGAAUGGAAAACGGCCAACUAGUCAAGCAUAGUGAGAUUAAGUCCUUGAGCAAUGACUUGAUUUAGACUUUGUCGACCACUUCAUCCUAAAUUCCAAAAGGAAGUCUUCGUUAACCACUUCAUCCAAAAUUCUCAAAAACAAAGGCAAGUCUUGGUCCACCACUUCAUCCAAAAUUCUCGAAAAACCAAAAGCAAGUCUUCAUCAUCCACUUCAUCCAAAUUCCAGAAAACAAAAGAAAGUCUUUGUCAAUAAGGGAAAAUAGGUAGUAGAUGUCAGAAUAAUUUUUUUACUUUUAAAAAAUUCCAAAUAGUAUAUUUCUAAUGCUUUGAUUCUGCAUCAGAUCAUAAAAUGGUCUUGACUUGGGUCUCCUUCCCACUAUAUUUCUUGACACAAGUUUGUCAAAAUGAGUAAGUGCACCCGUCAAGCAUGACAUCAAAAGCCUCCUUUAAGGAUAUGUCUGAUUGGGGUCAAAUCUUUCUUAGUUAUUACUCUAAAAUGCAUAUAAGAUCUCUAAGUUUGCAACAAGAAUUUCUAAUACUAAUUUGCAAGACGUGCCAGUUGUCCCAGUUUGAUUCUAAGACUUGACUACUACUUGACCGUAACAAACGUGUAGGAACUUGUGAAAGGAAAACUUUUGAAUUUUAUAUCGAAAGGAUGAUGUUUCUUUUUCUAUAUAUAUAUAUAUAUAUAUAGUAGUUUGUCAAAAUUGUGAUAGGACCUUUUUCCACAUGCACCCUUCCACAGUGAAAGAAAAUUUACCACUUGUUGGAGAGAAUUCUUAAAGAGCAAUGUUACCAUUCUUAUUCAUUUUUAUUGACAUAUCUAAAGGCCAAAAAAAAGUAUUUUUCUUUAUAAAAUUUAUUACAAUAUCAAUUUAAAUUUUUUAUACAUGUACUACACAAUUACAUAAGGAGAAGCAACUCCAAUUUAAAAUCAAAUAUUGUAUAAAGAUGGUUUGUAUAAAAGGUGGGUUUUUCUGAUCUGUUGUAAGCUUCCUCAUACGUGGCAACAUUACUGAUUUUAGGAUAUUAUGCAAUACAAAGGUAUAACAUCUUGAAAUCAGGAUUUUACAUAUUUCCUUCAUUAAUAAACCAUCUCCAUAAUUUUUUUUAAAAUGUUGGCAAAAAAACAAGAACAAGGAAUCCUAAGUGAGUGUUUGACAUAGUUUAUAAAAGUGAUUUUCUAUUGAAAAAGCAGAAACAAUAUGUUUAUUUGGUUGUCAAGAUUUUAAAAUUUUUGGUUUAAAUGGAAAGUUCAUUUGGUGUUUUAGACGAAAUUAUGAAUCAAAAAUGUUUUUCAUAUUUUUGGUCAAUUAAAUUAAUACUUCUUCAACGAUAUUAAUGUAUAGUAACAAAUAUUUAAUGAAAUUUUUUAUAAUUCUACCUUACUAUUCAAUAAUUCAUAAAAUUAAUAUAUCAGGAAACAAAUGCUCAAGUGUAAAUUUCAUUGAAAUUUCUUCAAAAAUAUACACGUAGGUCAUAAAUAUCUCAAAAUAGUAUUUAUGAAAUUAAACAUAGCAUUUUUUUUUAUGUAUGAUAUAAAUUAAAGCAGGAAAUCUAGUAUAAGUCCAAAACCAUAGAAUGGAAAACUGCCAACUAAUCAAGCAUCGUGAGCUCAAGUCUUUGUGAAAUGACUUAAUUUAGACUUGUCAAACACUUCAUACAAAAUUCCACAAAAACAAAAGCAAGUCUUGGUCAUCCACUUUAUCCAAAUUCUAGAAAACAAAAGAAAAUUUUUGUCAACCAUCUCCCCAACAAAUUUUUGUCAACCAUCUCCCCAACAAAAUUUACUUUAACUAAACGUUAUACACAUAUUUAACGUAAUUCUUCUGAAAAAAAAAAUUACAAGCUCUUUGAGUAGGUGUUUAUAUUUUUCUGUCUUCCUAGACAUACUCUUAGAUUCCUUUGUUUAAUAUAUUGAUUAAUAAUGGAUAUCAAGUUUAUGAUGACAAUAUUCCUUUUCAUGUAUAUGAAUAAUAUUCCUUUUACUAGUUCACUGCCAGAAUUGAACUAAAAGGAGAAUGAAUUUGUCCUUUUGGCCCUUUAAGGAAAAAGAACUGAAUAAUACAUGUUCUUGAUUUAUUGCAAACUACGAUUUGAAUCAGGUAGCCAGUAAUUAACAACCACUAGUGAGGCCUAAUCACAUAUUAAGCAACAUUAAUAAUCAAUUGGAGGUAUUAAUUAUGCCAGUGAUUGCUACGUACAUCAUCAACACUGAAUUUCAGUGUAGGCAAUCUUCCAUAAGAAAUUCCUAGGUCCUCUCAAUCUUUCUGAUCUAGUUUCUCCCAAAGACAGGAUGUGUUGGUCAAAAUCAUUGAUGAAGCUUCCUUUACAAAUUACAAUAACAUCGAGGAAAAUAAUUAGUAGAUGUCAGGAUAUUUUUUUUCUUUAAAAACAUGCCAAAUAGUAUACUUCUAAUGCUUUGGUUCUGCAUCAGAUCAUAAAAUGAUCUUGACUUGGGCCUCGUUCCCACUAUAAUUCUUCUCACAACUUUGUCAAAAUGAGUAAGUGCACCCGUCAAGCAUGACAUCAAAAGCCUCCUCUAAGGAUAUGUCUAAUUGGGAUCAAAUCUUUCAUAGUUACUACUCUAAAACGGAUAUCAGAUUUGUAAUUUUACAAUAAGAAUUUCGAACACUAAUUUGCAAGACGUGCCAGUUAACUUAUUAAUUUACAAUGAUAAUAUAACUUCAAUGUGAGGCCGAACAAAAAAAAAUAAAAGGAACAAAUAGAACUUUAAGUUAUCUUUUUUAAUAUAAGCCUAACAAUAUGGAAAAACAAACUAUAUUAUCAAUUGCAUUCAAUUAAUAUUAAUUAUGUGAGGAUGAAUUUGCUAAUUUGAUAAACUAAUUAGAAUUUAAAAGUGCAAAUAAUAAGAAAUAUAUAUACCUCUAUAAAUUUCAAAUCAAUAAUUUAUCUUCAAAUGUUUAUUUAAAUUAUAAUUACAAUUAAUAUUACUUUUAGUAGUUUAUUUAAAUUCAAAUGUAAAUCAAACUAAAAGAAAUUAGAUUCCUAAUUAAUUGAAUUAACCUAUCUCAAAGAAGGCAAACCUUUCUACUUUUCAUGUCGGUAACCUUCCAACAAAUAUUGGAUAACUAAUUAGAGCAUGACCCCAACAUUUUUAAACUUAAUUAUUCAUUAGACAUGGUCUUACUGGAUUCUCUCUUUGUUCUUGGCUGUUUUAAAUGACUAGUUUAGGACUUUGGUCUUUGAAUUAUGAUUAAACAAAUGCUCCUGAAUAUCAAGGCAUCACUGUACAUAACAUCUUCAUCAAUUCAUAAGAUAUGUCCUAGUGCAUCUAGAUGGUUAAUCCUAUUAUUGCUCAUGCUAUUUUACACUUCUAUAUAUAUAUAUAUAUAAUGUUGUUAAAAAAAUGAAUGUACUUACCCAUUAAGGAUUUAUCAAUCAUUUUUUUAAUAUAUAUAUUUAUCUACACACACAUUGAAUAAUUGAUAGUUAAAAUACUAUAUAUUUGAAAAACCGUUUUUUCAUUUAAUGCACUAUAUAUCAAAUUCAAGAAGGAACAACAUAUUAGUUACAAAUCUUUCUUAUAAAUAUUACCUUAAUAUAAAUAUAUAUAUAUAUUUGAUUNUAUAUUUUGGGAUAAAAAAGGAAACUUAUUUGAAAAUUGAGAAAAUAGCAGAGUGUUAGGGAAAUGUCGAUAUCCAAAAUAGUUACUAAUAUUUUCUUUUAAAAUUACUAAAAAAAACUCACUUAGUGUGCACUAUAUAUUCUAGAAAAAAAAAAUUCAUCUUUAUUUUUGGUUUUAUUUGAAGUUGGAAAUUGAACCUAACUCUUUGAAUAGAAGAUGCAUGUUCUUACUAUUGAAUAUAAAAACUCAGCUGUAAAAGGUUUUUAUUCAUGUGUUUGGACAGGUGAUAAUCACAAUUCACAUGGGUCAACACUAACAAGGUAACAUGUAUCCUUAUUAAUGAAUAUGGAUGGAAAAUAUCAUAAACUAAAAACUAGAGUUUUAAUGUACAUGAUUAUCUAAUGUUAACAAUAAUACAAUCCUAGUGAAUUAAAUGUAUAGUAGAGUCUAUCAGAAUUAAUGUGAAAUUAUAUAAAAUCACAUUUUCAAGAUGCACCAGAUUCAAUGUUACUAUCAAAUCUUUGACUUGAAACAAGCAUUGAAAUGGGUAAUUCUGUAAGAUGAAUUUGGAAAUUAGAUGUGGUUGAAAGAUAUGAAAAGUGGAUUACUAGAGGCCUAUAUGUAUACCAUAUUUUCAAGUCAAAGCUUUUUUUAAGUAUGUUUUUAUUGGCAAAGAAGAAAAACAAGUUUUUAACGAUCACAUAUAGAAAAGUCUAGAAGAUAUUUUAUUUUAGUAAUUAAAAUUUCAAAUUUUAGUUUGAAAAUUUCGUGAUAGAAAUAUGAAAGAUUUAUUAGUUUCGAAUCCAUUUAUCUUCUUCUUUUAUAUGAGUAAUGAUUUGAUCAUGAAUUAUAGAUCUCGCAUAUAAAUGAAUUCAGAUACAUAUGAGAAGUAAUGGACCGAAAAAUUAAUUGUUAAUUUUUUAUAGUUCUUUUAUAAUUGUUAAUAUCUAUUGUCACAUGCAUUGCACAUGAAUACUUGUUUUCAAAUAUAUUUUUAAAUUGUUACAAAUUAGAUAAAUCUUAAUAAUAUUAAUAAUAAAAAGAUUUAAAAUAAUAACUUUAAAAUAUUAUAAAUAAAUAUAAUCAUUUUCAUUGAUCAAAAAGUUGUUCUAACAUUCGUACUUUAUACAUAUUAUAAGCAUCUACCAAAAGGUGGUGGUUUUUGUAUACUUUUUAUCAAGUAAUGAGAUCAUUUCAAUGCCUUGAUAUACAUAUAUGUAUAUACAUACAUAUAUGUACAUAAAUAUAUGUAUGUAUAUAUGUACAUAUAUACAUACAUUUAUAUAUGUAUGUCAUAACGUGUGGGUUCAAGAACCCGAUCGCUAGACGUGGUUAACUUAGGGAGUCGCUACCAAUAUUUUUUUACCUAGAUGCGAUUAGCCACCUAUUAAAUUUGUUUUAUUCGACGGAGUUCUAAAUCGACUUUAGAUCCUUCUAAAGAAUAACAAACUGGUCUACGUUUUUUAUUUAGAAUUCGGUUCGAGAGUACAGUUACGCACAGGAAAAGAUUAACACCCCUAUGACGCCAAUUCCACGAACGGUACCAUUUAAUCAUAUAUUAUUAUAACCCAUUAAUUUUAUUAUUAUGUUUUCUUAAUUUUUUUUAUUUAACUUAUCUUUUAUUCUAUUAAUAAAUUAAAAUAUUCUAUUUGAUUUUACGAGUUUAACGUACACGUAAUGCAAUUGUAAAAUGCAUGGUAUAAAAUCGAGAUAAUGUCAAACGAAAACCUUUUUAUGAGUGCACUUUUUGAAUCCACCUAUCAUGCUGGUGAGAUCCAGGAGUAUCCUCUCACUUAGGAAAAUAUCUGAGAAACUCGCCUUCGCAAAUUACCUGGGUAAAUCCUAUAAUCAGGAUAGUCAUUUGCAAGUAAAAACAAUAUUUUUAUGAAUGUAAAUUCUAAUACGGACAAAGCUUUUUAUUAAAGAUAUUUCUCCGAACCCUCCCAUCAUACUGGUGAGACUCGGAGGCAUCCUUUCACCUAGGAAUUUUUCUGAAGGAACUUGCCUUCGCAAACUCUUUCAAAAAGUUCCACCAUCGGGGCUUGGAUUCAUGUACAUCAUACAUCUAUAUGCCAUGACACUUAACAAUGCAAUAAUGAUGUGUAAUAUGCUUUUAAAUUUCAAUAUUUGUUUCUUAAUCUUCCUACAACUCCUUUGAUAUUUCUUUGAAAUUCUUUUUAUUGUUCUUCUUUGUAUGUAUAUAUCUCAUGGAUAAUAUAUGUUAUAUUUAUUAUUUAUUAUUUUAUUUUUUUCAUUAAAGUAUUUAUAUAUUGUUGCUCUAUGAAUUUUCCUUUUUACCUAAAUACUAUUUCUUUUUAAACCAAAAAUCUCAUUUCAUAAUUGUUAUUUAUGUGUAUAUAUUUUUUAUAAAUCAAUUACGUUUCUACUUUUUAUUAACCUAACCUAUUUUCUUUUUGACUAGCUAUUUUUUUAAUCUUUUCUCAUCAAUCUAUUUUAUAUUUGCCUUUCAUAUUUUAGUUGUAUUGGCUAUUGUGAAUUUACCAUCAUUGAGAGUUUUAUUAUUUUAUUAUUAUUUAUUCAUUACCUUCAUUAUUUCUUUACUUCUUUUGUUUUAUAUUUUUGUUUGAUUAGUAAUUAACUUAAUACAUUUUUCAUUCACUUAGAAUUGUAAAUAUCAAGAUUUAGAAUUAAAACCUUCCUAUUAUACUGGUGGGAUCUUAAUCGAAAUCUCUUACUUAGAAAAAUUCAUCUAAUGUUGCAACUUCAUGCACUCCAAAUAACUAUUUCAUCAGUGGUUAUUCUAAUAAUAAUGUAACUUUUUUUUACCAUCAUGUUCACUAUCAUUCACUAACUUUGAAACCAUUAUAUUUUAUUUAAUAUACACUCCAAAAUUUAGAGAAAUGAGGGAUAUCCUUGCACAUAUAUUUCUUUAAUUUUACUAAACCAUAUAUCUAUUUUAUUUUUUCAUUGUUGUUGACAAUAUUAAUACUAAUUUUAUCAUUUUUCUUGUUUAAAUAUUUUUUCUAAAAAAAAUACUAAUCAACAAUAUUAAAAAUACAAACACAUAAAAGAAUUAAGAAAUAAAAAAAAAACCCAUACAAAAUAAGUGUAAGUGACCCAACACAUAAGUCCUAAAUAACAAAACACAAACGGAACACAUACCUUUUGAUCUAUCAAAGCCCAAAUUCAAUUGUAUCUUGUCAAUAAUGUGAGAUCAUAGGCUAAGCUCCCAAGGACAAAGACAAGGGCUUGUUUCAGGGUUGUUUCUCCAAGCCUAACUAGAAUCAUGGGCUUGCCUUAAAGGCUUUACAAACUGAGCUUAAAGGAAAGGGAGACGGGCUUAGUCUGCUUCAAGUCCUAAAGGCACCACUUGGUGCUGCAGCUUAAAGAAACAAAAGUAAAAAAGGAAAGAAAAUUUGAAAGCAAUGCCGUUUCAAUCUCCUCCAAAGCCCAACUAGAACACCGGUUUCUCCAAAUUUUUGGACAAUCAGAAGCCUUCAAGUUCAAAAAAAAUCCACUGAAAAUGAUUUCAAGUUUCCGAUUGCCCGAGGAGCAUUCAAUGCUCUGUAUAUUGUUGACAAUGGAGGCCAAGCGUGCUUCUAGCUUUUUUUUUCUUUUUAAAUUUUGGUUUAAUUUAUUUAUUAAUCAUUAUUAAGAAAGGUGUCUNGCUUUUUUUUUCUUUUUAAAUUUUGGUUUAAUUUAUUUAUUAAUCAUUAUUAAGAAAGGUGUCUACAAUAUAUAAUAUAUAUAUAUAUAUAUAUAUAUAUUAAUAUAUAUUAUAAACAUCUACCAGCCAACUACAAAUUCACUGAAUGAACUACUCAAAAUGCUGUUUUUCUGGAUUGAUCCUUUCAUAGCGUCACCAAUUACAAGAAUUAAGCAAUGUUAUGUGCUCAAAGUAAAAUCAUUGCCUUGUAUGUGUGUGUAUAUACAUGUACACAUGUACAUACAAUCAUGUCUAUAUGCAUAUAUCUUAUACACACACAUAAAUACAUCCAUUAGAACAAGGUUUGACCUAAAGAUCCCUACCUAAUUAUUCAAUACUAUCCUACCACUUGAGCUAAACUUGAGUGGCACCAUUCCAGGAGUUCUCUUUUUACUUUCCUUUGAUUCCCUUUGAUAGCCCCAAAUAAUUCACAAAUGGCUCAAAAGGACAAAUACUCUCCUGCCCUCAAGCUGCUUCAUCAUGUUUUAACUCCCACCACUCACCAAGGAGAACUGCAAGCUCCUGAACCAGUAGGACAUCUAUGUACCCUUUCACCCGAAUUUAAAGGAAAGACAAACUCACUCUGUUAUAUGAGACAGGGAGUAUCAUAUACAUUCCAACUAAACCAAGACAGACUGCUUCAUUUGUGCCGUUUCAUGCCCUUAUAUAUGCAGAAGGAAAAGGUCAAAUCAAGCUUAUGAUGAUUGCUUGCUCACCACCCUCCCUCCUAAUAUGCAGGGAUGAUUUGAGCACAACACAUGCCAUAGAAGACAGAUGUAACUGCCAAUAUGAGAUCAUGCCUCAACCACAAAGAUUGACAUUAAAGUACAACUAUUCAACCUCUAGCACACUGGAUAAUCAGGAGACUUGGUCCAGUUCUCAUCUGCCAGACCUGUGCAUGAUGUGGUCAAGUAAAGAUGUUCAGAUACUCAACCACUCAUUAAAAAAUGGAUGUAUAACUUCCAUAUCAAGUACAAAACAGUAAAAAUUACAGGUUUUUUUUUUUGGCUAAAUGUGAGCUCUACUAAAUGAAGUUCUAAGAGCUGCACAAUGAAAACCAUCUAGAGAAGUACUAUAGUUUUCACUCUCCAACAACACAACUUAGUCUACAACAGCAAAGCCGAAAAUCUGUCAAAUGUAUAUCCUGAAUAGAGGAAAAAUUAGUUACAUUGAAUCCACGUAUGAAAGGAUUAAAUUAAGAUGUUUGCUUAUGGAGUGAACAUAGUUUAGGAUAAUCUGUCAAUCCGUUCACACAAUUAGAGUAAUAAGUCAAUUCAUGCCCACUAUUAUUUUCACUACAAUUCUAUAAUAAUUCAAUCCCAACUAUCUUUAGUGUAACAGUCCACUUGUAUGUAGCGCCUAUGCACCCCAUAAGCAAGGAUGAUUAGAUGAUAUGGACUCACUACUAAAUAGUAAUGCAUCGUUAUCAUUGUGACGAUAAAUGUUGAACAAAUGACUUCAUCUCGGGCAAAUGAUUGAGGCUUCUCUUCUGACUUCCUGUUUGACGUUUGUUCACUCUGCCAUAUCAUUUUAGAGAAAGAACCACUUGUGGAACAUGUUGCAGACACAACUUUUGACAAAAUAGCUCCUACCAAGGAACGGUUCCUAUCUUCUGAGAGUCUUGAACAUAAUUAAACAAAAGUUUAUCAAUAACGCAGCAAAAGAAAAGAAAACGAGAAGCUACCCAUGAAAGAAUCCGUUCUUGUAAUGAAAGAUAAAUCAUAUUAUAUUUCAAAAUGCAAUGAGACUAACCUGAAAGCUGAGAUCAAAGCAUCAUCUCCAAUGGUGACUGCACAUUAGUAACGUUGACUUGACUGCCCAACAAUAAAAAAAGCAGCUGAAUUCAAAUACCAGAAUAACUUCAGAAAGCUGCACGAUAGUAAUGUUGCAGGCACAACUUUUGACAAAAUACCUCCUACGAAGGAAUGUGUUUCCAUAACUGGUAAUCUACCAUAAGAGUUUCCUAUAUCCUCUAAAUCUUUCUUUGGUUUCUGAUCCCAAAAACGAGAAUGUGUUUCUUGAAAUGACCUUUGAAGCGUACUCGACAUUACUCAUUUAAGUUAGUUAUCUAAGUUGGUCAAACACGUACACAAAUCUAAUGCUUUGCUUCUGCAUGAGAUAAACAGGCAAGGCUCUUGCCAUGUUUCAAAAUAACUAUUACACAUUUAAGCAGGGAACUCACCUGAAUAUCAGACACAUCAAAACGUGCAAUCACGCCAGGUAUGACAACACAAACCUCCUCUGAGGAUAAAUCUUGUGUCAUAUCUUUCUUACUUCCACAGACUCUUAAGUUUACAACGUGUCUUGGAUAUACCAUCUAAAAUCAAAAAUUAAACUAAUAAGUUCACCAUUCGAAUAACGAUUUAUCUCUAACUUAUUUCAACUUAAUAACUUUAGAUCCAACUGAUGUUAACAUAAGAAGACUUCAUUCGGCUCAUCAGUUAAAAAACACAUUCAACCUAUAAGUUUACAUGAAAAUCUACAAAACACACCAAAUUAUGUUCAUUUCACUUUGCACUUUCUAAAACUGUAUCAUCCAUUGAAGGUAAAAUUAAAAAACUGAACACAUAAAUAAAUCCAGCAUUCAAUAAAUACAUCAAGCUAAGCAAACGAAAAAAGCAAUCAUUUUUGAAGAAUGAAAAAUGAAGAUGUAACUUAUUUAGAUAAUGAAAUGCAUAAUUCUACUUUUAUAUGAGGUAACUAAUUAUUCCAGUCAUUGUUCAUUUAAUCAAUUACAUAAUUUUGCUUCAAAGUAAACUUUCAAGCAAUAGCAAUAACAACCAAACCAAACUCAAAACACAUAAAAAGAAAAAUUACCUGUCUAUGAAUCAAAUCACCACGCAAAGAGUAAACCAAGAUAAAAGGAAAGUGGUGCUGGCGUUGGCGAUGAGGAUAAGAGAUCGGUUAGCGAUGGCGAGACAAUGAGCAUCGAGAGCACAGAGGAGAGAGGUGCUGGCGUUGGGGGCAGCGCCGAACUCGGACAAGUCUUCGUAGGCGAUGCAGCCGAGAUCCGUCAAGUGACGAUGGCUCUGUUUCGACAUUGCGUCGGGCUUCCGGGUUUCUUUUUUCUGUGUCUCUUGUCUCUUUGGCAACUGACAUUACGGAUUGGAAAGGAAAGAAUUUUGUAUAUGAAAGGAAAGCGGUGACUGUGGGAUCCACGUGUAUGGUUGGGAAGAAAAUUCAGAAAAUUAAUUAAAAAUUAAAAUGAAUGCAUUGGAACGUUUUUAUUUUAUUUAAAGUCUUCCAAAUUACAACAUUUUCAAUACAAAUCCUAAAUUCAUCAGGAAAAAAAUAUAUAUAUAUCUUCUUCAAAACUUGUCUAUUCCACAUAAACUUCAAAUAAAUGCUGCUGAACAUGAAUAGCAAAUUAUCCACUAAGAACACCUGGAAUUGUUCAAACCACUACCAUGGAAAAGCCAGAUGCUAGAGAAACAGGGUCCAUUGGAUUCGGUUCGUAAGCUACCUUGACAAAUAGAAAAAAAAAAACAAAGGAAAAAUCAAUUAUAGAUUACAAAAGCAACGAAAGCUUUGUUGUAAUUCUACUUUGGUAAAAAAACUCACCUAUGCAUGAUGUGGAUGUAGUGCUAGUUUCUUCUUCCUCUGUUUCUGCUAAUCCACUUUGUAACAUUGUUUUGCCAAUCUCUCUCAACCAUUCUGAUAAACCACCAUGGUCUUGCUGUUGUGAACACAAUGUAUCCCAUGCUCAAUCCUAACACCACUCCACAUCCGUAGCCCAUCAUUACAACUUUCCAAAUAAAGGCUAUUUCAGAACCUUCAUCUUCCUUAGGCAUUGGUACCGGUGGUUUUGGUUCCUCAUCAUUGCCGCAUUGCUUUGACAGGUGGAGGCCACACAAUCCCAAGUUACCACUAUAAGAAUCACUCUCAAAAGUAUCAAAUUGAUUCCCACCGGGAAUUGGUCCGGUAAGAGCAUUUUGUGAAAGAUUUAACACUGCAAGGAAUGUCAGCUUCGUCAAUUGGGAAGGAAUUCUGCCACCGAGCUUGUUUGAUGAGAGAUCUAACGAUUCAAGUGCUACCAUCUUUCCAAAAGAUGUUGGGAUAGGACCAAUUAAAUGGUUGUUAGAGAAGUUGAGCGCUUGGAGCGAAAUAAGUUCUCCGAGUUCCUUAGGAAUUUGUCCAUAGAAUAAAUUGCUCGAAAAGUCUAUAGACAUGAAAAUGUCUAAGGUUCGUGCUAACUCCAUCUCCAAUCUUUUCAUUGUUACAUUCACAGAAACAUUCAUAGAAAUUUGCUGAUAGACACUUACAUAUACUUUUCCACCUUUGGCUAUGCAAUCCUGAUAGCAGUAUUUAGAACUUUUUUGAAGGGGACCAUCAGUGUCACCUGUAACGUCAAUAUACCCCCGUGAGCUUGAACCCUGAUAAUGCAUAUACCCCAGUGAGCUUGGAUUCUGAUGUCUCUUUUGAGGUUCAUCUUUCAUUGCUCUCAAAUUUUGGAAGAAUUUUGUUGGCAAGGGGCCAGUGAGCUCAUUAUGAGAGAGAUCAAUUAUUUGCAACGAGGAGAAGUUAGACGAAGCUAUGGAAUUGGGCAUGGGACCAUACAAUCUAUUAUUUCGCAAAAGAAGAACUUGUAGCUCAGGAAGUGAAGCUAACCAAUGGGGAAAGGUAUCAGUAAACUUGUUGUUCCUUAAAUUCAAAACUUUCAAAGAACUACAAUUAGCCAAAGAUUGCGGCAAUAAUCCUUCCAAUUGGUUGUCAUUAAGGAGAAGAUAUCUCAACUGAUCAUUUGUAAAAGAAUCAGGGACUUUGCCAUAAAAAUUAUUCAUCUCCAAAUUCAAGAACUUGAGAUAAAUGCUGAAAUUUCCAAUAUAAUUUGGAAUGGUUCCAUUCAAGUUAUUUCUAGACAAGUCAAGAAACACAAGUGAACUUUGAUCGCGAAUCAAAAGAUUUGACAGAAUUGGCCCUUGAAGCAAGUUGGAUCGAAGGUCAAGAACUCGAAGAUUCUUUCCUGGAAAUUGCUCCAAAGUGGUCAAAGAGUUAUUAGAAAGGUGCAACUCGAGCAAGCUUUCCCACCCUUCUGCUUCCCAUUUGGAAAUUCCACCACAAAUCUUGUUAUAGGAAAGAUCUAAAAUCUCCAAAUUUGAUUUUUGAAAGAAACUUGGGAAUUGUCUUAUGCUACAAAAAGAGAAUGACACAGUAGCAAGCUGGGGGAAGGAAUAGUUUGCAUCAUUACCGCCUGUGCUUAAUGAUAGUAAACUAUUAUUAGAAAGAUAAAGAUGGGAAAGAUUUUCGAGUUUUGCAAGCAUAUUUGACUUGAUGACACCACUCAAGUUGUUUGAUGAAAGAUCAAGUUUUUCAAGGUUCACAAGAUCAAAAAAAAAACUGGGUAUUGGACCAUGAAUGUCAUUAGAACUCAAAUCAAUGUUUCGGACAGAAUUAGGCUUCUGAAUUUGGUCGAUUGGGCCGGUGAGUUUAUUAUGGCUGAGAUCUAAAUCUUGCAACGAUGGCAAAGUAAACAGCCAAGAUGGUACUCCACCACUUAUUAGGUUAUUAGAUAACCAAAAUCCUUCUAGCAAUUGAAGCUCACUAACAUGAUUUGGCAGUGGACCUUCUAAUUGAUUAUGUGACAAAUUUAGUAGGGUAAGUUGUGUGAGGUUGAACAUAGUUGUUGGAAGUUGACCACUAAAAUUGCAAGAAUCAAAUUUCAAAGUAGUUAAUCUGUUAAGGUUUUCAAAAGCAUCUGGAAUCUGUCCUUCAAAAUCAUUUUCAGAAAAAUCUAAAAAGACAACUUGAGUGAGAUUUCGAAAUGAUGCAGGAAUUGAGCUAGAGAAUCCAGAACGAGAGAGAUUAAGAUGGGUCAAACUCACUAACUUAUUAAAUAACUCUGAAGAGAUAGAGCCAUCGAAAUUGUUGUGAGCAAGGUUGAGUUGUUGUAGUCCUUGAAAGUGGAAGAGGCUGCUGUCUUCAAGAAGAGAGCCAUGAAGGUUGUUGGAACUGAGAUUGAGCCAUUGAAGUCUUUGAAGGUGGAAGAGGCUGCUGUUCGCAGGGAGAGUGCCGUUAAGGCAACUGUUACUAAGGUCGAUGCCAAUGACAUGACCCGUCACCGUGUGGCAAAAGACUCCAUCCCAUGAACAGCAAUCCGUGCUUUCAUUCCAAGAAUUUGUCCUUGGGCAAUCAUCACAAUAAUGAUCCAAAGAAAUGGUGUUUUUGAAUUCAAGCAAGGCAGCUCUCUGUUCUGGGAGGCAUAAAUGAGCCGAAUCAAGAAAAGAGGAAGAGAAACUCAAUAAACAAUGGACCUGGAAAUGCAAGAACGCUAAAAGCAGGAAAAGGAUUGGAUACAACAUCCUAACUACCUUUCCUAUGUUUUCUCGAGAAAAAGGAAGUUACGAAACAAGGGUAGUCGAAAAAGGGCAAGCUAAGGGGGUGGAACUGAAAAUGAGUUGUGGUUGAGGUUGAGGGACAUUAAUUAUAAAUGAAGUACCUGAGAAGUGGAGACAUCUCUUUUUCAAGUCUUUGCAAAAUGUUUAUAUUAAUGAAUUUCCAGUCAAGUCUUGUCAACUUGAAAAUUUAUGUCUGGAAUCAAAAUUAAAUUAACGGAAUAAAAAGGAAAAGUGUAUGUACCGAGUGUGACAGGAUGGCACUAAACAAUAUUAAAAGAAACUUCAAGAUGAUAGAAAGGAGAGGAAUCGGUAAAUUGCUGGAAAAGUGUACACGCAUAUUUUUCUCAUCAUUCCAUUGCAUUUUCAAGUUCAAAAGCACCUACUAAAAGUUAGAGUAGCAUUAUUUUUCCUUAUAUUUUGUUUUUACUAUUUAACUCACCUGCUAAAAAAUUUAUCAAUUUUUGAUAAGUCAAUUUAUUUGUAAACACAAUGCUCAAAAUUGAAUCAAUUUAUGAUACUUCGAUAAAUAGUACAAAACAAACGACAAGUAAGAAUUAUACAAAAAGAAUAUUGAAUAUUGUUUUGAAAACAAUCCAAAAGAUUGUGACAUGAACUUUGAAACAAAAAGAUUAAUAAAAUUGAUCAUAUAAGUGACAAUUCAACUGUGAAAACUAUCAAGUCAAAAGGAAGAUGGAAAACAAUUCAUUUCUCCUUAGUUCUCUUAUAAUUAUUAGUAUUUAUUAUCAUGUGUGUUGUACAUAAAAUUCUUUAAGUUUCAUGAUGUGGAAGAUGAGAUUUUUUUCUUAAUUGGCAUAUAAACACUGAAUUUUAAUAAUCUUGUAAUACAAUCUAAUGAAAAAAACUAGAAAAUAUGGGAUUCUUUUUGGUUUUUUAACAAAAAAAUUAUGAUAUUUUUGUUGGUCUUAUAUUCCAAAAAAAAUUUAUUAACAGCAAAAAGAAAAGUAUAUUGAAAGAAUGAAAUUUGAAAAGCCAAAAGAAUAACAAAAAGAAGCAUUAUAGGCUCAAUAUAUUUUUUAUCCUUAAUAACAGCUUAAGGGUAAUAAAAUAAAGAAGAGAGGUAGAUUUAAAAAGAUUAAAUUAUGUAAUUAAUUUUUAUAUUUUAUAAAAAAUAUGAAUUUAGCUUUUAUAUAAUAAUUUGUGAAAAAUGUGGAUUUAGGGAUGGUGAGAGAGAGCAUUUUUUGUUUGGCUUGUGAAUACAAAAUUAGACUUCUAACUAGUAAACUAUCACUUGCAAUGAUGAUAAACUACAAGUCUACGAAUAAACUAGAACGGACUUAGCUUCUUCUUCUUUUUCUUUAAAGGCAGAGAGGAUUUAACUUAAUUGUAAACAAGUAUCAUAUUUGUCAAAGAAGUUAUGAUUACAGGUCUUUAUGAAAAGGAUUUCGAGGGCACGCAGACAAACAGGACAUGUCCUGAAAGCAGCUAAAAGGGUAAAAUAAGUGUGUAGUUGAGGAUUUUCGCCAAUCUUUUUUGUUAAUUGGUUGUUAAUUGUUUUUCCCUGAUCUUUGUAGUUAAUCUCAUUUGAUUUAGGACUAAGAUGUUUGUCUCCCUCUAUUCGAUUGUUAACAUUUUUUGUCUCCUAAUUUUUUUUUAAUCUCAUUUAAUUUAAGGUUAAGGUAUUUGAGAUUAAAAUUUGAUGGAUUUUUGUCCAUUGAUAUCCACAACAUUUUUGCCACAUCAGCAAGUGCACAUCAACAUUUUCACCAUAUCAACAAGUGCCAUGUUAGCAAAAUGCAUGUUAUCUGUUCAAUCAAUGCCAUGUCAACACAUAAUCAACACCAUUUACAUUUUUUUUAUAAAAUAUAGAGACUAAUUCUAAAAUUUAAUUAUUUAAAAAUUAUUUUUAUAUAUAUCAUCACUGAAAAUUUUUAAACCUGUAAGCAGAGUUAGAAAGUUACCAUGUAUCACAUAUUAAAUUAAUAGACAAAUUAAUAUAAUAAAUAAAUAAAUACAUGAAAAUAUUCUAAUUUUUUUUUGUUAAAUUUAAGAACUCAACAGGGGAUGAUAUGUAGUCCAAAAAAGAUAGUCUUUGUUUACAUUGUCAUGCUUUAUACACAGUUAGUCUUCGGCAACUUUCCCAGCAAUUACUGAUUGCUUCAAAUGUGGGAUAUGCUUUUGCUUUUCUUUGGUCUUAAUUAAUUAAUUUACUUCGAAUUCCCAUUACAUGCUUAGCUUUUGUUUGAUCUUUAAUUAAUAUAUUUACCAGGACUCUUCAGCUGAUAUGACUUCUCUUUUCUAGGUGUUGGGUGUUAAAACAAUGAAAGGGACCUCCUUCCCACGAAUUGGGUCCUAAUAAAUCAAGCUUUUUUACUAUCGCAAAUAAUUAUUUAAGGCUUUGUUUUCCUAAUAAUUUAAUGGUUUCGAACAAACCAAGACCAAGUCAUGACUCUCUUUCAAAGUAAAUCUUAAAAUGUUUCUGUAGACAUAAUUCCUGAGCAUAUAAUUUCUUAAGCAUGCUACUUGAAUUGCUAGUUUCUUCAUCCUCCAUUACUAUUAUAGGUGAUUAUAUAGGUGCAUUCCAUGUAUAAUUUUAUGUGUUUGAGAAAGUACUUCUAGGAAAAAAAUAGUAAUGAGAACAAAAACAAAUAAUUUUUUUCCUUUUCUCCCUCAAGAGCAAUUUUUCUUUUAAAAGUGAUUUUUUUUAAAAAAAAAUGAUUUUAUUAACAAUAAAACCAAUAUGCCAUCCGACGUCUCUACACGAUUGCUAAAGACUUCUGUUAGCAUAUAAUUCUAACUUCUGCGUCAUCAAGACUUAUGAGAUCUUCUCAUGUAAAUCCUUACAAUUGAUAUUAUAGCAGCAUAAAACCAUGGAGGACCAAUUAGGAAUUCAGUGGAAAAGUGAUGACAGCAAUAAAUAAUUUUAUCAUCUAUGGCAAGGUUGUUAAAUGUAACCUUUAUCAAGUUUAAAGGAUUUAUAUAUAUAUAUAAUUAAAGGAAGGGAAAUUCGAAUCUUACUCUUUAGGUAAGAGAUCAUGCAUCAAUUAAUAAGUCAAUGUUUAAAUGUUUUAUUAAGUCUAAAAUUAUUUUUAAUAAAUUCAUACAUUUGAUUCAUUGAUUGACACAAUUAAAUCAAAUUUCUUUUUUUUCAAAUAAAAUAAAAUAAAAAUAUAAAACGAAUAAAAUAGUUUUUUGUCAUAUAGAAACGCAUCAAUGGCUGUCCAGUUCACAUUUUAGAAAGCCAUUUUGAUGGGAGGUGGGGGUGCAACUUCAAUUGUCCUUUCCAAGAAAGCACCAGCAACAUCACAAGAUAUGAACUAGUAAUUACACAGCUUCUUAAUGUUCCAUAACUGGUAUUCUAUUUUUUUUUCCUUCUGGCUAUUCCAAAACGGAAUCUGUUGCUUGAAAUUACUGUUGAAGCAUACUGUUACUGUAGGAUACCAGAUGAGGGAAAAAUUAUAGUCAUAAUUUAAUUUUAUAUUUUUUUAUAUUUAAAAAAAAAAAUUACAAAAUUUUAAUUUUUUUGAAGUAAAAAAUUAUGCACCAACUAAUGAAUUAAAUGUUCAAGUGCGAUUUUGCAAUGCUUUGCUCUUACGUCAUAUCAUAAUUAACACUAUCUGCAUUCAUGUCUCGUUCCAAUUUCACCAUCUUGAUUUUUUUUAUUUUUUUUUCAAGAAAAAGAGAGAUAACUUAAAAGUAAGAAUCUAUGUCAAAAGCAAAACGUGUGUGACGGGAUGGUACUUUUUUUUUUAUGAAAAGUGUUGAUUUUAUUGAGCCAGCGUUCAACCUGCCACUUCAAGUCUUUAGUCUUGAUUGACUAAAGACUCUUGGUGGCAUAAAAGUUGUUUUAGCUGGAUAAAAGCCUGUACACUUGUGAACAUAAAGAGAUCUACCCAAAGGAAAAUUGGCAUGACAUUCCCUGAACAGAAUCCAGCCCUGAAAACAAAAGCAUCCUAAAAUCAACCCGAUUCCAGACAGCAAGACCCUCCCAGUGGUUACAAAAGAGCACUCCCACCGCAGAGAUCCCCCUCGGAGGAUGCCGAUCAUCUCAACGCAAGCAAGAAGUCCCAAAGAAGUGAUCAAAAAAGGACAUGUGAGAAAACCACACCAAACUUAACAAUAUUAAAGGAAAAGCUUCAAGAUGAUAGAACGGAGAGGAAUCUAGAAAUUGCUGGAAAAUUUUAUAAGCAUGUUUUUCUCAUCCUUGCAUUGCAUUUUCAAGUUAAAAAGCACCUACUAAAAGUUAGACUAGCAUUAUUUUUCUUUGUAUUUUUUUUGCUAUUUAACUCACUUGAUAAAAAAAUUAAAUAAUUUAAAAAUAAGAUUUAUCAAUUUAUGAUAAAUCAAUAUAUUCAUAAAUACAAAUAUUCAAUAUUAAAUCAAUUUAUGAUUCUUUUGUCAUUGAUAUAAAACAAAUGAAAAGUAAAAAUAAUACAAAAACAAAAUUGAAUAUUGUUUUGAAAACAAUACAAAAGACGGUAAUGUGAACUUUGAAACAAAAAAAGUAAUAAAAUUGAACAUAUAAGUGACAAAGAGAUGAUAAUUGAAAUAAACAUUUAAUUUUUGUUCCUUUUUAUUAACAAAAAAUUAAACUAAACUUCAUGUUUUAGUUGUAUAACUUUUAAAAUAGAUUAAACAUAAAAAAUCAGAUAGUUGAAUUGAAAAUUUUCCUAAAAUGCCCCGUUUGUUGGAGUUUCUGAUUUUACUUCUAAAAUUAAUCCAUAAUUUUCUGUUCAAUUUUUUUAACAGAAAAAUGCAGCUAUGAAAUCAUUUUUGUAUGUAGUUGAGGUAAUUAAAAAAUUAAAAAUUUAUUGAAUAAAGGAACUUCUUAUUAUAGAUUGCAACAAAUUCAGGUCAUCUUCAGAACAACUUUAAGAAAUUGGAAUGAUUAUUAUUAUUAUUAUUAUUAUUAUUACAAUUAAAGUGAGGGCCAGAGGGAGCUUUUUCUGUUUGUUUUUUUCCAAGAAAAAGAGAGAAAGCUCAAAAAGGAAGAAAUUCAUUUCACAUGCAAGAAGCCGUGUGUGACAAAACUAAAACCACUUUCACACACAAUCAAACUGCAUUUGCAUUUUCACCUUAAAACCACUUUGCUAAAACUUGAAAAGGAAAAGCAUGAAAGCGUCUUCACUCUUUCAAACAGUUUUUUCUCAAAAGAUUGGGCCUGCUACUCUUCACUCAACAAACUUAAUUCAGUCUUGCAUGGAUCCUUAGCUGCAAAAUUAAACAAAAUGACAAGAAGAGGCUAUGAAAUUAAAAGAAUAUAUACAAGAAAUACAGUAAAGAAUAUAUAUUAUUAUAUAUGUUUAAUGGCUUAUGAAUAUGAUAAUAUAGAUUCCUCGAUCAUCAUUUAUGCAUUUAAAUUAUUUAAUUAUUUAUAUUAUUUUAAUGUUUCAAUGUUAACAUUUUUAUUUAUAAUCACUAUUUAAAUUUGAUUGAGGAGUUUUAAAUUUUUUAUAUAAUGUAUAGAAUAAAGAUUCAAUUUGUAUAUACCUAUUUAAGUAUAUUAAAUUGUGGUUCUUGCCCUCAAAAUUAGAGAUCAAGAUUCUUAUUUCAAAUUAUUAUAAUGAAAGUAUGUACUACUACUUUUUCCAUUUAAUUUUUAAUUUAGAAUAUCUAAAUUAAACAAAAGGUUAACAUUAUUUUGAGUUGUUUGUAUUUUUUCCCUUUUCAUUUCUUUAUUAUUUUUUCAUUCAGUAUUUUUUUUUCUUAAUUGGCAUAUAAACACUGAAUUUUAAUAAUCUUGUAAUACAAUCUAAUGAAAAAAAUUAGAAAAUAUGAGAUUCCUUUUGGUUUUUUUACAAAGAAAAUAUGAUAUGUUUGUUGGUCAUAUAUUCAAAAAAAAUUAUUAACAGCAAAAAAAAAUGUACAUUGAAAGAAUGAAAUUUGAAAAGAAAAAGAAUAACAAAAGAAGCAUUAUAGGCUCAGUAUAUUUGUUAUCCUUAAUAAAGCCUUAAGAAUAAUAAGAUAAAGAAGAGAAGGUAGAUUUAAAAAUUAUUUUUGUAUACAUCGUCAAUGAAAUUUUUAAAAUCUUCAAGCAGAGUUAGAAAGGUACCAUGUAUCACAUUUAAGUAUAUUAAAUUAAUUAAUAAAUUAAUAUAAUAAUAGAAACAUAUAAAAAUAUUUUAACUUUUUGUUAAAUAUAUAGUCCAAAAAAGAUAGUCUUUGUUUACAUUUUCAUGCUUUAUACACAGUUAGUCUUCGCAGCUGAUAUGACUUCUCUUUUCUAGGUGUUGGGUGUUAAAAUAAUGAAGGGACCUCCUUCACACUAAUUGGGUCCUAAUAAUUCAAACUUUUUUAGCAUCACUCAUAAUUAUUUGAGGAUUUAUUUUCCUAAUAAUUUAAUGGUUACGAACAAACCAAGGCCAAGUCAUGACUCUCUUUCAAAGUAAAUUUUAGAAAUGUUUCUAUAGACAUAAUUUCUGAGCAUAUAAUUUCAUAAGCAUGCUACUUGUAUUGCUAGUUUCUUCAUCCUCCAUUACUAUUAUAGGUGAUUAUAUAGGUGCAUUACAUGUAUAAUUUUAUGUGUUUGAGAAAGUCAUUCUAGAAAAAAAAAAACAUAAUAAUAAUGAGAACAAAACCAAAUAAUUUAUUUUUUCUUUUAUCUAUCAAGAGCAAACUAUUUAUGGAAGUUGCGUGGGAUCUCCUCAUGAAAAUCCUUACAAUUGAUAAUAUUAUAGCAGCAUAUAUAAAACCAUGGAGAAUAAAGGAAUUUAGUGGACAAGUGAUUACAACAAUAAAUAAUUUUGUCAUUUACAGCAUGGUUGUUAAAUAUACCCUUUAUCAAGCCUGAAGUUGCUUUUAACGCAUUCAUACAUAUGAUUCAUUAUUUGACGUAAUUAAAUCAGAUUGCUUUUUCUUUAAAUAAAAUAAAAUAAGAAAGAAGGAAAAGGGGCAACGUAUUGUCUUGUCAGAUAAAAAAGCAUCAACCAUAUUGUCUAGUUCACAUUUCAGAAAAGCCAAUUUUCAAUGGGGGGUGGGGCACAGUAGUAAUUUUCUCAAAAAGGCAUAAAUCAUAUUUAUCAAGAACAAGAUAUGAACUUGUAAUCGCACAGGUUGUUAAUGUUCCAAAACGGAAUCUGUUGCUUGAAAUUACUAUUAAAGCAUACUUUAGGUUUAGGAUACCAGCUGAGGGAAAAAUUAGUCAGAACUUCAUUUUGCAAUGUUUUGCGAUUGCUCCUGCAUCAGAUCAUAGUUAAUACCAUCUUGGUUCAUGUCUUAUUCCAACUACAAUAUUUAGUAGAUUAUUACUCCACCUAAAAGAAAGAAGUUUUUGAAGAAAAUACAAUACAAAUCAUUUUUAGUCUUCGUGAUUUGUGCUCUUUUAAGUUUUUAAGUUUUUUGUUUAGCGCAAUACCUUUUAAUCAUCAUAAUUGAAAGGUUGAAGAGAUAUUUUUUAUUGGCAAAGAAGUAAAACAAGGUUUUAACCAUCAUAAUUGAAAGGUUGAAGGGAUAUUUUAGCAAUUAAAACUUGAAAUAUAUGAAAGGUCUAUUAUUUUUUUAAUACAUUUAUCAUCAUCUUUUACGUGACUAAUAUUCAUUUAUAAAUUAUGAAUCUUUUGUAUGAAUGAAUUGAGUUUUAUGCAAGGUAAUGUAUCAAGAAAGUUAAUUGUUAAAUUUCUUUUGUUUUAGUUCUUUUAUGAAUAUUAAUAUUUAUUGUCACAUGUAUUGUAAGUAAAUACUUCCUUUCAAUUUUAUUUUCAAAUAACAAUUAUAUGUGAAAUAAAACUAUUUCUAAAAUAUAAAGUUAAUUAUCUAUAAAUAAAAGAUAAUUCAUGUUUUAAUUAUAUAUAAUUGAUAUUUUUUUAUUAUUAACCAUUAAGGUAUUCAAAACUGUUAAAAUUAAUAAAAAUAUUUUUGAAGGAAAAUCAUUAAAUAUAAUUGAAAAUCUUAUUUAUAAAUGAGAUAAAAUAUUAUUAUAUUUAUAAUGAAAAAUAUUUUUAAUCAAAGUUAUUUGAUGUGAUUAAAUUCUUACAAAUUAGAUAAAUUUUAUUAAUAUUAAUGAUAAAAAUAUUUAAAAUAAUAAUUUAAACAAUAUAAUAAACAAAUAUAAUUAUUUUCAUUGAUCAAGAAAUUAUUCUAACAUUCAUACUUAUAUAAUUAUAUAUACCUACCAGCCAACUACAGAUUACACGACUUGGGGGAUGUUAUUUGCUGAAAAUAAAAUCAUUGUCUUAUAUGUGUGUAUAUAUACAUGCACACAUAGACAUUCAAACAUGUCUAUAUGCAUGCAUCUUACACACAUAAAUACAUCCAUUAGAACAAAGUUAGACCUAAAAAUUAUCAUUCAUUGACCAAAAAACAAGUCAAGUUUCUUUAUCAAAUUAAGCCAUUUUUUUCCACUGCAUUUGCAUUAUCAUUCAUUGACAAAAAAACAAGUCAAGCUUCAAACAGGAUUCAAAGGAGAGGAGAUAGGAAAUUGCUGGAAAAGUUUUCCCAUCCUUCCACUGCAUUUGCAUUUUCAAGUUAAAAGCACUUUUCUAAAAGUUAAAAAGGAAAAAUCUUAUAGAAAGAAAAAGCAUGAAAGCGUGUUGAAUGUAGUUUUCAAUCUCUUUGAGACAGUUGUUUUUCAAAUGAUUGCAUGUAGUUUUCCCUUAACAAAUUUGUUAAAAUAAUUAUACAAAUUAUUUAGUUAGAGGUAUUAUACAACACUAUAAUCUGGUUAGAUUAUAAAUCUAGUUAACAAUUAUACUGUAAUACUAUUAGUUAAUUAGAGUUAAAUUAUGAAUAAAAUUAAGAUAACAUACAUAAUUUAGAUUUCCCAAUCAAAAUAAAAAAUGAGGAUAGGUUUAACCACAGAAAAAAAAACUCAUCCACUUUGUUAUUGCUUGAUAUCUUGAUCACGAACUUCGCUGCCACUUGAUAUCUUCACUUCAAAAAUCUUUUACUCUUCAAGAUUUUUGAAAUGUUCUGGAUCUUUGAAUGCUUAUGAAUGAAUCAAAUGGCUUUGAGGAGCCCCAUAUUUAUAGUGUUAGAUGAGAGACCUUGAUGAGGAUGUGGUCCUUUUGAAUUAUCUCUAAAUUAUUUUAAUUUAAUUAAAGGUGAAUUAUGAUGACUCAUUGAAAGUCUUUUGAUUGGCCGAACUAUGAGUCCUUGAAUUUUGAUUGGCCAAAUAUAAGUUUUAUCUCUAAAUUUACUUAGAGAUAAAUUAAAUAAUCAAAUUUGAUUUUUAUCUCUAAAUUAUCAUUCAUUAGAGAUAAAUUAGAUAAUCAAUAAUUAAAUUUUGAUUGAUCAAAAAUAUGAAUAUUAUUUUUAAAUUAUCUUGAUUUAUUUAGAGAUAAAUUAGAUGACCAAUAAUUAAAUUAUGAUUGGUCCAAAAUAUGAAUCUUAUCUCUAAAUUAUAUUGAUUUAUUUAGAUACAAAUUGGAUGACCAAUAAUUAAAUUUUGAUUGGUCAAAAAUAUGAAUAUUAUCUCUAAACUACAUUGAUUUAUUUAGAGAAAAAUUGGAUGACUAAUAAUUAAAUUUUGAUUGGUCAAAAAUAUAAUUUUUUUUUUUAUAAUUGUGGGAGGGGGAUUCGAACCCUGCUAUUUUAAGUAAGGGAUCAUGCCCCAACCAAUGAGCUAAAUGCUCAGGUGCGGUCAAAAUAUGAAUAUUAUCUUUAAAUUAUUUUUAUUUAUUUAGAGUCAAAUUGGAUGACCAAUAAUUAAAUUUUGAUUGGUCCAAAAUAUGAAUAUUAUGAAAUGCCCCGUACUUUGAUAUGGUGACAAAUAAAACUUAUCGGAUGUGAAUUGAGGUAUAAUAAGGUAUUUUGAGAACUAAGGUGUCAAACCCUAUUCUAUAAAAUAAUUACGACGUCAUUUACAUGCUCAAUAGAAUGUUUGCAUAUUUAGGAAGUUCGAGAAAUCGUUAAAAGACGAUAUUACCCCUAAUGGUACCAUUAAGUCAAUUAAGCCUCGAAUUAGUUCAAAUAGGAAUUUUAAGGUGAAAUUAAGAGUUUCACAGUUUAGGGGUGACUCAAAAUGGUAAUUCAGAGUUCGAGGAUCAAUUUGGAGUCAAACCGAAAUUUUCACUAUCUAGGGGCAAAAUGGUCAUUUUGCAAUUUGAGGACAAAAUGGGAAUUUUAGAAAAGAUUUUCUUAGCCCCAUUUGACAUGUUUGAGUAUGAUAUGAGUAUUGAAGUACAAUUGGAAGAUUUAGCAGUGAAAAAUAUGAGUUUGCGGUAUUUUUAGUAUAUAAGGGCAAAAUGGUAAUUUUACCACCCGAAAUUGAAAAUUUAAUUUUUGAAAGGAUUUUGAUCAAAUUUAAUUAUUUGGAGUGUGAAAUGAGUAUGAGGAGUGAAAAUUAUGCAUUAUGGCAAAUUUUCAAUUUUUGGGGCAAAAAAAAAGGUAAUUUUUGAAAAGUUCGGGGGCAAAAGUGUAAUUUUGAAAAAUUUACUCCACCAAAACUUUGAAAAAAUUUGAAAAUUUCACUUAAGACUUGGAUAAGUCAAAGGGAAUGCAUGGUGGAAAAAGUAGGACAAGUGGAUGGGUCAAAAAAAAAAGAAUUAAUAAAAUAUUCAAAAUAUGAAUAAACUAAUAAAAAGGCAUAAAAAAAUCAGCCCAUAACCCAUUCUUCUUCUUCAACAUUCGGCCAAGCAAGAAACAAGAGAGAGAAAGGAGAAAAUAAAACCCUAGCCAAGAAAUUUAAAGGGAAAAUUGGUGGAAAUUCAAAAAUCAAGCAAAAAAAAAGGUAACAUUUCUUAAAUUUGUCUUGUGCUUUACCUUUCCCAUGCAUUUCCCAUCAUUUUUCAUGGUUGAAUCAUGUGAUUUGAGGAUGAUUUCAAUUCUGGUCAUAUAUGUUAGUGUUUAGUGUUAGUUUAGCAUAUUUAUGAGUAAAACAACAAGAAAAAUAUUUAUUUUCUCCCUGAAUUUCUCUAGGCCGAAUCUAGCCCAUGGUAUGUGAGGAUGAGGUUGACUUUAUUUUAAGAGAAUUGGGUGGAAAAAUGAUGAAUUAUGAGGUUGAAAAUUAAAUGGGAAUUUUCGGUGCAAUAAAUUAAAAUUUUUACCCACUAGGGGUAAAAACAUAAUUUAUAGUCCGGACUGAUAAAUGGGACCAAAUUCACAGUCAUUGAGUUAUUGUGGAUAUAAUUGGAUAAUUGAAAUUGAAAUAGAUGGAAUUGGAGUUGAAUUGGGGAUUUUAGGAAUUUACACUAUGUAUAGGCGAGUUAGGUCGGACACCGCAAUUAAGCGAUUGUUUAGACAUUUCAAACCCUAUCUAGUGCAUACGCAUGGAUAAGAGCCUGAAAUAAUUUAUGAUAAAUUGACACAAUUUAUUGAAUUUUGUGUCAUGGAUUAUGGAUAGGUGGUGAGUCAAUUAUUUCGGGUAAGAGACUGCACCCGAGGGCAAAAGAUAGGAGUAUUUCUACUCCUAAUACUGUGAGUAACUUUAUCAUCAUUUUAAUUAUCUAAAGUAUGAUUUUAAUCGAUUUUGAUGGAAUUUUAUGAAAAUGAGUUUAAAUGGUUAAUUUUUGGUUUUACAAAUAAAAUAUGUUUAAAUAAAAUGAUUUUAUAAAUUGUUUUGAAACGAAAUAACGAUUUUGAAAAAUAGAGCAAUUGGAGACCACUGGUAUGUUGUAGAUUUAUGAUUUGAAUAAAUGGCUUAUGAUAAUAUUUUCAUGAAUGACUGAAUUGGUAUUUAUGUUGAAAUAUAUGAAAUGUGUAUUUAGCCUUGACAGGCUGUGAAUUACAAUAAUUGCCAUGUCAUGCUAGAAUGAAUUUUAUUGUAUGGUGGGUUAUUUAACUAGCCACUGCAGUAGGCGGAUUUUCGUGGGCCAGCCUAUUAGAGGGGCACGAUAAAUCCCGUUAUGUCUUACCUCGGUAUGAGAGGCGCGGGUGGAUAACUCCUGAGGCUAACAAUUUUAGAGUUCACUUCACGCCGAACCACCUCGUGAUGAUGAACUCCGCUAACGCCAAGGAACAGCUAUAUGUUUCAAAAUAAAAAUAUGAUUUAUGCGAAAUGUGAAUUUUUUUAACAGCCUUGACGGACUCGGUUGGGAUAGCCCUCGAUCAAGGUAUCCUUGAUAACUGAGUAUGAUAAUGAUUUCGACACGAGCUAAAGUUUUAAGAAGUUCGUAAGCCAUACUGAUUACUUGAUUUAAAUAAAUUGAUUUCAUUUGGUUGAAAUAAGUCGAUAAAUGAUAAAUUACUGUUUAAUGAAAUGUUUUUAUAGUCUCAUUUUACUCGCCUUUAGAUGUUUUAAAUUAUAUUUGUUUACUCACUGAGAUUAUAUAAUCUCACCACCCUCCUUUCCAUCAAUUUCAGGCUCAGGAUAGUCGGUAGAUAGCUCAUUUCAUCGAUGGUUACAAUUGGACUGGCAUCCUCAAAAUAUGUAGGUUUAUCUCUUUGGAUACUUUUAGUCGUUCAUGGGCCCACGUGUCACUGCAAAUUUAAUUUUAUACUUUGAUUAUCUGUAUUACAAUAUAUAUGAAUUUAUUUUACUUUUACUCUGUAAAAAUUAUUUAUGCAGUGUUCUUAAAAUAUUGUUUUAUGAGAAAAUUGAAUAUUUUAUUCAAUAUUUUUAUUUUAUACUAAUAGUCAUAAUUUCAUUUUAAACGAAUGUUUUAGACAUCCAAAAUUAUUUUUGAUUAUAAAAUAUGUGUUUUCCACUUACAUACUAUAUUUUUAACUAAUUUUGAGAUUUUUUAGAAAAAUGACUAAAAUGCCCAUGUGAGAAAAUUUUCGUUUUAUCUGUUUUAAGUUAGAAAUAGCUCAAAAUCCUUUAGAACAUAAUAUUUGGCAAUAGUUACUCACCGGGGAAAACGAAAAACUGAUAUUAAGCCUUGCGGGAUUCUGGAUGGCAUUUUGAGAGAUAAGUGCCCAUCGGGACACUACGACAGUUGUCACGGGCUUAAAGGGAGUUUCGGGUCGUGACAAUUUUAGUGGUAUAAGAGCUUUUUGUUUUAAAGAUAAGAGUUUUUGGUUUUAAAGUUAUUUUAAAAACUACAAUGUCAGUGUGGCCCAAGUUAAGUUAAGUUAGUUAGGUUAAAUCAGGUUAGGUUGAGUAGAAUAUAUGCAUUAGUAUAUACAGCCUGAGGUAGCGUAAACACGCUUUGUUUCCUCUUAUAGAUUAGUAUGCCUCCUCGAUACGAACACCCACCUCUCACUAGAUCGGUUGGGAGGAGAAGAGGUCGUUCCCAACAUCGUCAGCUAGAUCCUAUAGAGGGGGAAUCGACUGCGUCUACUAUUCGGGCAGCACCUACUGUUGAACAGACCAAGACUUUUCCACUUCCUCCGCCUUUUCCGCUAUCUACUAGUAUUCCUGCCAUGCCUCCUGAGGCAGUUCAGGCAUUGGCAGCCUUUUUUAUUACUCUUGCUGGCCAGGCUCAGGCUGGUCCAGCUCUUCCUACAGAUCCUCCAACUGCUCCUUCAAUACCACCACCCCCACCUCCUGUCCCACCACCAGUGCUGGAUGUUUCUAAUUCUAAAAAGCUUAAAGAGGCUAGGCAACAUAGUUGUGUUUCUUGUAUGGGUGAGUCAGACGCAACUGUAGCUAAAGAAGUGGUGCGAAUGGCUUUAAGAGUUGAGAAGCUUAUGAAUGAAAAUAGGAGUCUGCGAGCUGAGUUAACAAAAAGGAGAAAUCUGAAUGUAUCUUUUAGUCAGCCACCAAAGAGGGGCAAAGACUCCUCUAUUUCAGGAAGUACUACUACUGUUUUAGUGACAUAUCCUCAAUCUCCAUUUCCACAAUCACAGCAGAGACCUUCGAGGUUUAGCGGAUCUACUAUGGCUGGUUCUGGGAAGAGUUCUAGAGGUUCUCAUAGAUGCAAAAAUUAUGGGAAUUAUCAUGUGGGGCUGUGUAGGGGGCCUGCACGAUGUUUUUAUUGUGGUCAGCCGGGUCACAUUAGGAGUGACUACCCACAGUUAGGACGGGCUACGACAGUUGCUCCAUCUCCACCAGCUCAUACAGAUAUGUAGAGGAGAGAUUCCUCUAGAUUACCACCGAGACUGGGAUGAUUUUGACAUACCACCAAGGGUAGAUUAAAUAUGCUGAAAAUAGUGCUCUAAUAAAGUGCAUAUGAUAGAAAGCUAGUUUGUAAGUUGUAGUUUUCAUGAUCAUAAAAUAUAUAAGGAUUAUUAAUAUAUGGACAUACACUUGGAGUUGUAAAUUACAAGUUUGGAGUAUUUACGAUAUGAUUAAAUGGAAUUAGCAUUAGGCAAGGCAUGUAAAUCUUCUAAUUAAAUUCUGUGGAGUGUGCAUGAUAGUAGAAUGGAGGAACAUAGUGUCGUGAUACUAUAUGGUGAAGUUACUAUACAAUAUGGAAAAAGCAUUCUAAAUUGGGAUUUAUUGAUUGAUGAUAAGUGACGGGCAAUCUGAUGAUACAUGUAGCUAUGAAUAAAUUUGGAGAUUUUUGCUUAAGCAAAUUCGUACUAAAUGUUAUGGUAAAGAUAUAUGAAUGUUAGUGGCAAAAUAAAUACGUUAAAUCAAUGUUUUGAUUGUGCACUUGUGAUGGAAAGUUAGUCUUGCUAAUUGUGGUAUAGACUCAGAGGGAAGCCACACGAUUGUGAAUAAUUGAGGUAGUAACUUUAAAGGUAAAAGAGUUACAGGGAUAAAGUAAAUUCAAACAGUUGCAACGCUAUACUACUGAUUAUCAAACGCUGUCACGUUAAGAACGCCUUAUGGUUAGAAAGCAUGAGUAGACUAUGAGCGGCAUAAAGAUGAAACUCACGAGUUGAAAUAUGGCUAUUGGUUUUGAUGCUAAGCUUUGUUGUUUGGAGUCUUCAGUGCAUUAGGGAGGUAUUAAGAUAAAGAUGAUGAGUGAAAUUGUAAAGUUUCUUUAUUGCCUUAUAUAUUGGCAUGUAAGAGAAAGAAAAGUUAGAGAGUUUUUGAGAUGGUUACAUAAAAAAAAUAAUAAAUUAACAUGUGGAGUGUUAAGAUGAAUAAUAUGAUGAUUGAAGUCAAAUCUUAAGAAAUAAGGAAGACAAGAGAUUAAGUCUUGUUAAAGACUAAUGAGGAAGCGAGCAAAAGGUUAGAUGAAUAUAUGAGAUGUUGAUAAGAGAUGUCAAUACCAAGUGAUGAGAGUGUGAAUGGAGAUUUCAAGAAUGAUAUAGCAAAUGAGUUUAUAUAGAAUAAUGUUAUGAGAAUGUACAAAUCUUGAUUUGACUUUGUUGAAAGGAAAGGAUUAGUGACAACACAAGUAAAUUAUGGGGUAUGAUAGAAACCCUUGGAGAUAAGUUGAAGCAUGAGUAGUUGGGCAUGCCUUUAUGGAAAUGAUAUACUUGGUGUAUAAAAGAGUAAAUAAGUGAUUAAGUGUUUCAAGAAUGUUUAAACAUCUUCAAGGAAGAAUUAUAAAUUAUAUGAGAUGAGCAUAAGAUGUGAGAUUUUUAAAACUUGUUGAGGAACUUAACGGCUAAGUCACAAGUUCAGUGAUCAUAUGUUGUGAGACAUAAGUUUAAGAUAGAUAUUCUCAAGGAAAUACUCAAGAGAAGUUUUGCUUUGGAUCUCGUUAAAGCAAGUACUAAGUUAUGUGAUUAUAAAAAGGAAGCUGUAAGCUGAAAGUGAUAUUCAUAUUAAUAUUAAAAAGUACUUGGGGGGAAUCUAGUUUCAAGUUUUACAAUUUCAAGUACAAUUUAUAAAUUGGAUAAGGAAGAAUGAUGUUAUGUUUAUAUGAAAGAGUGGAACAAAGGAUGAUAGAAGUUAACCUUGAAAAUGAAGUCAGAUAAAGAAAUUUUCCUAAGAUAGUAUGGGAAUUGGAAUUCAAAAAUGCUUGAGGCAUACAUGAUUCAAAUGAGUUUGAGUCUUAAGUGACAAAUUAAUAUCGGAAUGCAAUAAGGAUACAAUAUAUGUAAGAGGCAUGAAGGAUAAUCAAGGAAAAAUGAUGACUUUUAGGAAUUAUAGUAUUGCAUAAGAUGCAAUGAUUAAGUCAAGAUAAAUCUUUGAGAUAUCAAUGGGAUUAUAAAGCAUACACGUACAAUAGAUUAUAAUUCAAUGGAGAUGACAUUGUGAUGCAAUGAUAUAUAGUACAAGAAAACUCAAGCAUAUGGUUGGAAAUGAUAUGAAUGAUAUGAAGUUAUACGCAAGUAUAAUAAGAAGGUUGACAUGCACUAUAAGAAUUAUUAUAUUGAACUAGGAUUGGGAUGUGAAUAAAUAAAGGGAAAUGUAGUCCAAGGCAUGUGAACACAUGGAUCCCUAUACAUAACGAGAAAUGUUGACAUUUGAAAAUGCAUGUACAUAUGUAUAUAUGAAAUUGAUAAUUUUACUAACUAAAGUGAAGAAUGGUUCUUAGUGAUUGAGAGAUUUUGAAAUAGUGUCUAAAGAGGUCAGUGAGCUAAAGUGUUAACAGACAUGCAAUGAACGAUUAAAGUUAUGAGUGACUUUGAAGGUAAACUUUGAAUUGUUUAAGUUCUUAAUGGAACUCUAUCAAAGGAAGGGUAUGGACCAGUAUAAGAUGGAUGAAUCAAGGUUGAGAAAUUUGGCAUGAAGCAAAUUAAUAAAAUGAUGAUUAAGUAUACAUAAGUAAGUAUGAUAUGUGAUCGAAAUCAGUAUAAUUNNNNNNNNNNNNNNNNNNNNNNNNNNNNNNNNNNNNNNNNNNNNNNNNNNNNNNNNNNNNNNNNNNNNNNNNNNNNNNNNNNNNNNNNNNNNNNNNNNNNNNNNNNNNNNNNNNNNNNNNNNNNNNNNNNNNNNNNNNNNNNNNNNNNNNNNNNNNNNNNNNNNNNNNNNNNNNNNNNNNNNNNNNNNNNNNNNNNNNNNNNNNNNNNNNNNNNNNNNNNNNNNNNNNNNNNNNNNNNNNNNNNNNNNNNNNNNNNNNNNNNNNNNNNNNNNNNNNNNNNNNNNNNNNNNNNNNNNNNNNNNNNNNNNNNNNNNNNNNNNNNNNNNNNNNNNNNNNNNNNNNNNNNNNNNNNNNNNNNNNNNNNNNNNNNNNNNNNNNNNNNNNNNNNNNNNNNNNNNNNNNNNNNNNNNNNNNNNNNNNNNNNNNNNNNNNNNNNNNNNNNNNNNNNNNNNNNNNNNNNNNNNNNNNNNNNNNNNNNNNNNNNNNNNNNNNNNNNNNNNNNNNNNNNNNNNNNNNNNNNNNNNNNNNNNNNNNNNNNNNNNNNNNNNNNNNNNNNNNNNNNNNNNNNNNNNNNNNNNNNNNNNNNNNNNNNNNNNNNNNNNNNNNNNNNNNNNNNNNNNNNNNNNNNNNNNNNNNNNNNNNNNNNNNNNNNNNNNNNNNNNNNNNNNNNNNNNNNNNNNNNNNNNNNNNNNNNNNNNNNNNNNNNNNNNNNNNNNNNNNNNNNNNNNNNNNNNNNNNNNNNNNNNNNNNNNNNNNNNNNNNNNNNNNNNNNNNNNNNNNNNNNNNNNNNNNNNNNNNNNNNNNNNNNNNNNNNNNNNNNNNNNNNNNNNNNNNNNNNNNNNNNNNNNNNNNNNNNNNNNNNNNNNNNNNNNNNNNNNNNNNNNNNNNNNNNNNNNNNNNNNNNNNNNNNNNNNNNNNNNNNNNNNNNNNNNNNNNNNNNNNNNNNNNNNNNNNNNNNNNNNNNNNNNNNNNNNNNNNNNNNNNNNNNNNNNNNNNNNNNNNNNNNNNNNNNNNNNNNNNNNNNNNNNNNNNNNNNNNNNNNNNNNNNNNNNNNNNNNNNNNNNNNNNNNNNNNNNNNNNNNNNNNNNNNNNNNNNNNNNNNNNNNNNNNNNNNNNNNNNNNNNNNNNNNNNNNNNNNNNNNNNNNNNNNNNNNNNNNNNNNNNNNNNNNNNNNNNNNNNNNNNNNNNNNNNNNNNNNNNNNNNNNNNNNNNNNNNNNNNNNNNNNNNNNNNNNNNNNNNNNNNNNNNNNNNNNNNNNNNNNNNNNNNNNNNNNNNNNNNNNNNNNNNNNNNNNNNNNNNNNNNNNNNNNNNNNNNNNNNNNNNNNNNNNNNNNNNNNNNNNNNNNNNNNNNNNNNNNNNNNNNNNNNNNNNNNNNNNNNNNNNNNNNNNNNNNNNNNNNNNNNNNNNNNNNNNNNNNNNNNNNNNNNNNNNNNNNNNNNNNNNNNNNNNNNNNNNNNNNNNNNNNNNNNNNNNNNNNNNNNNNNNNNNNNNNNNNNNNNNNNNNNNNNNNNNNNNNNNNNNNNNNNNNNNNNNNNNNNNNNNNNNNNNNNNNNNNNNNNNNNNNNNNNNNNNNNNNNNNNNNNNNNNNNNNNNNNNNNNNNNNNNNNNNNNNNNNNNNNNNNNNNNNNNNNNNNNNNNNNNNNNNNNNNNNNNNNNNNNNNNNNNNNNNNNNNNNNNNNNNNNNNNNNNNNNNNNNNNNNNNNNNNNNNNNNNNNNNNNNNNNNNNNNNNNNNNNNNNNNNNNNNNNNNNNNNNNNNNNNNNNNNNNNNNNNNNNNNNNNNNNNNNNNNNNNNNNNNNNNNNNNNNNNNNNNNNNNNNNNNNNNNNNNNNNNNNNNNNNNNNNNNNNNNNNNNNNNNNNNNNNNNNNNNNNNNNNNNNNNNNNNNNNNNNNNNNNNNNNNNNNNNNNNNNNNNNNNNNNNNNNNNNNNNNNNNNNNNNNNNNNNNNNNNNNNNNNNNNNNNNNNNNNNNNNNNNNNNNNNNNNNNNNNNNNNNNNNNNNNNNNNNNNNNNNNNNNNNNNNNNNNNNNNNNNNNNNNNNNNNNNNNNNNNNNNNNNNNNNNNNNNNNNNNNNNNNNNNNNNNNNNNNNNNNNNNNNNNNNNNNNNNNNNNNNNNNNNNNNNNNNNNNNNNNNNNNNNNNNNNNNNNNNNNNNNNNNNNNNNNNNNNNNNNNNNNNNNNNNNNNNNNNNNNNNNNNNNNNNNNNNNNNNNNNNNNNNNNNNNNNNNNNNNNNNNNNNNNNNNNNNNNNNNNNNNNNNNNNNNNNNNNNNNNNNNNNNNNNNNNNNNNNNNNNNNNNNNNNNNNNNNNNNNNNNNNNNNNNNNNNNNNNNNNNNNNNNNNNNNNNNNNNNNNNNNNNNNNNNNNNNNNNNNNNNNNNNNNNNNNNNNNNNNNNNNNNNNNNNNNNNNNNNNNNNNNNNNNNNNNNNNNNNNNNNNNNNNNNNNNNNNNNNNNNNNNNNNNNNNNNNNNNNNNNNNNNNNNNNNNNNNNNNNNNNNNNNNNNNNNNNNNNNNNNNNNNNNNNNNNNNNNNNNNNNNNNNNNNNNNNNNNNNNNNNNNNNNNNNNNNNNNNNNNNNNNNNNNNNNNNNNNNNNNNNNNNNNNNNNNNNNNNNNNNNNNNNNNNNNNNNNNNNNNNNNNNNNNNNNNNNNNNNNNNNNNNNNNNNNNNNNNNNNNNNNNNNNNNNNNNNNNNNNNNNNNNNNNNNNNNNNNNNNNNNNNNNNNNNNNNNNNNNNNNNNNNNNNNNNNNNNNNNNNNNNNNNNNNNNNNNNNNNNNNNNNNNNNNNNNNNNNNNNNNNNNNNNNNNNNNNNNNNNNNNNNNNNNNNNNNNNNNNNNNNNNNNNNNNNNNNNNNNNNNNNNNNNNNNNNNNNNNNNNNNNNNNNNNNNNNNNNNNNNNNNNNNNNNNNNNNNNNNNNNNNNNNNNNNNNNNNNNNNNNNNNNNNNNNNNNNNNNNNNNNNNNNNNNNNNNNNNNNNNNNNNNNNNNNNNNNNNNNNNNNNNNNNNNNNNNNNNNNNNNNNNNNNNNNNNNNNNNNNNNNNNNNNNNNNNNNNNNNNNNNNNNNNNNNNNNNNNNNNNNNNNNNNNNNNNNNNNNNNNNNNNNNNNNNNNNNNNNNNNNNNNNNNNNNNNNNNNNNNNNNNNNNNNNNNNNNNNNNNNNNNNNNNNNNNNNNNNNNNNNNNNNNNNNNNNNNNNNNNNNNNNNNNNNNNNNNNNNNNNNNNNCAUUUUGAGAGAUAAGUGCCCAUCGAGACACCGCAGCGAUUGUCACGAGCUCGAAGGGAGUUCCGGGUCGUGACAUAUUAUCUCUAAAGUACAUUGAUUUAUUUAGAGACAAAUUGGAUGACUAAUAAUUAAAUUUUGAUUGGUCAAAAAUAUGAAUUUUUUUUUAUAAUUAAGGGAGAUGAUUCGAACCUUGCUUUUUUAAGUAGGGGAUCAUGCACCAAUCAAUGAGCCAAAUACUCAGAUGCGGUUAAAAAUUUGAAUAUUAUCUCUAAAUUACUUUUAUUUAUUUAGAGACAAAUUGGAUGAUCAAUAAUUAAAUUUUGAUUGGUCCAUUUUAAAUAUUAUCUUCCAAUUAUCUUAAGUGAUAAAUAUAUGACACAUAGGUGAAUUGGUUCAACUAUGUGUCUUUGAAAUAAUCCAACCAAUAAAUUAAUUAUUUUAUAAUUAAUUACAUGAUUAUGACAUCAUCAAGUCCACAUGGUGGCAAUUGGAUUAUAAUGUUUCUCCUUCUGGAAAUGCCCCCUCAACUUGAUAUCUUUAUCACGAACUAAACUUGAUAUCUUGAUCACAAAGUUUGUUGCCGCUUGAUAUCUUCACUUCAAAAAUCUUUUACUCUUCUCGAUUAUUCAAAUGUUCUCCAUCUUCGAAUGCUUCUGAAUGAAUCAAAUGGCUUCGAGGAGGCCCCUAUUUAUAAUGCUAGAUGAGAGACUUUGAUAAGGAUGUGGUCUUUUUGAAUUAUCUCUAAAUUAUCUUAAUUUAAUUAGAGGUAAUUUUUGAUAACUCAUUGAAAGUCUUUUGAUUGGCCGGACUUUGAGUCUUUCAAUUUUGAUUGGCCAAAUUUAAGUUUUAUCUCUAAAUUUUCUUAGAGAUAAAUUAAAUAAUCAAAUUUGAUUUUUACCUCUAAAUUAUCAUUUAUUAGAGAUAAAUUAGAUGACCAAUAAUUAAAUUUUGAUUGGCCAAAAAUAUGAAUAUUAUCUCUAAAUUAUCUUGAUUUAUUUAGAGACAAAUUAGAUGACCAAUUAUUAAAUUUUGAUUGGUCAAAAAUAUGAAUAUUAUCUCUAAAUUACCUUGAUUUAUUUAGAAUCAAAUUGGAUGAGCAAUAAUUAAAUUUUAAUUGGUCUAAUUUAAAUAUUAUCUUCAAAUUAUCUCAAGGGAUAAAUAUAUGACACAUAGGUGAAUUGGUUCACCUGUGUCUUCGAAAUAAUCCAAUCAAUAAAUUAAUUAUUUUAUAAUUAAUUACAUGGUUAUGACAUUUCAAGUCCACAUGACGACACAUAAUUGAAUCAUAAUAUUUUUCCUUCUACAUACCUAUUUAAGUAUAUUAAAUUGUUGUUCUUGGCCUCCAAAUUAGAGAUCAAAAUUCUUAUUUCGAAUUAUUAAAUGAAAGUAUAUACUAUUAACUUUUUCAUCAAAAUUUUAAUUUUCAAUCUCUAAAUUAAACAAAAAGUUAACAUCGUUUUGAGUUGUUUGUAUCUUUUCCCUUUUCAUUUCUUUAUUAUUUUUUCAUUCAUUACUUAUCAUUCGAAAAAAUAGAAUAUAAAUGCUAAUAAUUGGAUAUCUGGAACUUGAUUCAUAAUUUCCAUCAACACUUUAACUAUAAGAUCGUUUAUUAUACAAGUACGAAUUUAAUUAACAAGUUCUCUUCAAAUUUUUUUAUUAUUUCCCAUUCUAAUUUGUUGCUUAGGAUGUUAGUAUUUGAUCUAGAAUAAGCUCAAUAAGAUAUUUAGAUUUUUAAAUGCUUUACUUUUUUCAAACAUUGACAUUACCUACUAUGUUUAAAUUGAAAAAGGAAGUACCUGAGGAGUGGCGACAUCUCUUUUUCAAGUCUUUGCAAAAUGUUUUAAGUUGUUUUAUAGUAAUGAAUUUCAAGUCAAGUCUUCUCAAAUUGAAAAUUUAUGUCUAGAAUCAAAAUUAAAUUAAUGGAAUAAAAAAGAAAAGUGUAUGUGUCAUGUUAGAAUGAAAAGCAUCAAAGCCACUGUAUCCUAUCCCUUGUGAGACGUUAGUAGGAUUUGUAUAUUUUUCUUGAAUUCUCAUUUGAUGUGUACUUUUAUUGUAGGCUUAUUGAGAUAUGCUUAUUAGACUGAGAAAUAUCUCAUUUGAGAUAUGUUAUUGAGAUAUGCUUAUUGAGAUAGGAAAUUGCUGGAAAAGUUUUCUGAUCCUUCCACUGCAAUUGCAUUUUCACGUUAAAAGCACUUUUCUAAAAGUUAAAAAGGAAAAGCUGUUCUUGUAGAAAAAAAAAGCACGAAAGCGUGUUGAAGGUACACAUUUAAAUUCAAUCUCUUUCAUACAGUUGUUUAUCGAAUGAUUGUAUGUAGUUUUUGCUCAACAAAUUUGUUAAGAUAAUUAUACAAAUUAUUUAGUUAAAACUACUAGACAAUACUAUAAUCUAGUUAGAUGACAAUAUUUAAUUAAUAAUUAUAUUAUAAUACUGUUAAUUAAUUAGAAUUAAAUUAUAAAUAAAAUUAGGAUAACAUACAUAAUUUAGAUUUCUCAAUCAAAAUAAAAAAUGAGGAUAGGUUUAACCAAAGAAAAAAAAACUCACCAACUCGGACAAAAAGCAUCCCAAAGAAAUGCAAAAGCAGCAGCAACAACAAAGAUUAGUCGAGGAGCUGAAACUAAUCUGCAAAAAUAAAAGCAGAAGCCAUCACGUAAUCAUCCCUCAGCAGCCAAAAACUAAUAAAACAGAGAACCAAUAGCGCAAGAAUGAAGCAAAGAAAUGCAAGCUCACACAACCAGCAGAAACGAAAAUCACAUCAAAGGUUCAAAGAAGCGAGAACCAACCAAUAAUUAACCGCAAUGAAUCCCAUGAAACAAUCGGCAAAAUCAAAAUCCAUUCAAGCAGAUCAGGAUGAAGCUUAAACAGAGUGAAGUAACAACAGAUAUUGAUCCCCCCCAACACCGGGCUUGGCAAGUGAAUCAGCAAUAGUGUUUCCAGAUCUAAUAGCGUGUUGAAUUUGCCACUGUUUAACUUUACUAGCCAAAACAAGGAUAUGAAGCACUUGAUUCCUCAAAUUCCAUGGAGCCAAAUCAGGGGACUUAGUCCAUUUAAUAGCUCUAACUGAAUCACUUUCAAGAAUCUACCAGUGAGAAGAUGCCCAUGUUGAAGGCUUGUAUGAUCUAAUUCUCUUUGGGCCAAAUCCGUGGACAUUAAGUUCUUAAGUUCUUUUCCAGUUCUUCUGGAAAUCUUUUCGCAAAAACUCUACAGUAACUGGCAGCAGCUAAUUUACUGAUUUAAUGUGCGUUAGAGAAAGAUUGUUGGAGUUAAAUCAAUGCUGCAAACCUGUGUUAAAAAUCAAACUUGAGGAAGGCUAACUGUUAAUGACUUUUGACACCUUACCAUAAAUCAAAUCUUUUCCUUUAGAAUUAGAAACUGAACAUAGCCAUCUCAGCACUUUGAUUUUACUCUUAAAAGAAAUAAUUAAGUAUCAAUGAUGUAACUAAUACAUACAUGAGGUGCUUGUAGUGAGUUUCCCUCCACUUUCCUUUGGUAUUUUAGGAAAGCAAAUUGAAAAGGAAAAAAUGGCCCUUCUUAAUAAAUUUAGAAAUCUCUGAGUCAAGAAAACAUGGAUUUCCAAAACCAAUAUAUCAGAAUCAAAAGUACCACCGUUAGGUAGGUAGCCUUAAAGUGAAAUUGUGAGAUCACUAGUAUUUAUCUUUUGGAUUGAUUAUAUAGUAAAUGUGAGUAAGCAUUGAAUUAAACUAGAAGAAAAGAAAAUCCAGAUUUGUCGAAAAAUCUAAUCCAAAGAGCUAAAAAAACAAAAUAUUAUUUACUGAUCUGAAACUUUCAGUAAUGAAAUCUGGAAUUUCCUCUAUGUACUUCAAACAUUUCCUAGUAUAGAACUCAACAACUAGAAGACAUAAAGUUUUGAAACAAAAAAAACAUUCUCUGCAAUAUUACUAAAAGGACUAAAUGAAUCCAAGCAGCAGUAUGUUACAUGCUUACAAAGAAUAGCUGAAGCUUACAUUUUAGCAGAUCCUACAGAAGUAAAGAACCCCAACAUCUUGACAACUAGGUCACUAUGGGAAAAAAAAAAAAGAAUACAUAGAGUUAAAAACUUUAUUGGAAACUAUUUAUCAAAGUUCGAAGAGUUGCUUAUAGUUAUAUGGAACAGCUGUCUUCAGAGUACUAGUCGUAUUGGCUUAUUUCUUCCUCUAGGUUUGUGGAUUUGCCUUCUGACUCUUUGGUGUGGGGCUCUCUGGAUUAUCUUCACUAGCCAAGCUGGUUUUCCUGUUGUGAAUACAAUGUAUCCCAUGCUCAAUCUCAACACAAGUCCACAUCCAUAUCCCAUCAUUGCAAAUUUCCAAGUAAAUGCUCCUCCUUUAUCAUCAUCUUCAUCAAAUAUUGACGGAGGAGGUUCUCUUCCCUCACUUUCGCCACAUUCAUUUGACAAUGGAAACCCACAAAACCGUAAGUUACCUACGUAGGAAUUAUUUGUGAAAGUAUCAAACUGAUUUCCUUUAGGAACCGGUCCCAUGAGAUUGUUUUGAGAAAGAUUUAACACCGCAAGAAAUAUCAGAUUCCUUAAUUGCAUAAGGAUGCUUCCUUCAAUCAUAUUUGAUGAGAGAUCUAAUGAUUCGAGUGCUAACAACUUCCCCAAUGAUAGUGGGAUAUGACUUGUAAGGCUGUUAUGAGAGAAAUUGAGCACCAAAAGAUCUUUAAGUUCUCCGAUUACUUCAGGAACCUGUCUUUCGAAUUGAUUGCUUGAAAAAUCAAUAGUUGUGAAAAUAUCUAAUUUUUUUCAAAAUUUAUCUCCAAUCCUUUGAUUGUUAUAAUUAUGGAAUCAUGAUAAUAUAACUCUUCAAUAUAAUAUGGACCGGUAGGAUCUACAUGGAUAUCCUUCAUAGCCUUCAAAUUUUGAAAGAAUGUAGUUGGCAAGUGGCCAUUGAACUCAUUUGAGAGAGAUCAAUGAUUCUCAAACUAGUAAAGAUAGAUGUGCCCCUCAAAUUUGGUGCCGGCCCAUGAAAUUUAUUCGAUUGCAGGACAAGGAUUUGCAGACAUGAAAGUACACCUAACCAAUGAGGAAAGGAGUCUUUCAAGUUACUGUUGCCCAAAUCUAAAACUUCCAAUUCACUGCAAUUCAUCAAAGAUCGUGUUACGGAUCCUUCUAGAUGGUUGUCAUUGAGGUUAAUGCUUUUCUACAAACUACCUUCUUGGGAUUUUGCCAUCGAAGUUAUUCAUUCGUAAAUUCAUAACAGACAGGGAACCACAAUUUCCAAGACAUUUUGGAAUGAUCCCACUCAAGUUGUUCUUUGACAAGUCGAGGACUUGAGGGAAAGUUAUAUCGUAAAACCCUGAAGGGAUUUCUCCAGUCAAUUCAUUUUCUGAAAAUGAAGAGGUGAUGUAUUGACAUUGGUGGAGUUGGAAGUGGUACUUGAAGUGAAUUUGAGUGAAGGUCAAGAGUCUGAAGAGUCUUCCCAGGAAAUUGCUCUACAUUUGUUAACAAAUUGAAAGAAAGGUCCAAGUAUCUCAACUCUCCCACCCUUCGGCUUCCCAUUUGGAUAUGGAACCCUGAAUUUUGUUAUUAGAAAGAUCUAAAUCGGACAAAGUCUCGGAUGCUCUUCAGAAACUUGGGAAUUGUUGUAUGUUGCGCAAAGAGAAAGACAAAGUAUAUAGCUCGGGGAAGGUAAUUGACAUCAUUGCUACAUCUACUCAAUGAUAAUAAACCGUUAUUUGAAAGAUCAAUCUCUUGUAAAUUUCUAAGCUUUGAAAGCAUGCAUGGCUCAAUGUUGCCACUCAAAUUAUUUGAUGAAAGAUCAGGAAAAGCAAGGUUCACUGGUAGACUAAACAGCCAACCUGGUACUCUGCCAUUAAGCAAGUUUGCAGAUAAAGGAGGUUUUGACGAUUUGAAAGUCCACUUACGUUGUCUGGAAGGGGUCCCGCUAAAUGGUUAUUGUUCAAGCCUAUGUCAGUAAGUCUAGUGAGGUUAAAUGCUGAUGAUGGCAAUAAACCAUGGAAAUUGUUAAAAGAAAAAUACAACUUAAUUAGUUUCUUGAAGUUCCCAAAAACAUCUGGAAUAUGACCUUCAAAAUUGUUAAAUUUUAAAUGUAAGAAAGUAAUUUUGGUGAGGUUUCCAAGAGAUAAAGGGAUUGACCCUGUGAAAUGACAAAAAGAAAGGUCAAGUUCUUCCAAGUUUUCAAGAUUUCCCAUUGAGUCUGGUAACUCCUCUAAGAAACUUGUUCCUGAAAGGUGCAAAAAUCUAAGAGAAGUACUCCGAUUUGAUUUAGGGAGAUAACCACUGAGAUUAGGAUUACGGAUUAAUAAGAUUUUUUCUAGAUAUGGAAAGCUGAAAUUUUCACUUGGAAAUUUCCCUUGCAGUUGACAGACAUAGAGACUCAAACACUUUAACGAGGAAGUCAAGUUCAGAAAGGAAUUUGGUCUAACCAAACACAUAUCCACUUGGUCAAGGAAAAGAUUUUCUUACUUUGUUAGGUUAUGCACAAGCAUGUUAAAAUGAUGGUUGUCGAGCUUUAAAAGAAGAGAUGACUGAUCAAGUGAACCCAGUUCUGCCAAAGGAGAGAUAUGCUCUGUAACUGAACAGUCGAUGCCUAUAUGAGAAAGAUUGAGAUAGGUUAGACUCCUCAAUUUACUAAACUCAGGAGGAAUUUGAGAACCAGUGAACUCGAGGUGAGCAAGGUUAGGCCAACGGAGAUCCUGAAGCAGGAAGAGGCUGCUGUUGGAUGGAAGACUUUCUUUAAGUCGACUACAACUGAGAUCAAGGCCAAUCACGUGACCCGUCAUGCUAUGGCAUGUGACACCCUCCCAGGAGCAACAGUCUCUACUUUGGCUCCAGAAUUCUGUCUUAGGAUAAGAAUCACCACAGGCAAAGCAACUAGGAAAAGACAGGCUGCUCUUGAACUGGAUCAAAGCAGAACUAUGUUCAGGAGGGCAUAAUUGUGGAAGAGGAGGAGAUGACAGAAGAUUGUUCACAAGAUUAUUAGGCUUAGUUUGUAGGUAACAUUUAGUUUCCGGAGUACCAUAAACAAAGAUUUGCACAACGAACAUUCUUGAGCUUUUAUUAGAGUAGUGCAAGCUUCAAACUUUUAUUUAGGAACUAAGUAAGUGAGGUGGUUUGUCCGUCUCCAAGGGCUGCAAUGGCACCAUAUUUGUUUUUUUAAAAAAAAUUAAUUGGAUUUCAUUAUCAGAAACCAGGAAUAGGCUCCCUAGAGAACAAAAGAGCACAUGAUUUUAAGAUGCUAUGCCUUGAUCAGCAUAUCAUCUCAAAAUUUUGUCAUCUUGCCAAAAGAAAACCAGCUUACAAAGAACCCCAUAAAAACCCCUAUCAUCAAUAUACAAAAAACAAAAUGAAACAGCAAAUAGCCUCAAUAAGAAACCACAAGUCUCCUUGUGCAAAAGUCAUUCUUGAAAGGAAAGUCAGCAAGCUUGCAAUCUGAUCAAAAACUCAGGCCCUUAUAUCACGGACCUUGGCUCAAAAGCCUAACCAUCUCAGCCAAGUAAAUGUCAAAAAGCAACAGAGAGAAACGAUCAAACCUGAAGCUUGAAUUCUUCACGCAGCCGUUCAAAGAAAAAGAAUAAAAAUCUCCAGCCUCUUUACUACUCAAAGGCAUUCAAUAAAUCCUCUUAACGUCUGACCCCUUCUGUCGCUAGACUAUAUGCAAAUUGAUUCUUUUCUCUAAAGAUAUGGUUGACUUCCCACCCUUUAAUGUUCCUUUUCAAACUUUCAACGUGCAUGAUCCACUUCCUUAGCCUCCAAAAAUAAGGAGACUUGUAAGGACCGACCGGAGUAAAGUGACCCUUCCACCUAUUAUUAGCACCUUUGCCUUCCAUCUUGCCAACCUAGCCUCAAAUUUCUCAAUAAUAGGAUUCCACAUUCUAACAGAAUUCUGCUUGGCUCCGAUUGGAAGUUCUAGAUACACAAAGGGUAUUUCUCCUAUUCUACAAUCUAUACUUUCCACCCCCCUUCUCCAUGUUUGAUUAUCCACUCCUAUUCCUAUCACCCUACUCUUGUUGAAAUUGAUUUUUAACCCCGAAAUGAGUUGGAAACAUCUCAAGACUCUUUUGGCAAUGCUGAGAUUCUCAACUUUCGGUCUACAAAAAACCAUGGUAUCAUCGGCAAAUUGAAGGUGUGAGAUUAAGAGGUCAUUGUUACCUAUUGGUACGCCUUGAAGAAUAUCGAAAGCUUCAGCUUUCUCCAUGAGUCGACUAAAAGCCUCUGCCACAAUGUUGAAGAGAAAAAGGGAGAGUGAGCAACCCUAUCGAAGUCCUCUCUCCAUCCUAAAAGGUUCCGUAGCAACUCCAUUCACAAGCACAGAGAUUUUCACUGUUUGAAGAUAGCCCCUCAUCCACUUUCUCUACCUUUCCCUAAACCUCAUUUUUUUUCAUAAUAAACUGAAGGAAUCCCCAAUCCACACUAUCAUAGGCCUUUUCAAAGUCAACUUUCAAAAGAAAGACUACCUCUUGUCCCUUUUUCAGCAGAUCAAUAACUUCGUUUUCAAUGAGAGCACAAUCCAUAAGCUGUCUUCCUUUUACAAAAGCAAACUGUUUCUCUCCAAUAACUUCACCAAUGACCAGUCGGAGCCUAUUAGCUAGGAGCAUUGCGACAAUCUUGUAUAAGCUCCAUACAAGACUAAUCGGUUUAAACUCCAUGAUGGGGCUUGGAUUAGAGACUUUCGAGAUUAGCGUAAUGAAAGAGUUAUUCAAUCCCUUUUCAAGCUGUUCUUUUUCCUAAAAAUCCUCAAGACACUUCAUAACUUCUUCUUUAACCAAGUGCCAUUAGUUCUUAAAAACACUAAGGUUGAAGCCGUCCUGCCUAAGUGCUUUUUCUCCAUCACAACUGCAUAUAGUCUCCCACACUUCUUUGCUAGAGAAACCUUUUUCUAAAAAAUUUGAUGCCUCUUCACUCAAAUUUUUAAAUUGACAAUGAAAUUCUUUUAAAGGCAACACUUUUCUUCUUUUGUAGAAAUCAGUAAAGUACUUGGCAAUCUCACUUUUGAUACCUUCUGGCUCACUGAUGCUUAGAUUCCCCAUUUGCAGAUGUCGAAUUGUGUUGUUACGCAUUCUAAUGGAGGCCAUGGUGUGAAAAAAUCAGGUAUUACGAUCCCCAUCCAUUACCCAUUUAAGACAUGAUUUUUAUGUCAUUCCCUAUCUUCUUUUUUGUACAAACCCCAAAGUUCAGCUAUUUUGUUCAUCACAACUUGACGCUCUCCCUCUUCCACCCUUCCCUGUUGCCACUUUUCAUUAAUUUCAUGUAGCUCAACUUUUAAUUUUGUAAUUUUUUCACUUAUGUUUCCAAAUGCUUUUUUCUGCCAUUCUUUCAACACUGGCUUUAAUCCCUUGAGUUUCAUCCAUAUACCUUUUUUCCUCCCCCCACAGCCUUGCGAAGUCCUCUAGUACUCUUUCACUAACUUAUGGAAACUCUCUUCUUCCAUCCAGUGGUUGAAGAAUUUGAAAGGUCUGGGGCCCCAAUCCACUCUCCCUAGGCCCAAGAUGAUCGGGUUGUGAAAUGGAGACUGGUAAACACCUCUGGACCAGUUCGUUGUCAUUUUCCAUCAGCUUCACAUCCACCAAGAAUUAAUCAAGUCGACUAAAAGUAGGAUCCUCUAGAUUGUUACAUCAAGUGAAUUUAGAUCCGACCAGUGGUAAAUCAAACAACCCCACCUCAUUGAUGAAUUUGUUGAAUCAUGCAGCAGCUUUUCUCACAUCUCCUCUUUCAAUUCUUUCAUCUUCUAUCCUUACUGUGUUGAAAUCUCCUCCCAGUACCCAACAUAAAUCAUUACCAGUGACAAUUUGUUUUAAUUCUUCCAACAUUUCAUUUCGAUCUCUUUCAUCAUUUGGUGCAUAAAUGUUCCCAAGACCACACCUAGUAUUGCUCUUAGUAAUCACCCCAAUAAGAAUAAUGUAGUUUCUGUGACUAAUCACCUCUUCUAGCUGAAAAAAAUUUUCCUACCACAUACAUAAUAAACCUCCUACUCUACCAUCUAAACUAACAGCAUUACUCAUAAUUUUAUCUUUAACCCACAGUCUCUCAUACAUUCCUUCAUAAACAUUCUGCACUUUUGUUUCCUGUACAAAAACCAUAUUUGGCUUACAUCUGCCAAUGGCUCUCCUCAGUGCUCUCCUUUUUUUCCCCUACCUAAACCUCUGAUAUUCCAUGAUAGUAGAUUCAUAAAAAAAAAACACAACACCGAAAUUCUUACCUGACUCCCUGUUUUGGUGUUCCUUACUUCUUCCCUUCCUCUGCCUCUGCCAUUUGUUUCAAGACCUCGUUCCUCUCAGCAUCAAAUUCCAAACUUAAGCAUCUGCUUACCUCCAUAGUCUGCAAUGCCUCCUUCCAUAUGGUUUCACAUCUUGAAUCAACCCUUGAAAUUUCUCCAUGAAGUCCCUCUAAUUUCUUUUUUCGUGAUUUCACUCUAUUUUUUUUUAAUUCUUUCUUACCUUUUUUUAUUGUUUGUUUUUUUUUUUUUUUACAUUAACUUUCCCUUCCCUUAUUGCCGUUAUUUCUGUUUGUUCUGUUUCCUUUGCUCCUCCUUCUGUUUCUUGAUCCUUUAUUUUCUUUUGUCCCAUAUUGUUCUUUUUGUCCUUGCUUUCCCUCGACUUAAUUCUCCUUUGCCUUCCUUCAUCUUUCUCUUUAACUAGGUCCAUAAGCAUUAUAUCAUUUGACAUUGACAAACCCGGAUCUUUAAACUUCUGUUCCAACACCUUUCCUUGUCUUCUUAGCUUGGUUUCCACCACCCUUAACCUCUCUUCAUGGACUGAGCUUUGAGCUCCUCCACCAAAACACCUUUCUCCUUCACUAGAUUCUCUUUGUCCUAUCGUAUUAUCUUUCUCUUAAUUUUUCUUCCCCUUUCUAUUUUCCUGAUGAUUAUCAACUGAACCAACUUUUGAGCUGUCACACAAGUUGUUUCUCCUUUGUAAGCCUAAGCUUACUUUUCUCCUAUCUUGAUCUUUUGCCCCACUAGGCCCGUAAUCCAUUCUCAGGUAAUGAAGGCCCUCUCUCCCUCUUUGAAAUGCAGAAUUCCAGCCUCUCAUCUCUUCUUCUGGGCUUGUAGAACCUUCACUAGUGGCCCACUCUCUUUAUGAAACUAUACAUGUUUCCUUGCCCUUUCUUGAUGGCCUACAUGUUGCUUUUUUUGACUUUGGACUACUACUUUGUUGAUUGGCCCCACUUUCUUUUUCGUUUGACCCUAACUUCUCCUUUUCCAUUUCAAUGUGUGUGGCUUUCUUCCCCGAUUUCAAAUUUCCCUCCCUUUUCUCUUUUCCCCCCUUUGGCUUGCUCUGAACAGUCCUAUCAACUUUCUGUUGUGUUCUCUUAAGUGAAACAAGUGCAUCAUAUCUAUUUUCUAUCACCUUUCCUUGGUUUUGUUCCCUAUAAUUUAUCUGACCCAUUGAUUUCCCCUUAAGUGCCACCUCAUCAUCAUCCAUGGUGGUUGAUUUCCUCCCCAUUGUGUUAUGUUUCUCCACCCAUCAGACCUCAUUUUGCUCUAUCGGUCUUGGUUCACAACAUGCCCAUGCUUUGCAUAAGGCCUCAUCGCAGGCUUGCCUCUCCAUAUCACAUGAUUCCUCCCUAAUGAUCGAUGUUCUCAUUAUGUAUGCUUUCCCAUUCACUAUGAUCUGUUGGUUCACGGGGACAUUCUUUUUGCUCAUUAUUUCAACUUUGAUGACAGCCACAUCCAACCGACUUCUCCUUUCAGUUUCCUGGUCAACUUUAAGAAACUUUCCCCAGCAAUUACCAAUUUCUUCAAACAUUUUCAAGUUCCAUAGAUGAGUAGGAAGUUCCUCAAUUUUCACCCAUACUUGGUAUCUCCGUUCAUCUUUCUCCAUGUUGUAUGGCUUGAUGUUUUCAAACCAAACUGAGAAAAUGUCAUAAUAUUGGUCAAGCACGACUUCCAUUUCACCUUUGUUGCCAAAAGUGACUAUCACGUUGAGGCCUCCUGCUUGUCUCACAAGCACCAUAAUACCUUCCUUUUGCAAAUAACUUUGCACCUCUCUAUAACAUAUAUGACUUUCGAGAUGCCCUAAAGCACUACAUCUAAGCCAUUCAACCUCAUCCCCUGUAAUUUCAACUCUUAUUCCAUCCACCUUAUUCAAACCAAUCCCUGCCUUUGAGAUAGUUCUCCUAUUAUACCAUUAGUUACUACUUCUUUGUAUGACGACAUGCCUCUUUCUCUGAUAAGUUCUUUUAUCUUUUUUUGGACCAUUUGGUUCCUUCCUCUGCUUCCAUCCUUGGCCUUAUCAGCUUAUUUGACUAUCAGAAACCUUCCAUCCAGUUCAAUAUUUUGGCCAUACCUUAUCGCUUUUAACAGCUCAUCUUAAAAGCGAUAUCGGACAAAAGUAUAUUUUGUUUCUCUUUUUUCUAACUGUUUUGGAAUAAAGAAAUCCACAACGAUUCCAAAUCGGUCAAAAAAGUUUUUUAGGUAUUUCCAUUGCACUCUGCUGCUCACGUUAUUGACGAAAGCAGUGAAGACCCUAUUUGUCCACCUCAAAAAAUCCUAUAUUCUGUUCCUCUCUUCCCAGUUUGCCGCCCGUGUCCACCCUUCUCCCUCUCUUGCAGUCUUUCCUAAGCUACGGUAAUCUAACCAAUCUCUUACUCUCACUCUUUCUCUUCCUCAACGUCUAUUUCUCUCAACUUCUCUCUCUAAUUCUCUCUUAUGCUCUCUCAUUUUUUUUUCUUUGCCACCAUUUUUGUUACCGUCAGGCACUGUAAGUACUAAGAUUACCCUGGAUUGUUAUAGUAACAUAUUUGGAUCCUUUUCAUUUCGAACUAGCAAUUAUACAACAAUUAUAGAAUUAAUGUGGUUUGCAACCUACCUCUUCACGGUUAAGAGUCCAUUCCAGGAGCUGUCGCUUAGAUCAUUUGCAACAAUGAGUCAGUUGGAAAAUUUCCAUAACAAAACUCAUUGUUCUCAUCAAAAGAUUCAUAGAAACCUCCAAAGAAAGGCUUAUAAACAUUUUGAGAUAUUUUUAAUGGCUUUUGAUUAUAGAUUUGCCGUGGACAAAAAGAGUAGGGAGUGAACAAAAAAGAAGCCAUGAUUAAUCGUGGCUAGAUAUUAGCUUUGCAAGUUUGAUCUGUAUUUAAGAAAAAUGUUGGAGUUAAAACUUAAAACCAAUGCUGAAAAAGUUUAUUAAAAAUUGAACACAUAGCUAUCUCAACAUUUCAGUUUGACCUUGCAAACAAAUAAUUAAAUAAUAAAUAAAAACAGGUUAGCAUAUGCAGGCCAAAAAAUUGAUUUGUAAGCUAAUAGUAGUGUAAUAAAAGAAUGAAGCAAAUCCAAAACUAAUGUGCAUCUAAUUAAUUUCUUCCUUCAAAUUUUCUUUUGAUGAUUGGAAAAAUAAACUUAAAAGGAAAAAUAUAGCUUCCUAAAUCAAGUUAAAUAAACUGAGCAAACAAAACAUGAAUUUCCUUAUUAUCUUUCUUAUGUAUCUUAAGUUGCUGUAGCAGAAAGUGAAACUUACUUCAACGUAGAAUUGUGAAGAUGAACAGUGAUCAAGUUAUUAUGAAUAUAUUGUCUUAUUGUGCUCUAUUCCAAUGCCUGUGGUGUGUAAUUAUUUGAAAUUUUGGAGAACUUUGAGAGAACUCAAAUCAAAAUCAACCAUCACUUGGUUGUUCAAAUCAUCACCUUAAUUUCUCCUGGGCUAGGCAACUACAAUCCAAUUCUCACUAUGUAAACCCCAAUUUCAUGACCCUCCAUCGCCUACCUAUAUGUUAUGUAAUGUGUUGUGAGCAAGCCUAAGGCCCAAAGACAUAAGGGGUCUCAUCAGAAGAUUCUUAUGUGACUUCAACAAUAGAUAUUCCAUCUGUCCCAAAAAUAAAAAGGAUAGGCUAUAUAUAUUCCCUAGCAAUUGUCAACAGUCGGGGAUCGAAAGAUACUAACCAUAAUACUAUCUCUCCUUUCUUUCUCAUAUCCUCUCCCUCUCUAUUCUUUCCUUCUAUUCCGCCUUCGAUGAGUUCUUACUCACUUAUAAAGCAUCAGUAAAGGAAUCACAAGAAAACCUCUAAUGUUCAUUUUUUUUAGGCCCGAACGCAUCAUCUUAGCCCAGAUCAUCCAACAAGAUAAUUCACCUACAAAGACAAAUCGAAAGUAAUCUCUAAUAUUUAUUGGGAUAAUUUUUUCAACCUUUAAAGAUAGAGUAUUUUCAAAAAUAAAUUUUUUUAAUUUUAAUUAUUUUUAGCCAAGAGAAAAGAUUUUUGGACAAAAUUACCCUUAAUAAACCUUUUCAUAUUCAAGUUCUCCUAAAUUUUCUCUCCCACCAUUCGUCUGCUUUGCUCCGUAUUGUGCUAUGCUCUCAAUUUUUCUCUAUUGUCAUCCAACUUUCUCUAAUUUUACCACCAUAACUAUCUCUUUGUCUAUCUUUUGUCAUCUCGUCAUAUGAUCAAAGAGCGUGACAUGGAAGGUAACAACAAAUUCUUGGGUUUAUUAGUCUAUAUUUUGAAAACCCUCUCUCUGUCUAUCUCUUGCCAUUUCAUCGUCGAUCUAUAGACCAAAAAGCAUGGCAUGGUGGGUAACAACGGGUUCUUGGGUUUAUGGGUGUUAAGUUUCUUCAGUGAUUCAAGUCUUGUAGAACAUGCCUUAGCAUGUAAUAAAGUGAUUCAUGCUUUGGCAUGUAACAUCAGUAGAAAGAAAGAAGAUUUGGUGUGUAACAUAUGGUUCUGAAGUUUUGACCUUGGCAUGUAACAUCUGGUGUUGAAUCUUUUUUAUGAUUAUAGGAAAUGUAACAAAUAAAAUAACCUAAAAACUAAUUAUCCAAAUUUGAGAAUUUUGGAUUGUAUCUUUUUAUCUAAAUCUAUUUCAUCCCAGCCAUUUCACCCCAGUAGUAAUGUUGACAUUAAAUAAUUUUUCAAGACAUCUUCCUUUCCAUGUCAAAUUCCUUUUUGAUUAAACGUUAUCUUUAUCAUGAAUAUGUUUAACUCCAAGGGUUUAUGUUCCAUUCAAAUACAAAGAUAGAGACCACAUUACAUUUAAAAAAUGUUGUCAUUACAUGUUAGGUUAAAAAAAUGUCAUUACAGUUGAAAAAAAAAUCAUUACACACUUUAACUCCAAGAGUUUAUGCUGUAGUAAAAUAAAAAGAAGUUACAUGUUUAAAAAAUAUUAUUGUUACACGUUAUAUUAAAAAAUUUUAAGCAACACCAAAACUUUAGCACCCAAUGUUACACACCAAGGCCAAAGGUUCAACACUAGUUAUUACAUGCCAAGGUUAAAGCUUUACCACCAGAUGUUGCAUGUCAAUGUCAAAACUUCACCAUCAAAUGUUACACGCCAAGGUUAAAGCUUCAACACCAUAUAUUACAUGCCAAAGCUUCAUUCUUCCUAUUGAUGCUAAAUGCCAAGGCAUGAAUCAAUUUGUUACACACUAAGGCAUGUUCUACCAGACUUAAAUCACUGAAAAAACUUAACUCAUAAACCCAAGAACUUGUUAUUACUCACUAUGCCAUACUUUUUGGUUUGUACAUCAAUGAUGAGAUGGCAAGAGAUAGAUAGAGAGAGAGUUUUAUGAAUGUAAACCAAUAAACCCACGAAUAUGUUGUUACCUUUUAUGUCAUGCUCUUUGCUACGUAGAUCGAUGAUGAGAUGACGAAAGAUAGACAAAGAGAUAGAGAUAGUGGUAAAAUUAGAGAAAGUUGGAUGACGAGAGAGAAAAAUGGAGAGCAUAGCAGAAUAGGGAGCAUAGCAGAAUCGGACCGCUAAACGUGGUUAACUUGGGGAGUCACCACCAAUCUUUUUUUACCUAGGUGUGAUUGGUCACCUAUUAAAUUGGUUCUAUUCAACGAAAUCUUAAAUUGAUUUAAAGUCCGUCGAAAGAACGAGAAAUUGUCUAUAUUUUUUUGUCAAAGUUGAGUUCGGGAGUACAGUUACGCAUAUGGAAGGAUUAGCACCCCCGUGACGCCCGUUCCACAAAUGGUACCAUUUAAUCAUAAAUUAUCCUAACCCAUUAAUUUUAUUCUUAUGUUUCCUUAAUUGUUAUUUAUUUAUUUCAUCUUUUAUUAGAAUAUUCUAUUUCAUUUUUUACAGGUUUAACACGUAUAUUAUGCAAUUGUGAAAUGCAUGGCAUAAAAUCUGGAUAAUGCCAAACGAAAAUCCUUUAUUGAGUGUACUUUCUGAAUCCACCCAUCGUACUAGUGAGAUUCGUAAGUAUUCUCUCACCUAAGGAAAUACCUCAGCAACUCGCCUUUGCAAGUUUACUUGGUAGAUCCCAGCAUCGGGAUAGUCGUUUAUGAGUAAAAAAUAGUGUUUUCAGAAUGCAAAUCCUAAUAUGGGUAAAAGCCUCUUAUUAAAGAUAUUUCUCUGGACCUUCCCAUCGUACUAGUGGACUUCGGAGGUAUCUUUUCACCUAGGGAGUUUACCGAUGAAACUCUCAUUCGCAAGCUUUCUCGGAAAGUCCCAUCAUAGGAGCUUAUACCCGUAUAUAGAAUAUAUCUAUAUGCCAUGACAUUUAACAAUGCGACCAUGAUACGUGAUGCACUCACAAUUAUAAUGUUUGUUCCUUAUUUUAUUAUUUCUCCAUGUGAGUGUAUGCACGUUGUUUUUUANCAAACCUUCCCAUCGUACUGGUGGAGUUCGGAGGUAUCUUUUCACCUAAGGAGUUUGCCGAUGAAACUCGCCUUUGCAAGCUUUCUCGGAAAGUCCCAUCAUAGGAGCUUAUACCCGUAUAUAGAAUAUAUCUAUAUGCCAUGACAUUUAACAAUGCAACAAUGGUACGUGAUGCACUCAUAAUUUUAAUGUUUGUUCCUUAUUUUAUUAUUUCUCCAUGUGAGUGUAUGCACGUGUUUUUUAUUUACUUAUUAUCCCAUUUUUAUUUCGUUAUGUAUUUUGCUAUGCAAAUACUUAUUCAUUUCAUUAUAUGCAAAAUUUUCAAAAUUAUAUUUUUAGACCAAGUAUUUUCAUUUUAUUUAUUUUUAUUUCAUAAUUAUUAUUUGUAUAUGUAUUUUAUACAUUCCUCUUUGUGUUAUUAUUAUUGUUAACAUACUUAUUGUUAUCAUUAAUUUCUUAUUUUUUUGCAUUUUUGACCAAUUGGUAAUUGAGUAUAUGAUUUGUAUUUAAAAUUAGAAUCAUCGAAAUUCUAAAUUAGGACCUUCCCAUCAUACUGGUGAGGUCCUAAUCAAAAUUCUUAACCUAAGGAAAUCCAUUUAGAAUUGCGACUUCUCAUGUUCUGAACGGACAUCCUAUCAUCGGUAUUGAUUCUAAAGUGGUUGCUAUAUAUUUUAUAUCAUUUUUUAUUGUUAUUGUUGUUUAUUAUUAUAUUCUUAAUUAUUGUUAUUAUUAUUUUUGUUCAUUACUUUUUAUUAUUAUUAUUAUUAUUAUUAUUUAUUUUAAAACAUUCUAUAGUUUUUUUUAUUUCUAUCUAAGCUAAGCAAAUUUUUAAUUAAAUAAGCUGGAUAAGCCCUAAAUAACAAGUCCAAAUCGACAAUAAAUGGGAAAGGCCUCACCUUACUUGGGCUAGAAUGAUGGCCCAAGUUAUCUGGGCUGCACGGAGGCGUCCCAAGCCUGCUUCGUUGGUCCACUGGGCUUUCCUCCCCAAACGCACCGUUUGGGGCUCCGGAGACUCCCUCAAACGACGCCGUUUAGACUCUAAACCUGGGUAUAUAAGCCCUUUUUUUUUACCUUUUUUCUUAUUUUCACCUUUCAUUUUCUCUCUCUAGUUGGCCACUCUCUCUCUCUGCCUUCUCUCUAAAUUGACGGCAAACCUUUCUCCCUCUCUCCCUUGCUGCGACAUUGCAACUUCCUCUUUAUCUCCGUAUCCCUUUACUCCUUGUCACUGGCCGGAUUAGGAAACCAGAUUCGAGACCCCUUACGGACUGCCCUCUCUUCUCCAGCAGCCUUCCUUUGCCGCUGGCGUCCCUUCCGAUUCUCACCCUACCCACGCAAUCAACUCUCUCUUUUGCACCAAAAAUCGCCUCUCACCAAAUCUGACUAGUUUUCUCAUCUUCUUUUUUUUUUUGUUUUUGUGUUGUGUUUGUUUUGAUUUUUGAUCUUUUGUUAUUGUGGCUAGGGUAGUCUGCUGGUAGAAAACUUGAGUAUUUUGGAUUUGCACGUCUCAAUUGUUUGAAGAAAAAAAUGAGAUUUUUUGUUGAUGGAUCUAGUUUUUUUGUUUUUGCAGGAUUGAUGUUUUUUUUUUGAUCUGGCUUUCUCCGAUUUUUUCAAAAUCUGCCUACAUUUUAAAAGAUCUGGAUUGUCUAAAAUUUUGGACAAUCUCAAGAGUGCAAUCAUGUGAUUUUCGUAGGGCUCCUGGCACAAGCAAGCCCGGGGCAAGUAGUUGGAGGUGACGGGAGAGGGAGGCUGAACAAACGUUCAGUCUUUUCCCUUCUCUGUUCUUUUUUUUAAAUUUUAUUAUUUUUUAAUUUUUUUAUUAUGUUAUUUGAUUAUUUUAUUUUUAUUAUCAUUUAUUUUUUUUAAAUGGGUGUCUACAGUUGCCCCUCUUUGUACAUUCUUGAGAAUCAAGAAUAGUGCAAAGACGUAGACACCUUCUUUGGACCAAAUUAAAUAUCUUUGUUCCUUUUUUUAAUAAUCAAAAAGCUCCUCAUCUCAAAACGAGGCUAUGUAACUUAAAAAAAAUCUUGAAACUAAUUACCUGAAGGUUUUAGGAAAGGUUUUAUGAAUGUAUCCGGAGGUUUUGAAGAUGUUCCCGAAGGUUUUAGAAGAAAAGGUUGUUCCUCAUCUCAGAAUAAGGCUACAUAACUUUGAAGAAAUCUUGAAACAAAUUACCCGGAGGUUUUAGGAAUGUACCCGGAGGUUUUAGAAGAAAAACUUGUUCUCAUCUUAGAAUGAGGCUACAUAACUUUGAAGAAAUCUUGAAACCAAAUACCUAGAGGUUUUGGGAAUAUACUUGAAAGUUUUACAAAUGUUCCCGGAGGUUUUGGAAGAAAAAGUUGUUCCUCAUCUCAAAAUGAGGCCACGUAAUUUUGAAAAAAUCUUAAAACAAAUUACCCAAAGGUUUUAGGAAUGUGCCCGGAGGUCUUGAAGAUGUACCCGGAGGCUUUAAAAGAAAAAGGUUGUUCCUCAUCUCAAAAUGAGGUCAUGCAACUUUGAAGAAGUCUUAAAACUGAUUACCCGGUGGUUUUAAAGAUGUACUCGAAGGUUUUGAAAAUGCACCCAAAGGUUUUAAAAGAAAAAAGUUGUUUCUCAUCUCAAAAUGAGACCACGUAAUUUAAAUUUUCUCGUGCCAAGAUAAUAGGGCUUAGACGUGUUGGAUGCCAGCUACAGUGGGCUUAAACAUAUCGGUGCCAAUAUAACUGGGCUUAAACAUCUUGGAUGCCAGCUAAAUUGCGCUUAAACUCCUUUUGUGCCAACGUAACUGGACUUAUACAUAUUGGAUGCUACUUUAAUUGGGCUUAAAUCUCUUUGUGUCAAUAUAACUGGGCUUAAUCAUUUUGGAUGCCAGCUAAAUUGGGCUUAACUCCUUUUGUGCCAACAUAACUAGACUUAAACAUCUUGAAUGCCAACUAAAUUGAGCUUAAACUCCCUUGUGCCAAUGUAACUGGACUUACACAUCUUGGAUGCCAGUUUGAUUGGGCUUAAACUCCUUUUGUACCAACGUAACUGGACUUAUACAUCUUGGAUGCCAGUAUAACUUGGGCUUAAAUCUCUUUGUGCCAACGUAACUGGACUUAUACAUCUCGGAUGCCAGUUAAAUUGGGCUUAAAUCUCUUUGUGCCAACGUAACUGGACUUAAACAUCUUGGAUGCCGGUUAAUUGGGCUUAAAUUCUUUCAUGCCAACAAAAAUGGACUUAUACAUCUUGGAUGCCAGUUAAAUUGGGCUUAAGACUCAAAUCUUUCUUCACUUAAUUGCUUGAAAACUGCAUUAGUCUUGAUAUUCGUUUGAAAAUUUCAAUUUUGAUGAUGCAAGGUCAUGUGCUGAUUGGGCAUGUAUGCAUAAUUGAAUGAUGGACAAAUGAUGUAUUGCUUCCUUUUGUUUUGCGCCAUAUAUUCCUCACUUGAAAGAUCAUUUUUCUUGUCUUCACAUUUUUUGACGAUGUUCUUGUGCAGUAGCCAAUUUCUUCGCCUUCAAAGAACCUUUUUGUUAAUCUCGUCAUAUUAAUUUAAAUUCUUGAAACCACUUUUCUACAAUGGAUGCGAACAAAAGCUCACCAGUUCAAAUUGGAUUUCAAUGCUUCCACACUUAUUGAUCAUGAAAGCUCUUCCUUGCAUUGCUUUUUCCCAUCUCUUCUUUUUUUUUUUUUGAAAUGAAUUUUGUCUUUUUCAAAAGUGCUUGUCUGAUCUCACAAAGAUCAUAAAGACUCUCAUUUUUCUUUUUUCCUUUUUGUUUUCAAAAACAUCUUAAUUUUAACAAAAUCACAACAAAAUUGCCCCACACAAUUAUUUCCAUGAUCAAAGAUAGUUGAAUCUUGGAGCAAGAAUGUAUCAAAUCCACACUUUUCUUGCGGAAGUGAUAAAAUAUCCAAGUUUGGAAAAACAUGUGAUAUUUGAAUCUCUUAAAAAUCAGUGAUUACCAUUUAAAAUGACUCGGGUGGGUCAAGUCAUAAUUUGAUCUUUCAAAUGGAUUGAAAGGUUUAACAAAUUAAAGUCUUGCAAAAAGGUCUUGCUAUUUUAUGGGGAAAUGAAGGAUCAAUAUUUCUUCGUCCAAGCUCACAAAUGUUGCACGAUUUUCUCAAAUUUGUACUCUCUGAAAAUCAAAUUCUUUACAAAAAGACUCAUUUCGGAUUGCAAAUCAAUUUUGACACUCUCUUGUCUCAUGAUGUGUGGCAUUUUGAUAGAUGUCAAGACUAGCUUUAGAGACUUCAGAUUUGUAAGGUUAUUUUGGAAGAGAAUGGCUCAAAGUUCAGCAUUGGUUUUAUGACAAAUCUUGAAUUUUACAUUCUUGGACAUUUGAAGGGUCUCCAAUGCACUCUAGUUGCUUUGAAAUGAUCUCUAUUGUGCUUCUUAUCAGUCAAAAUCACAAGUGGUUUCAUAAGUUCCCAUUUUUGCUCUAGGUUGCCUUUUCAGGUUUUCACCCUAGAGCUCAUUUUUUUCUCUUUUCUCUUUUUUUCCCUUUUUUUUAUUCUCCUUGUCAUCUCUUUUUUCUUUUUUUCAUCGAUUGUUCCAUCAUGCACUUGAAAAAGAUUCAAACUCUAUCCAAAAUGGAUUGACGGAUUGACACGGAUCAUCAUGGCAAAGAAAAAGAGACCAAGGCCUCAUGGAUUUUAUAAUGUCUUUUUCUAGAAAAAAUCUCUUCAAUUUAAGCAUCCAUACUUGAUCAAAAUGGACUUUUUUAAAACAUGUAAUGUAGGUUAAGGUUAGGGGCUUUGAUAGAAUGGGUAAAAAGGCUCAAAACAUUAUAUUUAAGGGUGUUCAACCAAGGAUCAUUCAUGUGAAAAUCUUCUAAGACAUUUGUCUUUUCAAUUUUUCAAAGCAUAUUUUUCCAUCAAUUUUCUUUUUCUUUUUUUUUCAUCACUUUUGAUCAUCUUUUCCAAUUUUUUUUUUGAUGGGUUUAAAACUCGAAUUCUUUUGCCUUCGCCUCUUUAUACAGGGUGUUUUAUUUCUUCAAAUGAGAUCUUGUCCUCCUUGUUCUUGGACAAUAUUCUCAUACAUAUUUGCCCUUCCAAUAUGAGAGGUGAUCCUUGGUCAAGGUGUAUUUAGAAAGAAUUUGAUAGGCUCAAAGGGGUAGCAAGCGGAUAAUUUCUCAUUUGCAAAUGGGAGAAUGAAACAUGGCCACUUCUCAUAUCAAAUAUGGUUACUUGCCUUGAAGAGCAAUCCUUAGAAUGGAUGAAUAUUGAAGUUCUUUUUUUUUUCUUUCUUUGGCAUUGUUUGAAUGUCUCAAGUACAUGCUGUUACUAUCAACUUUUCUCACUAUUCUCUUAUUUUCUUUUUUUCCUUUUUUUUUUCAUACCUUCACAACUCACAGCUUGACUCAAAUUUUCUAAAAUGAAAGAUUCACUGAAGAUGCCCUUCCUCGAUCAACCACUCAAACGAAGACUUAAGCAACAACUCUAAGCAAUUAUGACCAUUUCAAAGCCUUCAGAGAUCUCAUUUCAAUCCUCAAUUUCAAAAAUUGCUCUUGUUAGCAUUUCUAAAUGAGGGAGAAACAAAGGUUAUUUUACAAGUCAGUUGUCUUGAAAGUAUUGGAAAAUUUUUCCUCUUCUAACCAUCUUGCCCCCCAAGUAUGGAUGGAGGACAACUUUAGGCAAUGGGUGGAAAGGUUCACAUUUUGGAUCAGAUUGAAAAAAGUUAAGUGGUUUUGAUGUAUUUGAAGCUCUGGCUAGUCUUGACACUUAUCAAACUACCAAAUUCAGAUUCUCUCCAAGAGUGCAAGAUUUUCUUUAUUUUUGGAAAAAUGAAUUUUACCUUGUCACAACAUUGAUCAUUACUUAGACGAAGACCAUCAUCCUUAGAUGUCAAAUGAUAAAACAAAUGAAGUUUCAGAGCUUUUGCUUAUUUUUGGAUUCUGGCCCUUGAAUGGCCUUUAUUCACUUGGUUAAGGGAUUGAGAGUGUUUAAAGGUAUGGUUUGAGAAUGUUUAUGAAAAUGAGUUCAUUUGCAAAUAGCAACCACCAAUUCUUUCGAAAUUCUUUUCACCAUUUAUUUUACAAGAACCUUUUCUUUUUCUUUUUUUUUUUAUGUAUGAUUUUGGAAACAAGUAAUAUGGGGCUUUAUUUUUAAAAUUGCUAACAUUCAAAGAACUCAUUUCUUUUUUUUUUUUAGAAAGAGAAAUAAAUAAACAAGAACCACAAGAAAUUUGAGCAAUUUUGAAACUCAAUUUGACUCAUGACAGCAUGUGAUGAUGAAAACUAAACAAUCACUCAUCUCAAAUUACAUGAUCAUGCAUGAAAGACAAAAGUCCAUAUUUCCAAGAGUUUCUACCUUCAAAGCAUGUACACAACUAGAAAAUGAUCAAGGAUUGCCCCCGAAUUGGCAUACCACUCAAUUAUUCCAAAACCCAAGCCUUGUAUCCAUCACCCUUGAUUUUUAUAGUUGUUGACAAGUUCUUUGAAUUUAGUUGGGUUUUCAUCGAUUAAACCUUGAACUUUGUUCUUGAAUGCAAUGCAAUUCUCUGUGGAAUGACCUUCAACCCCAUAAUGGUAAUCACAUUUAACAUUUGGGUUAUACCAUCUUGGGUAAGGAGAUUUCCUAGGCUUGGGAGGAAUAAUAGAGAUCUUAUAGUUUUGUACCAAUAAAGGGAAAAGCUCUACAUAGGGCAUUGGUAAUGAAUGGUACACUUUGGCUUUCUUUCUCCUGUUGCUUUGAAGGUAAUCUGGAUUAAUUUCUUGGUCAUUUGAAGUGGACAUGUAAGGUAAAGGAGCUUGUGCAAGUGAUGAUUGAGUGAAAGGUCGAGAUAGAUUAUGGACAUAUGCUGAUGGGUGUGAAUGAGCGCCCAUAAGAUCUCCUUCUAUGUCACAAAAUUUCCUUUUAUUUCUCUUUUCAAAAGCCAUUGCUUGAACUCCUUUAUCAAAAACAUCAUAUUCUCAUUUGACAAGAUCAUUUGCUCGAAAGUCUACAAUCUUUCCCUUUCUUAUUCCAUCUUCAAUCCUUCCCACGGAGAACACCAAAUCCAAAAAAUCUGAAUUAGCAUUACCCACCAAUUUGUCGUAAUAUGGAGGAGGAAGAGUAUCAAUAAAUAGAGAAUUUAAUUCUCUAUUAGUAAGGGGUGGUUGGACUUGUGAUGCUACUUCCUUCCACUUAUAAGCAUACUCCUUGAAACUUUCAAAAGGGUUUCUUUCCAUGUUUUGGAGGGUUAUUUGAUCAGGAAUUGCUCUUAGCCUAUGCAUAUAUUGUCCCAAAAAUGCUCGGGCUAAAUCUGUCCAUGUGCAAAUACGAUUUUUCUCUAGCUUGAAGUACCAUUUAACCGCAGCCCCUUUCAAACUAUUUUGAAAAAAUGAAUGAGCAAUUUCUCAUCAUGGACAUAUGGAGACAUCUUGUUGCAAUACAUGAUCAAAUGUGCUUUAGGGCAUUUGGUUCCAUCAUACUUUUCGAACUCUGGGACUUUAAACUUGGGUGGGAUAACUACAUUAGGCACCAAACUUAAUUCCUUUGCCUUAACGAAAUCAUAGAGAUCCAUUCCUUCUAUGGCUUUAAAGCGUUCUUCUAAAAGGUCAUACUUCUGUUGUACUCUCGAUUUUUCUCUUGAACUUGAUAAGUCAAGUGUAGGAACCUGAUUAGAAAAAAUUACCCUUGGAAUUUGCAUAGUUUGCCUUUGUGUCGACGACUGACUUAAUCCUUGAAAACUUGAAAAUCCUUCGAUAGUCACCUUCCUUUCAUUGGCAUUCACCAUCUCCAUUAGCUUUGUCAACUGUUUUCUAAUCUCUUCCUGGGUCUUCUCCAUCUUGUUUAUCAAAUUUGAUUGAUCAUCUCCCAUAAUUCUAGCUUGAGCCCCUGUAUUGUGCCAAUCGUAAGUGGGCUCCCUUGAACUUUUCUCUUUUCACAAUAUAUAAUGUGAAAAGCAACGAUAAUCUUGCUUCUUCUUUCAUGAAAUGUAGUAAAGUCAAGUGAUGCUACUUGCCACAAAGGAAGGUGAAUGAUGCAUGCAUGUGUAUCCAAAUCGAAGAAUGUUUGAAUGCAUGAUGGGAUGAUUAAAUGUUUGACAAUUGAUUUGAAACACAAAGACACUUGAUUAUGAAUAAUGCUCCAACACGAUUACAUUUCAAACAAACUUUCUUUUUCAUUUUUUUGAUUUUUUUUAAACAACAUCUAAGAAAAUGUCUCAAAAGUUAACAUAAUUCUUCACGAACACGAACUUACUCUUACAAGAUUCAAAAGAAGUUAAAGAUUAAAAUGUCCUAAGGUCUAAAAAACUUAAAAAAAAAUCAACACAGUCAAUCCUUCUUUCGUCUGACACUCAAUUGUACUCUCCAUAACCAUACCCCAUCAUCUUUGCUAGAUCGAACCAUUUGGCAUCUAUUAAUGUUUGCACUCGAUACUUGAAGGCGUCACAAUCUUCGAUGGAAUGUCCCAUAGCUCCACCAUGAUAAUCACAUCUUGCAUCAGACUUGAACCACUUUGGGUAUAGAGGCCACAAGGGUUCCAAAGGCACCGAGACAAUAAGAUGAUCAUGAACUAAUUGAUAAAAGAGUUCUUUGUAGGUGACAGGUAUAGGGUCAAAUUAUUUUUUCUUUUUGGAUUAUUUUUGAGGGGUGCCUAUACUAGGAGUAGGGGUGAUUGAUAAUUGUGCUCGUGGUUGGCUUUAAAAGGCCUGUUGAAAAUGAGGUCGAAAAGUGCUUGAACAGGAGUAAGAAUUUAGCCGUAAAUUGAUUUUCGUAGGUUGAAAAGUGGUGGGUGGAGAAUAUGACCUUGGUUGCAACCCAUUGCUCUGGGGUUGUGUAGCAUUUGGAGAUCCCAUCUUGGUCAUGAAACUUUUGAACUCAAUCAUUUGCAUGUUCAACUCAUCCAUCCCUUUUACAAUUUUUUUUAGACCUUGAUAUUUACUUGAGCCACUGAGCAACGUGUUGGGUUCAUCAAGGACAAAUUGAAUUUUAUUCAGAGAUUGUUUCUAGUGUGGUUUGAUUUGAAGCAAUGAGGACUCUAGAAGGUGAUUUCCUUUGGCUUCAUUGAGACAUUCAACCAUUUCCAUCAAUUUGGUUAUCUGCCCUUUGAUCUCUUGAAGGUUAUGUCUAAAUUCUUCUUGAUUGCGUUCCAAUGCACUUAUCCUUGCUUCCAAUUGAUGUUCCAUAUCGUUUAAUCCUAGCUUGGGUUCAGAUGAUGACCUAAACCAAAAUAACUUAGAAACAAAAGUUUAGAAUUUUACUAAAAAUUUUUCAAAAAGGGAUUUAUUUUCUUUCCUAUAAAGCUAACAACACUGUAGGGUUUUUCUUUAUUAGAACAAAUAUGAAAUGAUUGCAUGUAGAUGAAAAUAUGAUAUUUGCAUGUAUGCAUGAAAUGUUAUGAUGCCUUGAUGCAUGGAUGGUAUGAAAUGAAAUGGAAGACCAUAUUAUCGAAAAUCAUGUAUAGUGAGAGGUAGAAAACUUUAUUCAAAACUAAAGUCCCUUUCUUUUUGUGGUUUUUGAAGAAAAUGGAAGAAGUAAAAAAACCUUUUUAUGUUCUCUCUUCUUGCUGCUUAAAUGGAUAACCAUUUUCUUUUUCUUUUCUGUUUCACAAGAAGCAUUAUUUUCUCUUUUUACAUUCCUCAUUUAUUUUUGUAUGAGAAGAAGUUUUUCUCUCUUUUUUUCUUUUAUUUUUAUGGAUAAAAGGAACUAAAAACCUCUCUUUUUUUUUUAGAAGACCUCACUCGAAAGAAAUGCCUUUCUUUUUUUUCCUUUCUUUAUAUAUUUUUAUUUUUUUUUUCUCUUUCUCUCUUCUUUCUUUCUUUUUUUUUUCAUGAAAGAAGAAACACACUCCCUCUUUUUCAUGUUUAUCCUUUAUUUUUAGGAGAAAAUAAAAAAGCUAUUUUUCUGAGAUAUUUAAAGUAAAAGUACAGAGAAAAGUGUUCUAAAAAUAAUGAACGUAAAAAAUCUUGCUCCUCUCUUUUUUUUUUAUGGAAACAGAAAGAAAAUUUUUUUGUUUUUUUUUUUUUUUUUUUAAAAUCACUUUAACAUGUGUUACUUUUAUUUUAUCAAAAAAGGCUAUUAAGAUAGAUUUGUUCCUUCACGUGUCCUAAAUUAGGGUGUACUGCUCAUGACAAGUUCAGUAAGGUUCUGUCUAUGGGAUGGCCCCUUAUGGUUUUUUAUAUAUUGAGUUUGGUUUUGAAUGAGGCUAAAGGUUCCCAAAUUGUUCUUCACUAUCGUCCAUAUGGACUAGUAAGGCACCCCAGUCCUCACCCAUUACAAGCUUCAAACGGACUAGAUUCGAUCUGAGUGAGAGUUUUCACUAGCCCAUGCAGAGAUUAUCACCUCACGAGAGCGUAGCUACUAAACUCUCUCCUAAUAAGGACAAAACUUGGGUAGAAGGCUUAUGCAUGAAUGCAACAUGUGUUGUGUGUGUGAAGGAACAUACCAGCCUUUGACGGACAAUCUCACAUCCCUUUAUCCUAAAUGCCCCACAAUUUAAAAAAAAAAACAACAAAAAUAAAGAUCGUGAAUCAAUUAAUGCACAAAACCAUAAUGCCAAAAGAAAAUGCUCAAAUUUAAAGGAAACACUACAUUAUUUACGGCUUUAGGAUAACUUAUGAUUAAUUAUGUCUCGACUCUCUAGUGUCCCCAGUGGAGUAGCCAAGCUGUUUGUAACGUGCAGGUCCGGGAACCCGACCGCUAGACGUGGUUAACUUGGGGAGUCGCCACCAAUCUUUUUUUACCUAGUCCUCAUUACCUAUUCAAUGAAUCUUAAAUUAAUUUUAAGUCCGUCGAAAGAACAAGAAAUGGUCUACGUUUUUUUGUUAAAGUUGAGUUCGGGAGUACAGUUACGCACAGGGAAGGAUUAGUAGCCCCAUGACGCUCGUUCCACGAACGGUACCAUUUUAUCAUAUACUAUCCUAACCCAUUAAUUUUAUUCUUAUGUUUCCUUAAUUGUUAUUUAUUUAUUUAAUCUUUUAUUAGAAUAUUUUAUUUUAUUUUUUACGAGUUUAACGCGUACAUGAUGCAAUUGUGAAAUGCAUGGCAUAAAAUCUGGAUAAUGCCAAAUGAAAAUCCUUUAUUGAGUGUACUUUCUGAAUUCGCCCAUCGUACUGGUGGGAUCCGGAAGUAUUCUCUCACUUAGGGAAAUACCUCAGCAACUCGCCUUCACAAGUUUACUUGGUAGAUCCUAGCAUCGGGAUAGUCGUUUGUGAGUAAAAAACAGUGUUUUCAUGAAUGCAAAUCCUAAUACAGGUAAAAGCCUCUUAUUAAAGAUAUUUCUCUGGACCCUCCCAUCGUAUUGGUGGAGUUCGGAGGUAUCUUUUCACCUAGGGAGUUUACUGAUGAAACUCGCCUUCGCAAGUUUUCUCGGAAAGUCCCAUCAUAGGAGCUUAUACCCGUAUAUAGAAUAUAUCUAUAUGCCAUGACAUUUAACAAUGCAACCGUGAUACGUGAUGCAUUCACAAUUCUAAUGUUUGUUCCUUAUUUUAUUAUUUCUUCAUGUGAGCGUAUGUACGUGUUUUAUAUUUACUUAUUAUCCCAUUUUUAUUUCGUUAUGUAUUUUGCUAUGCAAAUACUUAUUCAUUUCAUUAUAUGAAAAUUUUCAAAAUUAUAUUUUUAGACCAAGUAUUUUCAUUUUAUUUUUUUUUAUUUCAUAAUUAUUAUUUGUAUAUGUAUUUUAUACAUUCCUCUUUGUGUUAUUAUUAUUGUUAACAUACUUAUUGUUAUCAUUAAUUCCUUAUUUUUUUGCAUUUUUGACCAAUUGGUAAUUGAGCAUAUAAUUUGUAUUUAAAAUUAGAAUCAUCGGAAUUCUAAAUUAGGACCCUCCCAUCAUACUUGUGAGGUCUUAAUCAAAAUUCUUAACCUAAGGAAAUCCACUUAGAAUUGUGACUUCUUAUGUUCUGAACGGACAUCCUAUCAUCGGUAUUAAUUCUAAAGUGGUUGCUAUAUAUUUUAUAUCAUUUAUUAUUAUUAUUGUUGUUUAUUAUUAUAUUCUUAAUUAUUGUUAUUAUUAUUUUUGUUCAUUACUUUUAUUAUUAUUAUUUAUUUUAAAACAUUCUAUAGUUUUUUUUUAUUUUUAUCUAAGUUAAGCAAAUUUUUAAUUAAAUAAACUGGAUAAGCCCUAAAUAAGAAAUUCAAAUCCACAAUAAAUGGGAAAGGCCUCACCUUGCUUAGCCUAGAAUGAUGGCCCAAGUUAUCUAGGCUGCACGGAGGCGUCCCAAUUCUGCUUGUUUGGUCCACUGGGCUUUCAUCCCCAAACGCGCCUUUUGGGGCUCUGGAGACUCCCUCAAAUGACGCCGUUUAGACUCUAAACCUAGGUAUAUAAGCCCAUUUUUUUGCCUUUUUUCUUAUUUUCACCUUUCAUUUUCUCUCUCUAACCAGCCACUCUCUCUCUCUGCCUUCUCUCUAAGCCGAUGGCAAACCUUUCUCCCUCUUUCCCCUGCCCCGACGCUACAACUUCCUCUUUAUCUCCCUAUCCCUCUACUCCUCGUCGCUGGCCAGAUUAGGAAACCAGAUUCGAGACCCCCUACGGACUACCCUCUCUUCACCGACAACCUUCCCUUGCUGCCGGCGUCCCUUCCGAUUCUCACCCUACCCACGCAAUCAACUCUUUCCUUUGCACCCAAAAUCGCCUUUCACCAUAUCUGACUAGUUUUCUCUUCUUUUUUUUUUGUUUUUGUGUUGUGUUUGUUUUGAUUUUUGAUCUUUUGUUAUUGUGGCUAGGGUAGUCUGCUGGUAGAAAACUAGGGUAUUUUGGAUUUGCAAGUCUUGGUUGUUUGAAGAAAAAAUGAGAUUUUUUGUUGAUGGAUCUAGUUUUUUUGUUUUUGCAGGAUUGGUGUUUUUUUUUUUUGAUCUGGAUUUCUCCGGUUUUUUCAAAAUCUACCUACAUUUUACAAGAUUCGGAUUGUCUAAAAUUUUGGACAGUCUCAGGAGUGCAAUCAUGUGAUUUUUGCAGGGCUCCUGGCACAAACAAGCCCAGGGCAAGUAGUUGGAGGUGACGGAGAGGGAGGCUGAACAAACAUUCAGUCUUUUCCCUUCUCUGUUCUUUUUUUUUUUUAAUUUUUUUAUUAUGUUAUUUGAUUAUUUUAUUUUUAUUAUCAUUUAUUUUUUUUAUUUUUUUAAAAUGGGUGUCUACAAAAUGACUGGCAGGAGAGAAAAUUUUAGAGCAUUUAAUUUGUUUGAAAUGGUUUUAAGGGUAUUUUUGUCAUCUCAUGGCUAAAAUUGGUUCAAAACAGUUAACUUUAUAUUGAAGGUUAUGUUUGAAAUGAGCUUAUGAGUAGCAUUGUUUCUUACAAUUUCCUCAUAUUUAUUUGUUCAGAUUGGUUGCUUCAAGACUACGCAUCACCAAUAUUACAUGGAUAAUCAUAUUAAAAUAUUAUAAUGAUUAACAAUGUAACAAGUAGAACCUAAUUGUGUCCUUAUUGUAGAAUUCACUGAACACUUGAGCUAUUACAAGUUGAUGAAAUACAUAAUUUUUUUUUAAAAAACCCUAAUUUUUGACACCUUUAAAAGUUAUAAUUGUACAUGUUUCUAACUUUUAUUUUUCUUUUUUCCCAUUAGAAAUAUAAGCAAUAUAACUAAAAUCUUAUAUCUCUUUAUAAGUGUUUUUUAUGAGAUUAUUUUUACAAAUAAAAAUUAUAAUUACAUAAUAUAACUUUUAAUAUAUACUAUAAUAUAAAAUAAAUUUAUAAAUAAACCAAAAGUUAUCCACCCAAUAAAAUAGAUCUAUAUAAUACAAUAAUAAAAUUUAUUUGGCUUGAGUUUUCAUAGCAUAACAUAAAACUAAAGACAAUUUUGAAAAUUCAAUAAAUUAAAGAUAACAUCCUAAAGCAACCAUCAUGCGAAGAAAAAAAAUCAAGACAGACACUUGCCUCCGAAAUAAAGAAAAGGAAACAACCAAUUACUAGGUAAAAUAAAAGCACCUUGACCUUGAUAAGUUGAACUUGCACUCAAACUUAUUUUCUCGAUUUGGGAUUCAAAGGAGUCCAAUGGAAACGUCAUCAACAUGAUGGUAUUUUCAUCAAGCUUGCUUGUUCGAACCCUUCAAAAACUUGAUUUUGAUCUUCUUCAGCUUAGCAACGAUGUUUUUAAUGUUAAUCCUUUCUUCUGGCAACUCUUUUGAACAUUCUAAUGCCAUUGCAAAAUAGACAAUGCACAAUCUUUUAUUGCAAAAAUGUUCUCACUCCUUGGUAGUAAUUAGCAAAUUGGCAUCUACAAUUUGAGUUAAUGCACAUGGUAAUGACUCAGUCACCCAAUGUAUUAAGCUCAUUUCUCCAACAAACAUUUCAUCUGUGGGCUUUUUUCUUGUUAAGGUUUCAAUUAGAAGAAUACCAAAACUGUACACGUCGCCUUUUAUGGAAACAACUCCUUGUGUUCCAUAUUCUACAUGCAAGUCAUUAAAAAAGCAAUCAUCAAAGUAUGCCAAGAUUUUACAUGAAUUAUCAUAAUGAAUAAAAAAAGUUUAAAAGUUAAGCAUUACCUGGUGCCAUAUACCCAAUUGUUGCUAGUGUUAUGGUUUGUACUGUUGAAUCCUCUUCACCUAAUAGCUUUGCAAUGCCAAAAUCACCCAAAUGUGCAACCAUAUCUUCAUCUAAUAGAACAUUGCUGGGUUUUAAAUCACAAUGGGCCACAAGAAUUGUCUGACCAUGAUGGAGGUAUUCUAAUGCAGAUGCCACAUCAAUCAUAAUGUUCAACCUAUGCAAAAUAUCAAGACAAUAGUUAUGAGAGUAUAACCACUUCUCGAGACUUCCAUUAGGCAUGAACUCAAGCACCAAGGCUUUAAAAUCUACAUUGCAGCAACUACUGAUGAUUUUGACUAAAUUCCGGUGGCGAAUGUUGCGCAAGACCUCACACUCAACUUCAAAGCUCUUGAAUGAUCCUUCUACCUCCAAAUUAAAGACUUUUAUGGCAAUGUUCAAUCCAUCUGAAAGAGCACCUUGGUAUAUUGAGCCAAAACUCCCCACACCAAGUAGUUUGCUUUCACAAAAACCAUUUGUGGCUUGAUGAAGCUCUUGGUAUGAAAUUCUUCUCCAAUUUGCUAAACCAAUCGAAUUUUCUUGAUCAAUUUGUUGCUUUGAAUGCUUUCUUUGGCUUUGGAAGAAGAAGACAAUUAAGGCAAGAAUUAAUAGCGUUGAGCUAACUGGCAAUAGAAUAAAUUCUAUAAGCUUAGUAGCUUUCCUUGAAUGUUUAGUAGAAUUACUUGUGCAUGGUGGGAGUUGCGGUCGAGGUGCACCACAUAGCGCUUCACUGCCCAUAAAUGAUUGAAUUGUGCAGUUGGCAAAAGGUCCUCCGUUAGGAAUUUCGCCAUGCAGUCUAUUGAAUGAGACAUUCAAAUACUCAAGAUGCAAGAGUUUUUGCAAGGACUUUGAAAUAAUUCCAGAAAAAUUAUUCCUUGACAGAUCCAAGAAUUCCAAUCCUAUCAGCCCACCAAAUAGCUCAGGUAUAGACCCAUACAAUCUGUUACCGGAUAAUGAAAGAUGAGUUAGGUCUUCAAGAUCACCAAUGCUAAUCGGAAUUUCACUUGACAACUGAUUUUCGGAAAAGUCAAUAAUUGUAACAACCUUCCAAUUUCCAAUGUCAACUGGGAGAGCCUUGCUAAGAAAAUUGGAAGACAAGUUUACUUGCAAGAUAUCUAUAAGCCGUGUGAAGGUUGAGGGAAUUGAGCCAAUCAACUUGUUGGAGUCAACAAAUAGCUCUCUAAGAGAAAUGAUAUCACCCAAGCAUGCCGGUAUUGGUCCACCCAAUUUGUUACUUGUGAGAUACAAGAAACCCAAACUCUGUAAACGGCAUAAGUCAGAUGGAAGGGAUCCUUCGAACUUAUUGUCUUCAAGGUAAAGACCUUGCAACUUUUCUAAUCUUCCGAUUGUGGUCGGAAUAGAUCCUAUCAAUUCAUUGUUAUUUAUGUUCAGGCGGAUCAAGUUGCUUAGGUUGCCAAUCUCUCCAGGAAUGUUGCCUCCAAUGUUGCAGUACGAAGCAGUGAAUAUUUGUAGGGAAGUAGAGAGAUUUCCUAUAGACUUGGGAAGUUCACCAUCGACCAAUGGAUUAGCAUCAAAUCUCAAGAACGUCAAGUUUUUGCAAUAUGCUAAGGAUGAGAGAAAGCUGAUUUCUGGGGUCGAAGGUGUGCUAGCUAAAGUAUUAUUUUCUAGCUUGAGCUGUUUCAGAUGUCUUAGAUUUCCGAGAUCAUUGGGAAUAUAUACAGAAAAUGAAUUAUAUGACAAGUCCAGGUCUGUUAGCUUAGAGGCAUUGGAGAUGGAGGUAGGUAUUGUUCCACUGAAUGCAUUUAUAUCAAGAAAAAGCCGUUCAAGUUUUGGAAGCCAACGUCCUGUGCUCCACGGAAGACAACCUGAGAGAUGGUUUAAAGAGAGUGAAAUGACCCUUACAGUUGAGCUAUUAAAGAUAGCAUGAGGGACAUGUCCGGAGAUACUGUUAUUUGCCAAGUUCAAAUAGUCCAAAUUUGGCAGGUUGCCUAUCUCGAGUGGUAUUUUACCUGCCACAAAAUCAGAAGUCAUUUGGAUUUGUUCAUGUGAUCCAGAAGUAAAUAACAAAAUUACUGAUAAAAAUUGUACACACAUCUCUAGUUUUAUAUUUUAUAUUAUAGACACAUAUAACAAAGAGUCAAACAAUAUUAUUCAAAUAUUUACAACAUUUGCAGCUUUACAGAAGCUUAACAUACAUAAGAAAAAAUGUAACUUAUUUACUGUCAAUUUUUUAAUGGAAAAAUCAAUUGCUUUUUGAAAGUUUAAAUUACCUAUCUGUUAAGGAACUUCCCUUGUAUAAUGAAAUUGAUCCCUUAAUUGUUUCAAAUUUAGCAACAACUUAUAAAGCCCAUUUGUUUGUCAAACGGAACGAUCAAAAUUAUUAAACAAAGUUUUGGAAUUUAGAUAAUACAAAGCAAUAUAAUCUUGCACUUUGUAGCUAAUUUAUUAUAAUUUUGGCAUAAUUCUCCAAUAAGCCCUUAAACUAUUCAAGAAUAUUUAAAAAAACCCUUAUUCUUUUAUUACGUCCAAUCAAGCUCCUAUAUUUUUAUUUUAGAUCAAAUAAACCCUUAUAACGAAUGAUUGAUUAAUUGCCAUUAGUAAAAAUGUCACUUGUCAUUUUAUAUCCACACGACACUGACAUGACAUUGAUACAGAGGGUGAAAUAUACCACAUGGUCAUAUUUUCAUGUCAAAUUAACAUGUCAUAUCAUCAUCAAUUAUGAUAUGUUAACAUAUUACAUCAUUAUCAAUUAUUAUAUUUUAGCAUAUCACAUCAGUGCACAUGGUAUAGAAUUACAAAUGACAUUUUAAUUAAUUCAAAUCAUUAGUCAUAAGGACUUAUUUAACUGAAAAUAAAAGUUGAAGGGCUUAUCUGGCUCAAAAUAAAAGUACAAGAGUUUGACUGAAUGCAAUAAAAGAAUAAAGGCUUAUUUGAAUUUUCUUGAAUAAUUUAGGGGUUUUUUUGUAUAUUAUGUCUAUAAUUUUUUUAUUUAUACAAUAUAAUGAAAUUAUAUUAGAAAACGUUGGAAAAAAAUAACAUAUAUAGAUAAGUAGAUAAUACAUUUGAAUUUUGGGUUGAAUGAUUCAUCAACAAAAUAGAAAUACAAUACUUGAUUAUAAAAGAAAACGGAAAUUAAAAAAAGGUGAAGGUCAAUGUUAAAAUUUAAUUUAAAUAAAAAACCAUGAGAUUAAAUAAAGAGUGUGACACUAUUACCAAAAGCUAAAAAAAUAUUAAAAAAAGAAAGAUGUGGAAAAUCCAGAUAAUAUCAUAAGACCAAAAAGAGGUAAAAUAUUAAAACAUGAGAAUUUGAUGAAUAAACUACUUGUUACAAUAAUUAGUUGAUGCAAUAUACUUAGAGCAAUUAGUAUUUACAAUUAAAUAUUUGAGAAAAUCUAUAAACUAAACAGUGAUAGUGAGUUUAAUAGAAAAAAGAAUAAGGUUGAAAGCAAAAUGAAAUUCAGAAAAAAUAGCUAUAUAACUAUAUUUAUUUAUUAUUUUUAAAGGAUCCAUAGGGAUCGAAAUUUACAAAUUUAAGGACAUUUUCAUCUUAUUUUGUCCAUUCCUCUUCCCCCUAAUCCCAUAAUUGCAAUGGACAAAAAAAGAAAGAAAGAAAAUUCUUGGGUUUCGAUGUAUGAAAUGAAGACUAUAAUAAGAGUGUGAAUAAUAAUAUUUAUUCACAUAUUAAAAUUUUGCAGCUAUAUAAAAACUGAACACAGAUAAAUAAGAAUGUGAUAUAUUACCUGUCAAAUAAUUGAAGCUAACAUCAAGUACUUUCAGAAGUGUUAGGUUACCAAUGGUGGAAGGAAUAGGCCCUAUUAGCUGACAUCGUUCAAAAGCUAUUUGCUCCAAAUUCAGCAGAGGACUAAUUUGUGGUGGAAUUUUACCUGCAUAAUGAAAAUUUAUUUCAUUUCAAAACAAUUGCAACAAAUAAGGCCAAUUUCAUUUCUCUAAUACAAUAAUAAGGCCGGCCAUUUCUUUUUUAAGCACGGAAGAAUUGAACAAUUAGAUAAGACAAAGGCAUAAAGCAAUUACUUGUAUUUUUCAAUAAAAAAUUUUACAUUGUUUUGGUUUGGCUGUAAAAUAAUGUAUGGUGUUAGCUAAAGUGGCUUCCUAAUUUAGCCAAAUUGGUAGUGGAAAACCAGUCUUCACCAGCAUCAAACCUUAUACUUUACAUCAAAAGGAAAAAGGAUAAAAUAUACAUAAACUAAAAAGUGAUUGUACUGAAUCUAAUGGAAGAAGUAAUAAGGAAUUUAAAGAAUUACAAGAAUAAAAAAGGUGACAUUGUUAAAAAAAGAAAGUAAAAUAUUGUACGCCUAAAAAAAGCCAACCAAAAAGGGAGAAAAAGGACUAGAAAUAUGCUAAAAAUGCGUCUCAAUGUUUAUUUUACUUUUACCUUUGAGGUUGUUGCGUCCAAGUAAAAGGAUCCUAAGCAUAGUCAAGUUUCCUAUUUCUUCUGGUAUAACCCCUUCCAAAUAAUUAACAGAUAAGGAUAGUUGCUCUAACUCUUGGCACUUGAAUAAAUUCAUUGGAAUUGGGCCAGAAAGGAGAUUAACACUCAAAGUAAGCAAAUUUAAUCUAGGUAAAUGAUCAAACAUAUCUGAUGGGAUACGACUAGUGAGAUUGUUAUACGACAAAUCAAUUCUUCGCAGGGAAGACAUGUUGAAUGGGAUGGAAGGUAUGGAACCACUUAGCUGGUUUCUUGCGAGAACAAUCUCUACCAAUGAAGAUAUGUUGAAGACUGAGGAAGGUAAGGAGCUUGAAAACUGAUUGUCGUGCAAAUAUAAAUAUCUCAAGCUAGGAAGAUUUCCGAUUUCCACAGGGAUAACUCCCAUAAAGUUAUUACAGCUUAAAUCCAAAAUUUGAAGUUUAACGAAAGAACCAAACCAAGAUGAGAUUUUUCCUUCGAAAUGAUUGUUAGACAAGAUUAGAAAUUUCAACCGACGCAAAUUAGCCAACUCGACGGGCAACGAGCGAUGAAAAUAGUUGCCCCCAAUAUCAAGGGAAACAACAAAAGACAGAUUUCCCAUGUUUGGUGGUAUGGUUCCAGAGAGAUUCAUGCGAAAUAGAUCCAGAGCAAUGACUCUGUGGUGUCGAGAUCCGCAAGUGACACCAACCCAAUUGCAAAUAGAUGUAGCAGUUGACCAGUUGGCGGCCAAAAACUCACUGUUGACACGGGCUUUUAGUGCAAGAAGAGCCAACUGGUCUGUGCUGAUGUUGGCUGUUGAUUUCAUAGAGAAUGAAACCCCAAAAUUAGACCGCAUCACUACUGCCAUAAUAGCGAAAAUGAACCGAGUGUUUCCCAUGAAGUUACGUAGAAGUGAAAGGAAAAUUUUUUAAAGAUGAACGGGAAAGAUGAUGUUUCGUUCUCAAUAUAUAGAAGGAAAAUUGUGAUGGGACUUAUUUCCACGUGCAACUGGCCAAUGCAUCCUUAUUUUCAAAUACUUUAUAUAUUUUUAAUUAUUUUAUCUAAUUUUAUCAGCGAAUUUGGUAUUUUUUAGCUCAUGAUACCAACUUAAAUAGUAGUUUUAUUUUAUUCAACUUCAAUAGUAGUUUUAACUAGUAUAAAUACAUAUAUUAAUCAUUAUUUAUUCAACUAAUAUGUUUUCAUUUUAUAAAUAUUUCACUGUCAAAAAAUAAGUACAUCAUUUUUAAAAAAAAAUUGAGAUACGGUCAAAAUUUAUUACUUUAUUUAAGGUGAUGAAUCAAAUUUACAAACCAACUUUAAACGCCCAAUAGCUUUUUGAGCGAUAAUUGUUUUUGGUAACUGUACAGGUUUCCUUUCUUCAUACUAGGUCUCUAUGCAAUGAAAAGUCUCUUGCCAAUUAAGUAAGAGACUUAGAAUGACAUAUUGGUUCUUGAGACUAAUAAAUAUAAUUUUUUUUAAAAAAAAACAACUUUAAACUAGUAUGAUGCAAUUUUAACCUGAACUCCUAAUUUGGUUAUAAAUAGUAAAAAGAAAUUCCGCUAAAAAAUAAAAAUAUUUUACAAUUUACUAUUAAUUUAUUACCAUUAUUUUUAAACCAAAUUAAAAGUACUAUGCUUAAAAUUAUACUUCUAAUAACAAGUUAAUUAUUUUUUUUCCUGAUAUAUCAUUUGUUCAAUUGGCCAACAAAAGGCCAUGUAACUUACCACGUUAGAUAAAAAAUAGUCACAUCAUCGAUUAAAUAGUCCGUAUCAUUAAUUUUUUUUAAAAAAACAUGGUGUUUUUAUUCUCUUCAUUACCAUUAUGCCAUCUUCAAGUCCACAUCCUUAAUUUAAUGAUGCUUUAUUGAUGGAAGGAUCCAAUUGAACAUUUAAUAUAAGUAUUUGAGUCUCUUUCAUCCAGGUUUUGUAAGUUCUAUGACUGGCAUUUAUUUUUGGUUAUGUGCCAGUCUCUUAAUUCAAAGGAAUGAUGAAAGCUUAGUUUUAGACUUAUAGCUGGGCUUUUGUCCUUUUGUUGCUCAGGCUUCAUGAGUAAAGGGUGGAGAGUUCUUUUUGAUGUUUUGCUUAAUUUAGGAAUGAGAAAUUGCUAAUAUUUUUUUGAGAGGUGGUAUGAAGUGUUAAUGUUCAAUGAAAGGAAGCACAGACGAGAUUUAAAUGCCAAAGAAGUCUUUAGCAUGGAGACUUCAGUUGGCAUUGGAUUCUAGUGCUAAUAAAAUUGCUUUUUUUAAAAAAAAAAAUUAAUAUAAGUACAAUAAUUUAUCAAAAGAAAAUUAAAAUGAACCAAAAUCCCUACUUUAAUAAAGUAUAAGAACCAAAUCUGUACUUUAACCCUUUCAUUCUUAUUCUUUCAGAGCAUAACAAAAAAUGAUUAAAAAGACCAUUUUUAUUAUGUCAUCCAUAAAUUUUAUAAAUUACAAUACAACAUGCAAUUAAAAAUUAUUACAAAUUCAGCGUACAAAAUCUGAUUUUAUGCAUGCUCACAUAAUAACUUUUGGUUACUUAUCACAUUAAGCUGAUAUAUGUGGUGAGAAAAACCUGUCUAAUAAUUUAUAAAUUCUUAUUAAUAUAUGACUGAUGCUGAUGUAAUUUUAAUUAAGCAUUCAACCCAAGAGGAAGAAAUGAAAAGGGGAAUGAAGAGGGACAAUUCAUAAAGGAAAUUAAAAAAGAUGGACAAAUUGCCGUGGUAGAAAGGAAAGGCAUGAAGCGUGUUGACUGUUGUAUGCAUGCAUGUUAAAAUUGUACUAUAAAGACUUGUCUGCAGAUACCCUUAACGUGAGUUAAGGGCCAUUGUAUAGCUUUUAGGGGUGAAGAGUGAAGACUACAUCCACUAUUUACUGUCCUUGAAUAACGUAUAAUUAGGGGAUUCAAUCUGUGCUCUUACAUGCUGAAGUUAAAAAAAAAAAUUAUUUAAGUAUUUAAUUUAAUAAUAAAUAUAUAAACAAGAAACACAGUAAAGAGAGAAGUGCACAGAGCCUAGUGGUGUAAAUAAGAGAUUACUGCAUCGUUACAGAGCACUAGGCUCUGUGCACUUCUCUCUUUACUGUGUUUUUUGUUUACAUAGUUAUUAUUAAAUUAAAUACUUAAAUAAUUAUAAUAGUGAAGCUUAUUAAUGCAGCUGAUAUAUGUCAUUAGAAGAACCUAUCUAAUAAUUUAUGGAUGCUUAUUGAUGUAUAUGACUCAGCUGAUGUAAUUUUUAAACAUUGAAAGCAAGAGGAAGAAAUGAAAAGGUAGUCACAGAAGAUGAAGAGGGGCAGUUAAUUGAUCAGAGUUUCCUAUAAGGGUUUUUUUUACCAGUGAGAAAGAUGAAUUAUUUGUUAUUAGUUCAUAACUAAUCAAAACCAACGUUUUUGUCACUCUCCUAUCUAGCUAGCCAAAUUUCUUCUUAAUUGUGAUGGGACCUAUUCCCACAUGCUCCCCACCGCCCUUCUAUGUUGAAGAGAGAAUUUCAUAGAGCAAUUUUCGUGUUUUCUAAUUUAUUUGCAUUGAUACAUAUCUAUAUCUAAAGGGGUAAACAUAUAAUAUUACUAAUAAAUUAAUUGGAGUAUCAAUUUAGAUAACAUAAUUUUGAGUAUAGAAAUGCUUUUCGGCAAAAAUUUUAUAGUCCAUGAACUUAAACAAUAUUAAAUUAGAGUCCAGGAACAAUUAGAACACUAAUUCCACAUAAUACCACAUAUAAAUGUGAAAUUGUAGAUCCAAGGAUUUUUCAACUAAUUCCUUUGUAUUCAGUCAAGGAAUUUUUUUCGUCUAAUUCUUGUUCGCUGGUGAAAAUUGUAGACACAUCCCUCUCAUCUACCCUCAUCCAUUCAGUCAUCGUCAUCGUGUUGCUGGUGAAAUUGUAGACACAUCCCUCUCAUUUACCUUCAUGCAUUCAGUCAUGGUCAUCGAUCAGAAGAGUUAAUUAAGUCAUCUCAAUUGCUGGUAAAUAAUAAUUGCAGCGAGUUGUGCACGGAGAAGUUAUUGCAGUUGGCCAUGUGACCCUUCAAAUCGACGAGCUACUCGGUUUUUCUUGUAACGUGCUUUCGAAUUCUCAUCUAGUCAUUAUUCCUCAAUUGACUAUCUUUCUUUCUAAUGUGGGAUUCACACUUCCAAUUUGAAUGUGUAGGACAUUCCUCGACUUUCAGUUGCUUUUCCAUAUUAAUUGACAAAUGAUACUUGAAUAACAUAGUCCAUAUGGGACAUCCUAGUUGUCAAUUGCUCUGCCUAAACUUGAAGACCCCGAAACUCGUUUACUGUUUUGGCUGGUUACGAUCAUUAAGAUCACAACCAUCUAAAGGUUCACCAAGAAUAAUUGUAGCGAGUUGUGCACGGCGAAGUUAUUGCAGUUGGCCAUGUGUCCCUUCAAAUAGACAAGCUGCUAGUUUUUAUUGUAACGUGCUUUCCAAUUCCCAUCUAGUCGUUAUUACUCAAUUGACUAUCUUUCUUUUUUAAAGUGGGAUUCACACUUCCAAUUUGAAUAUGUAGGACAUUCCCCGACUUUCAAUUGCUUUUCCAUAUUAAUUGACAAAUGAUACUUGAAUAACAUAGUCCAUAUGGGACAUCGAUCCUAGUUGUCAAUUGCGAUGCCCAAACUUGAAGACCCCGAAACUCGUUUACUGUUUUGGCUGGUUAAGAUCACUACUAACUUCCCAAUUCCAUGAUUAAGAUCACAACUAUGCAAAGGUCCACCAAGAUUUGGAUCCUGAAUCCGGCUGGUCCCAUUGGGCGUCCUCUUUUAAAAUUUAAAUUUGAUCUCGAUUUUACCUAUAAAUAAUGCCAAGAGAUUUAACUUAAAUGGACAAUAUUCAAAGUAAAUAAUAAUUUUAAUUUAAUAUAAUUUACAUCUAAAUUUAAAUAUAUAUAAUUCACUCUUUUGUUUAGUCUACUAAGCAAUUUAGUCUGCUAAACUACUUAACCUAGUCUGAACUCAUGAGUCGUGAUAUAAUAGAUAUUUAUACAUAUAUUCAUAACAUAAUUAAAUUUAGAGUAAAAUACUUUGUCAGUCCUAACAUUUAAUCAUAAUUACACACAGGUCCGUUAGUUUGUAAAAUGGACACUUAGCCCUAAACAGUAAACAACAUUAAUAUUUAAAUUAAAAAGUCUAAAAUAUCAUUCUUUUUUUUUUUACUUUUUUUAUGUCGACUGACGACGUUCCUUACUCGACCGGCUACCUUGUGGCUGAAUCUGGCUCAGAUCCGACUGGAUUUCUCAAGGACCACCAAAUCUAGUGCUCCCAAGACCACCAACAUUGGUGCUUCCCAGGGAGCACCGUUCCAAGGAGCAUUUGUGCUCCCUAGGGAACACUCAAAUGGUGCUCCCUUAGGAGCACCACCCGGGGGGAGGGAGAUCAAGCCGGAGCUGGAUCUGGCACUCCCUAACCGAAGCUGGAUCUGACGCUCCAGCUUAGGGGAUAGAUUUUUUUUAAUAAGAAAAAAUAAAAAAUAAAAAAAUUAUAGUUUAUAUAAUGUGCUAAUUUUAAAAAUUGAUGAAAGGUAAAAUUAUCUUUUCAAUAGUAUCAUGUCAUCAAACCAACGAAAAUAUUAAUAGUAGACUAACAGCUGGACUUAUGUGUCCAGCGAAAAAUAUUCUUUUGGGACAGACUGUCCAUUUUAAAAACUUAUAGACCUGCAUGGAAUUAUGACUAAAAGUUAAGGAAUAAGGAUAUUUUACCCUUAUAUUUAUUCCAUUUAUCAUUUACACAAUGAUUAGUCAAAUGCUUCCUUAAAUGAAACUAUUAAGUCAAUAUUUAAAUGGAGACAGAAGCACUAGCAGGAGAAAAAGCAAGAUUGUGAAAAAUAGGGAAGGUUUAGGUGCAAGGCGGCAUACACUUACCGGCUAGAUAAGAGCAUGGGCAAAACUUUGAUUCUUACCCUUAAGUAGAAAGAAAUUUUUGGUUUUUAGAGUACAAAUAUACAAAGGUUAACCAAGAUUUGGAUCUUGAUUCAGGAUGGUCCUAUUGGGCCUCCUCUUUUAAAAGCCAACUUCAAUUUCGGUCCUGUCUAUCUAUUUGUUAGUUAUUUUAUUAUUAAAAUAAUAAAAUAGUAUUUUAUAUUAAUAUGUUAAUAUUUUAAAAUUUAAAAUAAAAUAAUAUUAUAACUUAAUUGAGCUCAUACCUAAAAAUCCAUGCCUAAGCCUAAUCCGAAUCAGGUCAAAGUCCAUGAAUCUGGACAAGUAACUCAAUCCUUAAACAUCUCUAAAAAUUGCAUUUUUUUUUUAUAAUUAGGGUAAGGGGGAUUCAAACCAUACUCUUUAGGCAAGAGAAAGUUGUUUUUGUACAUGUUUCUAACUUUUAUUUUUCUUUUAAUAUAAACUAAAUCUUAUAUCUCUAUUACUCUAUAAGUGUUUUUUUAUGAGAUUAUAUUUACAAGUAAAAAAUUAUAAUUGCAUCAAAUAACUACUAAUAUAUACUAUAAAAUAAAAAAAUUAAUAAUAAAGUAAAAGAUUUUGACCCAUGAAAUAGAUUUAUAUAAUAUAGUAAUAAAAUUUAUUUGGACUGGGUUAUCAUAGCAUAACAUAAAACCAAGACAGUUUUGAAAAUUCAAUAAAUUAAAGACAACAUCCAAAAGCAAUCAGCUCAUGUAGAAAAGAAAAUUAAGACAAACACUUGCCUCUAAAAUAAAGUAAAAGGAAACAACAGAUUAUUGGAUAAAAUAAAAGCACCUUGACAUUGAGGUACAAUUGAACCUGCACUCGAACUUCAUUUUCUCGAUUUGGGGUUCAAAGGAGUUAAAUGGAAACGCCAGCAACAUGAUGCUAUUUUCAUCAAGCCCACCUGUUCGAAUCCUUCAAAAACUUAGUUUUGAACUUCUUCAGCUUAGCAACAACAUUUUUCAUGUCAAUCCUCUCUUUUGGCAACUCUUUUGAACAUUCUAACGCCAAUUGCAAAACAGACAAUGCACAAUCUUUUAUUGCACAAUGUUCUCACUCUUUUUAACUGAUUAGCAAAUUGGCAUCCAUAACUUCUAUUAAUUCAGAUGGUAAUAACUCGGUCACCCAAUGUUUUAAGCUCAUUUCUCCAACAAACAUUUCAUUCAUGGGCUUUUUUCUUGUUAAGGUUUCAAUUAGAAGAAUGCCAAAAUUGUACAUAGCACCUUUUAAUAUGAAACAACUCCUUGUGUUCCGUAUUCUACAUGUAAGUCAUUACAACCAUCAUCAAAGUAUGUAAUGAUUUCAUAUGAAUUAUUAUAAUGGAUGAGAAAAGGUUUAAAGUUUAAGCAUUACAUGGUGCCAUUUACCCAAUUUUUGCUAGUGUUAUGGUUUGUAUUGUUGAAUCCUCCUCAUCACCUAUCAACUUUGCAAUAUCAAAAUCACCCAAAUGUGCAACCAUAGCUUCAUCUAAUAGAAAAUUGAUGGGUUUUAAAUUACAAUGAGCCAUAGGAAUUGGCUGACCAUGAUGGAGGUAUUCCUAAUGCAAAGGCCACAUCAAUCAUAAUGUUCAACCUAUGCAAGAUAUCAAGAAAAGAGUUAUGAGAAUACAACCACUUCUCAAGGCUUCCAUUAGGCAUGAACUCAAGCACCAAAGCUUUAAAAUCAACAUUGCAUUAACUACUGAUGAUUUUGACUAAAUUUCAGGGUGAAUGUUGCACAAGACCUCACACUCAACGUCAAAGCUCUUAAAUGCGUUCAUCUGAAAGAGUACCUUGGUAUACCAAGCCAAAAUUUCUUGCACCAAGUAAUUUGCUUUCACAAAAAUCAUUUGUGGCCUGAUGAAGCUCUUGGUAUGAAAUUCUUCUCCUCUUUGCAAAAACAUUCGAAUUUUCUUGAUCAGUUUUUUGCUUUGGAUGCCUUUUUUGUCUUUGCAAGAAAAAGACAAUUAAGGCUAGUAUUAAUAGCAUCGAGCCAACUGGCAAUAAAAUAAAAUUAUAAACUUAAUAGCUUUCCUUGAAUGUUUAGUGGAAUUAGUUUUGCAUGGUGGGAGUUACAGUUGAGGUGCACCACAUAGCUCUUUGUUCCCCAUAAACGAUUUAAUUGAGUAGUUGGCAAAAGGUCCUUCGUCAAGAAUUUCUCCGCGUAGUCUAUUGAAGGAGACAUUCAAAUACUCAAGAUGCAAGAGUUUUUGCAAGGACUUUGGAAUAAUUCUAGAGAAAUUAUUCCUUGAUAGAUCCAGGAAUUGCAAUCCUAUUAGCCCACUAAAUAACUUAGGUAUAGACCCAUACAAUCUGUUACUGGAUAAUGAAAGAUAAGUUAGGUCUUCAAGAUCACCAAUACUACUAGGAAUUUCAAUUGAUAAUUAAUUUUUGGAAAAAUCAAUCCUAGUAACAACCUUCCACUUUCCAAUGUCAAUUAGGAGAGCGCCGCUGAGAAAAUUGGAAGACAAGUUAGUUGUAAGAUAUCUAUAAGCCUUGUGAAGGUUGAGGUAUUGAGUUUGCAAACUUAUUGGAGCCCAAAUAUCAAUGGUGUUGUGUGCUUUGCUUGUGUGAUGUGAAAUGUGCUUAAAAUUAAAUGUAAAAUACAAGCAAAGACUACGUGCAAGUGUACACAAUCGCAACGAGUAAUAAAGUGGUCAAUAAAGUGUCGGUCCGUCGAGGAACUAUCUCUAAUUCUAUUGUUAAAUACCAAUUUCAAACUAAACUAAUUCUAUCCAAGAGUUGAUAAUUGAGAAGUGGUGAAAAUGAAAUCUAAUCACUAAAAUUAAUCUAGAAAUGCAAGUAAAUUGAAUUGGAAAUGAUGGAGAAAGACCUAGGAUUGUGGUUUAAACUAAUGCUUCAUUUGGACUUAAGAUUAACUAACUAUUUACUUUUAUGAAAAACUAAUGCUAGCCUAGGAUCUUUAAGCAUAUACGAUUCUCUGUGGAGAUAUCGUACAAUGGCCUAACUUAAUUUAAUUCUCUAUAUAUCUAUAGCUAUUUAAUUAAGCGAAGUUCCUUAAGUAUAGGUCCUAUAAAUUGAUUGCAUAUGAUUAAUAGGUGUUUGUCUAUCCUAUUAACAAAUCACCCUAUUAAUUUCUACUUGCAAUGAUCAUAUACUAUCCAAACCAUGGUCUUUUAAGCUAACUUUGUCAAGUCAUAUCUAAAAACCCAAACAUAUCCUAUUGGGGAUCAGUCAAUAAAAUGGGAAAUAGUGUAGAUUUGAAUAAACAUUAGAUAUUCCAUAAAAACAAGUAAUAGUCAAUCAAGCAUCCAAACUAUCCAUUCAUCUCUACCAUAAUCCUAUAAAGGAUAGUUUAGCCUAACAUUUCCAUUGCCCACAACAAAAUUUCAGCAAAAUAAAGCAUUUAUACAAAGAGAUUUAGAGACAGAACAAUAAAGCUAGUGAGAGAAAAUUCUUUUAGUGUAGCUUUGUCAAGCUUCUUUUUAAGAAUUCCUCUCCUUUUCUCCUAGUAGAAAGGUUUGUUGGCUCCAUUAGUUUUUGAUGAUAAUAAAACAUUUCCACUCAUUUAUGUCUAACUUUAUUACUUGAGUGUGCAGGACAAAAAUGUAUGUCAAUAAUAAAUCAUUGAAAAGUUGAUAUCAAAACUCAUAAGAAUAAGGAGUUACAAAUGAGCCACAAAACAGAAACCACUUAGUUGGAUAAAGAAAGGAGUUAGUCAACUAAAACUCAAAAAUGAAGAUGGGCCAGUUUAAAAACAGAGACAACUUAAUCGACUAAGAAAUAUUGUUAGUCGACUAAGAGCUUAUUGCCAGAAACUAGGUUCAGAGACAAAGACAACUUAAUCGACUAAGAAGUAUUGUUAGUCGACUAAGUGCUUAUUACCAGAAACUGGAAACAGAAGACAGAGACACUUAAUCGACUAAGAAGCAUAGUUAGUCGACUAAGAGCACUCUGUUAGAAAAUUUGAAUUUAAUGCUAGAAGACAGAAACUAUUUACCAAUGGUCAGAAACUAUCAAACAUCCAUCAAAGGUGGUUCUUCAAGUAUAAAAACCCUCCCCAAUGGCUAAAGACAAGAUUAGAUGCUUCCAAGAACAAAAAGAGCUCAAAAAUAGCAAAAACUCUCUGCAUACUUUCUACAUUUCACUCCUAUCCUUGUAAUAGAGUUAAACACUUCAUCUUGUACCAUUCAGAUUAGGUUAGUGAUCAUAGGUACAUCUUUAUUAUUGUUCUCCUUGUUUACUUAGAGUGUGCGAGUCACUCUAAGGGGAUUAAUCAAGCUUAGGUUGCUUGAAUGGUUGUAUAGGUUCUAACUUAGCCUAAAAAAGUUAGUUUUGGGUUUUGGUUGAUCUUGAAAAAAACUAUUAUUAAAGGUUGUGACUGAGCCUGUGAAAAGCUAUUGUAAAAGCUUGGUGGGAGCUUGGGAAUUCCACCGUUUAUAGUGAAUUGGUUUAGAAAAUCCUUAAUUGAACAAUCAAGCUAAUGGAUGUAAGUUUUUGACCGAACCACUAUAAAUCUUUGUGUAUUGUCUCCUCUAUUUUAGUUUUCAUUUUCAUUUUUUCUUAAAUCAUUCCUUCAUCUUGCAUCAAACUUCUCAUUAUUGACCUUCAACUUGCCCUCAAUUAGAAAUCAAGUUUAGUGAGAGCCAAAAAGUGUUAUUCACCCCCCCCCCCCCCCCUCUAGCACAUUUAUUUAGACCCAACAAGGUUCCCUUUUUCCUCUUUUUUCCUCUUCAAAAACUCUAUUUUCUUAGCUCAAAAACAUAAAUUUGUACCCCUCACUUUUAGCCCUAGCCAUAAAAACUCAUGCAAAAAUUUCUCAUUAAAUGUGUGUUUUGGCUACAGCCAAAAUGGAUUCUCAAUAUAGCCAAAAUGGAUUCUCAUUGUAGCGAGAAAGUCUCUAACUUGAAGUUUUAAGGAUGGCUGAAAUUCUUGUUGCAGCCAAAAUGGGAUUUCGUUAUAGCGAGAAACUUGCUGUCUUGCACUAUGCAAUCUGUUACAGUCAGUCAACUUUCUUUGUAUUUUUUACCAUGAUCCUUUUUAAACUGGGUUAAGUGCUAAAUAUCAAAGUUGUAACUCUUCCUCUUAGCUUUCCAUAGUUCUAAGAAUUGUGAUUGGAGUUUUGUAGCUCAAGAUAUGCUCUGAUUACUGCAGCAUGGUUUGAGGUCAACUUAAGCAAAAGUGCAUAAUCCUUUGCAAAUUUGACUUCCAAGCUCUUUGGCACCUUCAUUAACAUAUAGCAUAAUCAAUAGAAGGUACAAACAAGACUUAAUAACAUGAAAAUAAACUCAAAUUACUUAAUUAAACUAUUAAAGCAUGCAUAAACUAAAUACUAAGAAAAAUUAUAAAAACAUCAAAGGCCUAAAUUAAUUAAAAACAAGAGGAUGUUAGUCAUUUUUAAGCUCAAAAGAAUGCAAGACAACUCUAUAAAAUAGAGUUUUCAGAUGGCGCAUUAUGAAUCCCAAAAAUUUACCAAAAGAUACUUUAAAGGCACACUUUAAGGGAUUCAUCUUCAAUUAAUAUAGAUGCAAUUGUUCUCUAGAAAAGAUACAUAGAAACCUCUAGAAAAAGGCCUAUAAACAUUUUAAGAUAUUUUUAAUGGCUUUUGAUCAUAGAUUUUCCAUGGACAAAAAGAGUAGGGAGUGAACAAAAAAGAAGUCAUGAUUAAUGGUGGCUAGAUAGCAGCUUUGCUGGUUUAAUCUGUAUUAAAGAAAAAUGUUGAAGUUAAAACUUAAAACCAAUGCUGAAAAACUUAGUUAAAAAUUGAACAUAUAGCUAUCUCAGCAUUUCAGUUUUACCUUGAAAACAAAUCAUUAAAUAAUAAAUAAAAACUGGUUAGCAUAUGCAGGCCAAAAAAUUGACUUAUAAGCUAAUAGUAGUGUAAUAAAAGAAUGAUGAAAUUCCAAAACUAAUGUGCAUCUAAUUAAUUUCUUUCCUUGAAUUUUCUUCAGAUGAUUUGAAAAAUAAACUUAAAAGGAAAAAUGUAGCUUCCUUAAUCAAUUUAGAUAACCUGAGCAGACAAAACAUGAAUUUCCUUAUUAUUUUUCUUAUAUAUCUGAAGUUUCUGUAGCAAAAACUAAAGCUUACUUUAACGUGGAAUUGUGUAGCAAAAACGUUCUUCUGUGACUUCAAGAAUAGAUAUCAUCUGUCCCAAAAAGGAUAGGAUAUAUAUUCCCUAACAAUUGUCAGCUGUCAGGGAAGGAUAUCAACCAUAAUACUAUCUCCCCUUUCUCUCUCAUAUCCUCUCCCUCUCUAUUCUUUUCUUCUCUUCCUCCUUUGAUGAGUUGUUACUCACUUAUAAAGAAUUAGAAAAGGAAUCACAAGAAAACCUUUGAUGUCCCAUUUUUUUGUAGGCCCAAACGCUUCAUCUCAGCCCAGAUCAUGCCAGUCCCUGUCUAACAACAUAAUGCAUUUACAAAGACAAAUCGAAAGUAAUCUCUAAUAUUUAUUUAUUCAUAUUGGUUGUUUCAAGACUACGCAUCACAAACAUUACAUGAAUAAGCAUAUUAAAAUAUUAUAAUUGAUUAACAAUGUAACAAGCAGAACCUAAUUGUGUCUUAUUGUAGAAUUCAUUGAACUUAAUGAAAUACAUAAUUUUCAAAAAAAAAAACCUAAUUUUUGGGCACCUCUAAAAGUUAUAUUUGUACAGGUUUCUAACUUUUAUUUUUCUUUUUUCCUAUAAGAAAUAUAAACAAUAUAAACUAAAUCUUAUACCUCGAUAUAAGUAUUUUUUAUGAGAUUAUAUUUACAAAUAAAAAUUACAAUUACAUCAAAUAACUUUUAAUAUAUAUUAUAAUAUAAAAUAAAUUUAUAAAUAAACCAAAAGUUAUCCAUCCAAUAAAAUAGAUCUAUAUGAUAUAGUAAAAAAAAUUAUUUGGGCUCAGUUUUCAUAGCAUAACAUAAAACUAAAUAAAGUUCUGAAAAUUCAAUAUUAAAGACAACAUCCUAAAGCAACCAUCACGCAAAGAAAAGGAAAUCAAGACAAACACUUGCCUUCAAAAAAAAAAAAAAAAAAGGAAACAACCAAUUACUAGGUAAAAUAAAAGCACCUUGAUAUUGAUACGUUGAACCUGCACUCAAACUUAUUUUCUCGAUUUGGGAUUGAAAGGAGUCCAAUGGAAAUGUCAUCAAGAUGAUGGUAUUUUCAUCAAGCCCGCCUAUUAGAAUCCUUCAAAAACUUGAUUUUGAUCUUCUUCAAAUGAGCAACAACGUUUUUCAUGUCAAUCCUCUCUUCUGGCAACUCUUCUGAACAUUCUAACGCUAAUUGCAAAAUAGACAAUGCACAAUCUUUUAUUGCAAAAUGUUCUUGCUCCUUGGUACUAAUUAGCAAAUUGGCAUCUACAACUUGAGUUAAUGCAGAUGGUAAUGACUUAGUCAUCCAAUGUUUUAAGCUCAUUUCUUCAACAAACAUUUCAUCAGUGGGCUUUUUUCUUGUUAAGGUUUCAAUUAGAAGAAUACCAAAACUGUACACAUCGCCUUUUAUGGAAACAACUCCUUGUGCUUGGAAUUCUACAUGUAAGUGAUGAAAACAAUAGUCAAAGUAUGAAAUGAUUUUACACGAAUUAUCAUAAUGAUUAAAAAUGUUUAAAGUUUAAGCAUUACCUGGUGCCAUAUACCCAAUUGUUGCUAGUGUUAUGGUUUGUACUGUUGAACCCUCUUCACCUAACAGCUUUGCAAUGCCAAAAUCACCCAAAUGUGCAACCAUAUCUUCAGCUAAUAAAACAUUGCUGGGUUUUAAAUCACAAUGGGCCACAGGAAUUGUCUGUUCAUGAUGGAGGUAUUCUAAUGCGGAUGCCACAUCAAUCAUAAUGUUCAACCUUUGCAAGAUAUCAAGAAAAUAGUUAUGAGAAUACAACCACUUCUCGAGGCUUCCAUUAGGCAUGAACUCCAGUACCAAGGCUUUAAAAUCAACAUUGCAACAACUACUGAUGAUUUUGACUAGAUUCCGGUGACGAACAUUGCGCAAGACCUCACACUCAACGUCAAAGCUCUUAAAUGAUCCUUCUACCUCCAAAUUAAAGACUUUUAUGGCAAUGCUGAGUCCAUCUGAAAUAGUACCUUGGUAUACCGAGCCAAAACUCCCUGCACCAAGUAAUUUGCUUUCACAAAAACCAUUUGUGGCGUGGUGAAGCUCUUGGUCUGAAAUUCUUCUCCACUUUGCAAAAACAUUCGAAUUUUCUCGAUCAAUUUUUUGCUUUGAAUGCUUUCUUUGUCUUUGCAGGAAAAAGACAAUUACGGUUAAAAUUAAUAGCGUUGAGCCAACUGGCAAUAGAAUAAAUAUUAUAAGCUUAGUAACUUUCCUAGAAUGUUUAGCAGAAUUAGUUUUGCAUGGUGGGAAUUGCAGUCGAGGUGCACCACAUAGCGCUUCAUUCCCCAUGAAUGAUUGAAUCGAGUAGUUGGCAAAAGGUCCUCCAUCAGGAAUUUCUCCGUGUAGCCUAUUGAAUGAGACAUUCAAAUACUUGAGAUGCAAGAGUUUUUGCAGGGACUUUGGAACAAUUCCAGAGAAAUUAUUCCUUGACAAAUCCAAGAAUUGCAAUUCUAUCAGCCCACCAAAUAACUCAGGUAUAGACCCGUACAAUCUAUUACGAGAUAAGGAAAGAUAAACUAGGCCUUCAAGAGCACUAAUGCUACUUGGAAUUUCGCUUGAUAAUUGAUUUUUGGAAAAAUCAAUAUGAGUAACAACCUUCCACUUUCCAAUGUCAAUUGGGAGAGCCCCAUUAAGAAAAUUGGAGGACAAGUUUAGUUCCAAGAUAUCUAUAAGCCUUGUGACGGUGGAAGGUAUUGAGUUUGUAAACUUAUUGGAGCCCAAAUAUAGAGCUCUUAGAGAAACGAGAUCACCCACGCAUGCUGGUAUUGGUCCAGCCAAUCUGUUCUCUUCGAGAUGCAAGAAACCCAAACUCUUCAGACGGCAUAAGUUAGAUGGAAUAGAUCCUUCUAACUUAUUGACUUCAAGAGAGAGAGCUUGCAACUUUUCUAAUCUUCCUAUUGUGGUGGGAAUAGAUCCAAUCAGUUGAUUGUUAGCUAUGGACAAGCUGAUCAAGUUGCUUAGGUUGCUAAUCUCUUCCGGAAUGUUGCCCCUAAUGUUGCAGCCCACAGAAUCGAAAUAUUGUAGCGAAAUAGAAAGAUUUCCUAUAGAAAUAGGAAGUUCAGCAUCGAUCAAUGGAUUAUUACUAAAAGACAAGACUCUCAAGUCUUUGCAAUAUGCUAAAGAUGAGAGAAAGCUCAAUUUUGGAGAUGAAAGUGUGCUAGCUAAAUUAUUAGAAUGUAGGUUGAGGCGUUCUAGAUCUCUUAGAUUGCCGAGAUCAACAGGAAUAUAUCCAGAAAAUGAAUUCUCUGACAAGUCAAAAAUUGUUAGCUUAGAGGCAUUGGAGAUGGAGGUAGGUUUUGUUCCGUUCAACUCAUUUAUAUCAAGUAGAAGCUGUUCAAGCUUUGGAAGCCAUAGUCCUGUGCUCCAUGGAAGACAACCUGAGAGAUGGUUUGAAUAGAGUGCAAUGAGCGUCAUAGUUGAGCUAUUAAAGAUACCAGGAUGGAUAUGUCCGGAGAUACUGUUCGAUCCCAAAUUCAGACGCACCAAAUUUGGUAGGUUGCCUAUCUUAAGUGGUAUUUUACCUGCCAUAAAAUCAGAAGUCAUUUGGAUUUGUUCCAAUGAUCCAGAAGCAAAUAACAAAAUUAAUCAUCAAAGUUUUACACACAUUUCUAUUUUUAUAUUUUAUAUUAUAAAUAUAUAUAACAAAGAGUGAAACAGUUGGGAUUGGUAAAUAAUAGUUUUAAAAUAUUUAUAACAUUUGCAACUAUGCAGAAACUCAACAUACAUAAGAAUAAAUGUAACAUAUUACCUGUCAAGUUAUUGUCGCCAAAAUCAAGUUCUUCCAAAAGUGUUAGGUCACCAAUUUGUUGUGGAAUUUCACCUGCGUAAUGUAAUUGAUCCAUUAAUUAUUUUUAAAUUUAGCAACAAAUAUAAGGUCCAUUUAUUUGUCAAAUGAAACUAUCAAAAUUAUCAAAAAAAGUUUAGAAUUUAAAUAAUACAAAGCAAUGCAAUCUUUCACUUUGUAAAUAAUUUAUUAUUUUCCUUUUUUAAUUUAUAUAAUAUAAUGAAAAUAUAUUAGAAAAAGUUGGAAAAAAAAGAACAUAGAUAAGUAGAUAGUAUAUUUGAAUUUUUGGUUGAAUGGUUCUUGAACAGAAUAGAAAUAAAAUUCUUGAUUAUAUAAAAAUGAAAAUAAAAAAAAGGUGAAUAUCAACGGUAAUAAUUAAUUUAAAUAAAAAUAAUGAGAUUAAUAAAGAGUGCAACACUAUGACCAAAAACCAGAAAGAUAUAAAAAAGAAAGAUUUGGAAAAUUCACAUUAUAUCAUAAGCUGAAAAACAGGUAAAACAAUUAUUUUUCCUUCUACCUUUGAGGUUGUUCCGGCCAAGAUAGAGAAUUUUAAGCAUAGUCAAAUUUCCAAUUUCUUUUGGUAUAGUUCCCUCCAAAUCAUUAUAAGAUAAGGAUAAUUCUUCCAACUCUUGGCAUUUGAAAGACAUGUUGAGCGGGAUGGAACCAAUUAGCUGGUUGUCGUUAAGAGCAAUCACUAGCAAUGAAGAUAUGCUGAAGACCGAGGAAGGUAUGGAGCCUGAAAGCUGAUUGCUGUCCAAAUAUAAAAUUCUCAAGCUAGAAAGAUUUCCGAUUUCCACAGGGAUACGUCCUUGCAGAUUGUUGUUAUACAAGCCCUAUAACUCUAGUUUUGACAAAGAGCACAAAGAAGAUGGGAUAACUCCCACGAAGUUAUUACCGCCCAAACUCAAGUAUUGAAGAUUAGGGAAGGAACCAAACCAGGAUGGGAUUUUCCCGUUGAAAUUGUUGUAACGCAAAACUAGAGAUUUCAGCCGACGAAAAUUAGCCAACUCGAUAGGCAAUGAACCAUGAAAACUGUUGUUUGCAAUGUGGAGGAAAGCAACGAAAGACAGAUUUCCCAUGUCUGGUGGUAUGGUUCCAGAAAGAUUCAUGCCGAAUAGAUCCAAAGCAAUGACUCUGUGGUGUCGGGACCCGCAAGUGACACCAACCCAAUUACAAAUAGAGGUAGCAGUUGACCAGUUGGUAGCCAGAAGAUCACUGUUGACACCGGCUUUCAGUGCAAGAAGAGCCAAUUGGUCUGUACUGAUGUUGGUUGUUGAUUU
RNAcentral lists this long non-coding RNA (92238 nucleotides) under Theobroma cacao (cacao). RNAcentral describes it as "long non-coding RNA (TCAC_LNC004285)". The record is from RNAcentral. Lineage: Eukaryota; Viridiplantae; Streptophyta; Magnoliopsida; Malvales; Malvaceae.